UGUGUGUGUGUGUUAGGUUUGCGAGUGAAUUGUUGAGACUUGAGACUUGAGUGACUGUGCAGCGUGUGUGUGUGCUGUGCAGCUCGUGUGUGUUCUGUUCUGUCAUUCUGUGUGUGUGCUGUGCAAGUGUACAGCUUGUGACUUGUGUAGUUGUGUAGUUGUGUGUGCAGCAGCGUAUGUGUGUGUGGCUGUGUGCUGUGCAGCUUGUGACAAGUUGUGUGUGUGUGUGUGUUGUGCAGCAGCCGAGAGUGUGUGGCUGUGUGCAGUGUUACUGUUAGCCUUUUCCUUUAUAAAUUCAUAUCGAGCUAGAGCUACCCACUCAAGGUAACAACUUUAGAAAUUCUCCAUUUUACCACAUGUUUAAUUACGAGUUCCCGCAACAUGAUAAGGGAUUAAGGGUUUCCUGAAUCCCUUUUUUUUUUUUGUGGGGUUUCUUUUUUCCCCUCGCUCCCAGUACAUGGAACCCAUAAUUAAACAUAGAAAUAAGUUUAUUAUAUAUAAAUUAUGAUAACAAGAUGGUAGGCUUACACUUCUGAGGAUUUUGAACAGAGUAAACAGAUUCCAUUUGUCUGCAAGAGAAUCGCGACAUGAAUAUAAGUAGUGUUAGCUUAAGGUUUUUUUUUUUUUUUUUUGAGAACCCGAUCGGGUAUUUGGAUCGGGUCGGGUUUGACCCGAACCGAUCACAACCCGAUCGGGUUUGUAAAUUUCAAACCGAUCAGGUUUCGAUCCCGACCCGAACCCAAAAUUUAUUGGGUCGGGUUGGGUCGGGUCGGGUCGGGUCGGAUCGGGUAAAAUGCCCACCCCUAGACCUAAGUUUAUUUUUUUCAAUAAACGACUUAGGUCCGUUCUUUAUAAAGAAUGAUCUAUGUCCAUUCCUUACAAAGAAUUACUUGGCCAUUCAAAAAAUAUUCCUAAGUCAAACAGUCAAAUAUAUGAUUUGAGUUUUCGACAAAGUACCAAAGGCGUGAUUCUACAAAGAAGGACCUAAGUUCACAUUUUACAAAUAAUGACCUAGGUCUAUUCUUUUACAAAAUGUCAAAGAUAUGAUUUUACAAAGAAAGACCUAGGUUCAUUCUUUACAAAUAUUGACCUAAAUACUUAGAAAAUAUUUAUAUGAGCCUUUGGGCCAACAAGCAUUCUACGGAAUGUGGCUAUGGGUAAAUAUACAUUUUACGAAAUAUAUCUACGGACAAAUAUAUAUUUCACGAAAUGUGCCUAGGUGCAAAUAUACAUUAUAUGGAAUAAGUGUACGAGCAAAAUAAAUAUUCUAAAAAAUGUGUCUACGAGCAAAUAUACAUUUUACGGAAUGAGCUUAUGGGCAAAUAUAUAUUUUAUGGAAUGAACCUAUAGGAAAAUAAGUAUUCUGUGGAAUGAGCCUACAGGCAAUUGUUGCGAUAAAUUCAAAUGCUAUGGGUGUCAAUGUGCAAAUGUACAUAACAAGUAAUAUAAUGAUGAGUAUUUAAGAUCGUCUCCACAGGGAUUGGUGUUAUUAGAUUUGCUACAACAAUCUUAACAGUGCAGUUUUGCUUUAAUUAAAAAUAAAAUAGGUAAUAAAACUAAUAAAUUAAUUGAAAUAAAAUGCAAUAAAUAGAAAUGCAAUAAAUAAAUUCUCACAUCACACACAAGGAUAAAACCAAUGGGAAUGAAGUAGUUGAGUGAUUAAACUCACUUAAUGGUUUUGACUUUUUUUUCCUAAUGUUUGGCUGGGUUGUUACAACAUCUGCAGCACUAGGUAGAAUUCUUAUGUAUCCUCAGCUGUCGCAUGUUGGAUAUCUUAUAUCUAUACACAACUUAAUAAUGAUCAGUUGUUAUGCCAACAUAAGAAUGUCGCUACUGUUUUAAUAUCAAAAUUUUUGGCUCAAAAUGUAAAUAAAUAAAAUAAGUUUCUAUGCCAUAAUAUAAAUUAUAAAAAAUAUAGGGAUCAAAAUGUUAUCUUGCGUUGUUGACUUUUGGUCAAGGACCCUUUUGAAAAGUUUGCAAAAUAUGUUAGGCCAUAAUAGAAUUUCUAUAUGCAAAUAUUUUCUAAAUAUUGGGUCAUACUAAAAUUUUAUAAAAGAGAGGGUUCCAAAUGAUAUUAUCGGGUUCGGGUUUUUUAAAGUUUGAUCCGAAAAUCGAACCGAACCGAAAAAACCGAACCAAAUUUCUAUAUUCGAUUUUUUUUUUCAAAAAAACCCGAACCGAAACCGAAAAAAACCGAACCGAACCGAAUUUUUUUCGGUUCCUGUUCGGUUUUGCCCACCCGUAGCUAGUAUCAUUAAAUGGGUAAUCAACCAAAAUAAUGAAUAGAAAUAAGUAUUAUUAAAACAAAACAUUAUAGCAAACAUGCAUCAACACAUAAAAUCAGUCAAUGAACCACUAAGAUUGUUUAUCACUCAACCACAACUAAAUUUAGUUCAUGGUUUGUGAAAAAAAAAAUAAAAAAGAGAGCUUUAGCCAUAAAGUACAUCCCCAUGAAUAAAUAGAAAACAAGAAAAGAAUAAGAAAGAUUGAUUUUCAAUGGAUCUCUGUGUUUUCUCCUUAGGUGCAGCCCUCAAUCUCUCUUGAAUUCUGUUUUUCUUUUAUUUCUUUGCGGUUUUUCUCCUUGGGUGACGACUUUCUCUUUUCCUUUGCGUGUGUCCUUCUUUUAUAGCUAAAACUUAGGGUAAAUGGAAGUAUAGGGCACGUAUCUUCCAGAUUAGGAAACUCCGUAUCGCAAUCUUAUAAGUAUCUCGAGUGAAAUCUUCUCCGCCGUUGUUCUAAGAUUGCUAUGGCAACAGAUGCUACAACAACUGCUACAACAUUUGCAUUGUUUCAGACUUGCUUCAAUUCUUCUGUAGUCAUGUUCUAUUCCAUCUUUUGCAAGCCUAUUGCAGCAGCAGCAUUCCUUCGUUAAAAUUUGAGCUUCCGGUCACUUACAAUUAUGCAUAUGAUCUAAGCACACAAAAUUAUUCGAAAACAACACAAUUUAUUAAAAAUAAACUAAAAUGGUUAUUCAUGCAAAAUAAAACUAAAAUGCAAUAAAAAUAUGUCAUUUACUCUCUAAGUAAUCUUGAUUUAAGUCUAAAAAUGUCAUGAUAACUCUUAUUUCAUAGAGUUAUCAGCAACUAAGUAUUCUACGGAGUGCACUAACAGGUAAAUAUACACUUUACAAAUGACCUAGGGCAAUUAAGCAUUCUAUGAAAUGAGCGUACAUGCAAAUAAAUAUUUUAUGGAAUUGCACCUAUGGGAAAAUAUACAUUCUAUGGAAUGAGCUUAUAGGCCAAAUAAACAUUCUAUGAAAUGCACCUACGUAUAAACAAAUAUUCUAUAGAAUGAGCAUACGAGCCAAAUAAAUAUUCUACUGAAUGAGCUUAUGAGCUAAUAAACAUUCUAUGGCAUGUGUUUACGAACAAAUAAACAUUUUAUGGAAUGAACUUAUAGGCUAACAAACAUUAUACGGAAUGAAAUUAUGGGCUAACAAACAUUCUAUACAAUAAGCCUACGCUAAAUAAACAUUCUAUAAAAUGAGCCUACUCAUAUAAACAUUCUAUAGAAUGAGCAUAUUAGUUAACAAAUACUCUGAAUAAUAUGUUACAGAUAAACUUUAUAAAAGCCACUUACUGGGCAAAAUAUUGCAAAAUUAAUCUUCUUUGUGAAGAAUCAAUAUAAGUGCCGAAUUCAAGCUCAAGCCCAUCAAAAGUCAAGGGCACAAAAUCAAGACAAGUGUCUAAAUAGACUUGUCGUGAACAAGUCAUAAUAUAUAUUGAUAGACGUCCUUAUACAUGGGCUUUUUGGACACAUAUCACAAUGACAAUGCUAAUGUCAUGAUAACUCCUCCACCUCAUACUUCAAGUUGCUUAUAUAAAGGUCAAGCAUCCCACAUUUGAAGGUAAGAUCAAGAAGCCAUAAAAUGAGUACAAAGUUUUGCCCAUCUCACUCUAUAUUUUCUCUAUCUAGAAAUUAGUAAAAAGAACUAACUUGAGUAUCAGAGGGUUAUCGCCAGCACGCUAGGCCCCUUGGCAAUUGUUUCUUUUUACAUAACAAUUAACCAUAAAGAGACACGUGAUUUGAGACACUCAACUUAAGAAAAAAUAUGCCGCAAAUCUUGAUUCAGAAUAAAGUUCGGAACAUAAAUUAAUCAUUGUACAUUGAGCAAAAUUUUUUAAUGUAUCAAAAAUUAAUUAGUCAAUGAAAUCCUCCCUAGUUGUGUAACAAUUGGAGAAAAUUAAUUUUCAAAGUGCCUAAAAAUACAUAUAAUACAGAAACGUCAAUUUACAAAUAAUUUUUUAUAGUUAAAUGUUGAAACAACCAAUUAAAAUCAUACCGACAUAAUAGAAAGUAUAAUAGAACCUGUUGAGGGUAAAUUAUAUGGGUGGUUUAGUAAUAUAAUAUUUCGUUAAAAAUGAGUGUUUAGAAUCAAUUUCUAAGAAAAAGAUUUUUACGAUUUUUCAAAAAAUGACAGGGGCUGCAAUGUUAAUAACCAAGUAAGCAAAUCUCUCACUGCUGAAUAACUUCUUCCAUAAAUUUAAUGGUUGAAUCAUAAAAGGGCAAAGUUAGGGUACCUUGCACAAAAGGCAAUGUGGCUAGACCCUAUAUUUAUUAUUCUUAGGAAAGGGGAGGAAUAUAUAAGGGUGCAUUUGGUAAUAUUUUUUAACUAAUGUUUUCGGCUCUUAUUUUAGAGAAAGAAAAUGACAUUUUUGAUGUGAUGUUUUUCAAAAUGAAAAUUUGUUUGGUAUUAUGUUCUCAAAACGGUAUAUGAAAAUGAAAACAAUAAAAAUUUGUUUGGUUGUUUGUCUGAAAAUAUCGAAUUUUUUAUAGAAUCUUAUAAAAUAAUUUUCUUCAAUUUAUUUAUACAUUUUAUCUUUUAUUAUUAUAAUUUUAAUAAAAAUGAAAUCAAAUUUCACACAACAAUAAUAAUUUUUAGAAAACCCUCUUAUAUUUUAUUAAGUUUAAGAAAAUAAAAUGAAAAAUAAAAUAGUAAAUGUAAAAUAAUUAGCAUAACAAAAUAAAAAACCAUUCUACAAUUACAUUUAUUAUAGACAUUUAAGUAGUUCAUUUGUACUAAUUAUAUUUUACAACACAAAAUAUAAAGGACAAAAUAGUACAUUGCAUCCAAAACAUGACUAAAUAUCUACAUAUAUUCCUUUCAACAUGAAGGACGUCACCUGCAAAUAAAUAAAAAAAUUAGCUAUAGGAUAUUUAAUAAUGAUAACAACAUAAAAAACUCAACUAUAUAACAAAUAAAAAUUAACAUACGUAUUAUGUCGUGUACAGUCAUGCCAUAAUGCUCUUGCAAUCAUAUCUCUAGUGGCAUUCAUUUGCCCAAUGUACUCUUGAUUAGAUAAAUUUAUGUCUACCACUAUAACUUUUCUGCCUCUGUAUGAUGUUUGUUUUUUAGCAGGUGCCCAUACAACUAUAUGAGUUCCAUCAAUUGCACUGAUACAUCCCUAAACAAAAAAAAAUUUAAAAAAAUUUAUAAUGUUUGUCAUUGCCUUCAGCUAUAAAUACGUACCUUAAAAUAUGGACAGUAUUUUAGGUAAUCUCUAACUUCACGUGGUGUCUCUCCUCGGUUUCUUGGACGAAUAAUAUUUGGUGCCAAAAAACAUAUUGCCUUACGAACACGCUUAAAUUGCCUAUGAAUUGUUUCAUUCGAGUGUUGGAAUCAAUCGCAGCAACAUGCUUAUGAAUACUAUGUGACACAAUAAAUAAAAAGAUUGCCACAACUUCAUGUACACUAACUUCUCUCUAAUUUCGUAGCGAGUCUAAUUCUUGGAGAGUGUCACAUAAUCUUAAAAAUACAUGUCUGUCCAUGCGAAAUAAAUCAUACAUCCUAUCUGAAUGCCAAGACAAUAAUUCUUGCACAUAAUCUCGUCCUAUUAAGGUAGAGAUAUUUCGUGGCCUUCUAUGUUGUCAAGAUUGCAGAUAAUGAGAAUAUAUGUUCAACAACAAGAGCAUACCUACUGCAAUCAUCAAGCUAUGAGCCACUAUCUAAUUCACCACUAUACGAUGGAUUAUCUGACUCAUCACUAUAUGAUGAAUUAUUUGAAUCACUUUCCUCCAUUAUGAUAUUUGUUGUAUAUACAUUCAUUAAAGUAAGAAAAUGUUAAUUCAAUUGGAAUAAUGGAUAAAUAUACAAAGGUCAAUUAAUCAACUAAAAUGGAAAUGUUAUAAAAAUUGUACAACAAUAUUAAUACAAUAAUAAAAACAUUAAUACAUAGUUGUGGACUUUAAACUCAAUAACAUAGUUCAUACAAUAGUCCGAAGCUUAGAAAUAACCAUAAACAAUAUAAAAUAGUCAAAGCAUCAAACAAAAACUUAAACACACAUAAAGAAACAAUAAACAUAGUUGCUAUUGCAAAGCAUGAUUAAAAUUAAUCACAAUGCAAUCCUCUAAAGUUGCACAAUCUACUUCAGUCAGCUUAACCAAACUUUCCUUCUAUCAUUAGACAUAGCAAGGAAACUUUUUCUCCACUUCUUAUCAUGAAUCUUGUCCAGAAAGUUCAUGUAAGUGUCAUCAUCAACCCCAAUGCUCUCAACAAUUUGUAUACAUUCUGCACUAGAGUACAACUCUAGACCUUUUCCACUAUGUUCUCCAACAUGACUUGAUUCUUGAGUUUUGGCACUCUUUUGUUUGUCUAAUCUACCACUCAUCACAUCACUAAAAAUUUCAAUGGUCUUUCCCAUUUCCCAACAUUGUGGUUCAGAUAAUUAGGAUUGAUUAGUUUUGCGAUGAACUUUCUUCCCUUUACUAUUUGUAAGUGGCGGCUCAGACUCAUCAACUAACUCAUGGGUAUUCACAUGCACUCCCGUAUUGGGAAACAUUUCCUCAAGUAUCUGUUCUUCAUCCGAAUUUGGAGGUAAUUGGUUUGAUGAAAAGUGCAUCUGACUAGUUGCAGUAGUAGUAUUAAAUAUCUCUCCCAAAAUCUCAUAGUAGUCUAAUCCUUUCUUACGAUAUGGUUUCACUCUUGGAACCCGCUGCAAAAAAAAAAAAAAACAAUAAUAAUUAAAUUAAUUUGUAGAUAAGCAUAUCAUUUUUUUUUUUUAUGCUUAAGCAAAAAAGGUUGUAAACUACAAAAUUACCUUAACGUACUCAAUCCACACUUCAUUUGCUGCGGUGACAGUAUUUGAAAUAGGAUCCCAUCUAAUUCCAGUAUGGUUAAUUAGUUCGGAAAUCUCUCGAUGUUUCUUUCGUAAACAAUUGUACUUUGCUUUAAGUUUGGGAACACUAUAUCGCUUUAAUGUUUCAGCAUAAAGUUCAUCAUAAAUCAUGAACCAAACCUUUUUACUAAAGCUAGAAGUUUGCAGGUCACUCUUUUUCACAUGUUCAUGUAAAAUGCGAAUGAAUAUUGACUCAUUUACAGGGGACCAUUUGGCUUUAUCAUCAACUUCAAACAUUAGUUGAGGCCAUCUCCUUCUAAUGCAUUUAAAAAGAACACACAUAUACUCACAAAUUAUACCCAUAUGUAAUAAUAAUGAUUACACUUUUAAAAGCUAUAAUAAAAUUUAAGGAAAUUAUCCAUCGACCACCUGUUUUUUCAUCGUUUUUCAAAAAUACACAAAUCUUUUUUUUUUUUUUUUGCAGCACUCCACCUGAAGUUAACAUUUUUUUUAUUGGUCCACUCUCGUUAUAAUACCGUUAAAACUUUGCUGACAUCAUAAGGGUAAAAUUAUCAUUUCACAACGGAACAAUGGUGGACAAGUGCAAAACAAUAUAACUUAAGUGGAGUUCAGUAAAAAAAAAUUAAGAAUUGUGUAUUUUUGAAAAAAUACAAAAAAAGGUGGUCGGUGGAUAAUUUAUCUUUUACAUUUGAGGGUAAAAAAGCCAUUUACACAAUAUUUCGUUAGUUUUCUUAACGGUCUCCAAACGGAAGUGGACAAGUGAAAAGAAAUGUAACUUCAGGUGGAUUCCAGUCCAAAAAAAAAAGAAUUGUGUAUUUUUUAAAAAGCCUGAAAAAACAGGUGGUUGGUGGAUAAUUUCCCUGAAAUUUAUCAGUGACAGCACCAAAAUACCCUUUAUUCAAUACAAAAUUUAGUUAAGCAAGGAUUAAAGUAGAAAGACCAAAAAGAUUCGAGGAAGCCUGGAAGACCACUGAACUCAAGAAGCCGUACAUGCUUAAAAUGUUAUCAUGCUCAAAAUGCAAAAAAUACAAAAAAAAAAUUACAGCAAAGUACAUGCUUAAUAUGCAAUACAUAAGCACAUAUAAACGUAAAUAAAAUAAUUUAAAAUAAAGCCACCAUUAUUCAUUCUUACUAAGUAAAAAUUACCAAAAAAAAAAAGAUUCUUCAUCUUAUAUUUGAUAUAAUAGAAAAUCAUACAAAAUUGUAAUGCACAAUAAACAAAAACACAAUAAACAAAACCAAAAAAUUAAAAAAAAAAAUGCAUGUGGAUCUUGUUACUUAAUACAACGAGGAGAAGAAGAAAACCAUAUUCAACAGUCAAUGAGGAAGAAGAAGAAGGUAAGGGAAAUCGUAAAAGUGGCUCAUUUUCUAAAGAAAAAGAUAAGGUAAAAGUAAAAUUGAAUAAAUAAUUAAUAAAAUAAUAAUUUAAUAAAUAAGAGUGGUCGGCCCGGGAAUAACUUUUUUAUCUUACCUUUUUUAUUUUGAUCUCCAGCAACUCAAGAACACUAAUUUUACGUUCUUGAGUUUUCUUUACAAAACUUGGAAAACAAAAAUAUUUUGUUCUCCACUUUUUUUUACUGUUUAUUAAAAAAUACCUUAACCAAACAUGUUUUGUAUUUUUCAUUUUUGGAAAACAAAAAACAGCCAUAAAGAAAACGUUACCAAACACACCCUAAAUUUCCUUGGGAUAUGUAGCAAUUUGUUUAAUAUUAUUUGAAAAUAUUUUAAGAGUUGCAAUUUGAAGAGACAAAAUCUCAUAAUAUCUUCUUGAAAUCUAUUAAACAAAUAGGAUUUGUCUUUGGAGCUUUUGGAGAAUUGCUCUUUACUCAUUUAGUACUUGCCAUGUGGCUAUGCAUAUAUUAUGAUUGAUUGAAAGUAUACAUGUAAUAAAUAAUAAAUAAAAAAGGAAUAAUAUUUCAAGAGCACUCGAGAAUUGUUCCCGUAUCUAUAUGCUUCACAUCAUUAUUUUAACCCUAUUUUGAUGGAUUAAAUAGCAGAAACAAUAAAGAGGUAAGUUUUCUUAUCACUCAAGAAUAGAUUUUCAUUUAUGCUUCCUAGAGUUGGGAUAACCCCUCUUCCUAGUACUCAAAUCUCUAUAUGCUUGGAGGCCUUAUGGAGUACACUAGAUAUAAACCACUUUAAAAUGGUCGAAUUAUAAUCAUAUGUAACAAUUUUAGCAUCAAUAUAUCUUGCGACUUGUUUAGCAGCACAAUCUAGUGAUCUUGUCUCUAUUAACAAUCUUCCUUUCUCUAGUAGUAGCUGUUUGGGGAAUAAAUAGAAGAUUGAUAAUGAAGCGCCACGUGUUGAUGUGCAAAUUUAUGACUGUAAGUGAUAAUUGGGGGUAUCCAACCUAUACCAAGUACAUUUGAUAAUUGAGUUGGAAUGCAGAGUAUGCUAUGCCAGAAAUAAGGUGGUAAAGAAAAAUCAUCAAAAUAUCAAACAUAUGAAAUAUCUCCAUCACUUAAAAAGAAUAUUUGAUUUUUGAAGAAUCAAAUAGGGAAUCUCGCUGGAAAAAAGGGAACUGCCGGUUGUCACACCUGUAAAAAGUAAAGGACGGCACAAGGACAAUGGUCUUUAGUUGCCACACCUAAAAGCUACCAAGACGGCCUCUGCAGAGCUAUCCUGGACCAUACUGUAGCGUAUAUCACUUGUACAAGAAAACAAGCCACGCCAAACAACGUUCUUUUUGUUCCUUAAGCAUGCUCUUAAUGACCCAAAAAUCAUGAUAAAGCUGAAAGAAUGAAAGAAUCUUCAAAAGGACAGCCACAUUGAAAUGCAAGUUACGCAACCCAAGAGGGGGGUGAAUUGGGUUUUUAAAAAUUAUGCAAUACAAUUCGCACAACAAAUUAAUCUAACGCCUUAAUGGAAUAGAAAAUAAUAAAUUCAAACAAGCAUAAAAAUAAAAGAGUAAGGGAAGAGAAAAACAAACACACAGAUUUUUACGUGGUUCGGCAAUCCCCGCCUACGUCCACGCCUCCAAGCUAACCAAGCUCGAGGAUUUCAUUAUCCAAGGCUCCCAAGGCUUCAAGUUCUUACAAUUGACUUCCAAGGUGUCAAUCAACCUUUACGAUCAAGAGAUUAUCUCCCCAAUCUCUUCACCCCAAGUGUUUCUCACACUUACACACUCACAACUUGAUAAGAAAUGAAAAUUAAAACAAAAACUCUCUUUAAGAGUAGAUAUGCAAAUAAUAGCUCAACAAUGAUUCAAUCUAUGAUGAUUUUCAUUUUGGAAGCUCAAUAUAUGUUGUAUGAUCUUAUAUUUGCUUGCAUUGGUUCUUAAAAUGAAGUUGAAGUUAAGUUUUUAUAGUUAAAGCCUGAAAACUAGCCGUUAUAGGUAAAUUCCCGCGCCCAAGCGGUUAGCUGCUCAUGAACAGUGAUAUUACCGUUAUUUUUGAAUUUUACUACAGUAACACUGUUCACUAAAAUUAUACUUUGGCCUAAAACUUUCUAUAAUUAUACUACGGCCCAAAAUGUCAUAAAAUUUUGCAAAUAGGUCCAAUUUCAGAAUUUCCUAAUAAUACUUGUCUUUUCAAAACUUUUUGAAAUUAUGAUAUGGCCCCAAAGAUAUUAUUUUUUCACAACAAGGUCCUUUUCAACAUAAUACCCAUAUUUUUCAAAGUUCUCAAAACCUUUCACUUUAGUCUAAAAUAUUCAUAAAUUAUAGUAUGGCCCAAAAAAUUUCAAAUAUUUGUAAAAAGGUCCAACUCUGAAAUUCAGUAAUAAUACUUAUUAAAAUCAAGGAUUUCAAAACUUUACAUUUAAGUCCAAAUUACUCAAAACCACAAGGUACUUUAUCUUAAAAAAAUAACCUUUUAGUUUAUGAAAAGUAAUUAAUUAAAUUAAUCUCUUGAGCUUCUCAAAUGCUAAAUCAUGCAUCAAUUAAAUCAUACCGGCUUUACAAGAAUUUAUCGCACUAAUUUGUCCGUUGAGCUCUAAACUUUAUUCUUGAUUUCGCCAUAGUCUUGAGCUUGAUUUUACUUGAUUCACUUGCAUAAAUAUUACCCUUCAAAAACUAGUGAAAAUGUGAAAUACAAUAUCUAUUAAAUCACUUAAUACAUAUGUUUGUUAUCAUCAAAAUUAUAUUAUGUAUAGCCCUUUAGGCUAACAAUCUCUCCCUUUUUGAUGAUGACAAACAUCUCAAGUAUUUUGACAUUUAUACUCCCCCUUAAUACAUGGCAUAUAUAAUUAAACAUAUAAAUCAAAUUCAAAACAAAAACUCCCCCUGAAUAUUUCAAAAAUAUGCACAAAUACUUUAAGAUCAAAAUAAAUAUUAUAUGUCUUCAUAUUCAAAAUACACGACUUCUCCCCCUUCAUCAUCAAAAUUACUAGAAAUCCAUGCUAAGAUCGAUAAUAUGGCAAUGGUUAAUCAAGAAUCGUAUAAUAACGAAACAUCCAAUUAACCAUAAAAUGAUCAUGAACCAACAUUCCAUCAAUUCAUCAAGCAACACAUAAGAAUUAAGCAUAUAAUUAACCAAAGAGUUAUAAUAUUCCAAGAAUCCGAAAACAUCAUCCGAACGUAACAUAUCCGAAGAUCAAAUAACAAGCAUCCUCAAUCCACAAAUUAAAAGCAAUAUAUCCAAAUAUCAAACAACAAGAUAUCAUCCACAAAUUAAAAAUAAUAAUGCAUAUAAAGAUGUAGUGCAUAGUGACAAAUGAAAAACAAUAAAAAUAGAGUGCUAAAGAGAUGGUGGAUACGAUGAAGAGGAUGGUGGUGGAAAUCCAAGAGCGGCAAAAAGUUGCUGCUGGCCAUCAAGAAGCUACUGCUGUUGAGCAAAGAGACGCUCUCGCUCGGAAAUAGACUGAAGGUGAAAAGCUUUAAGUUGAGAUUGAAGUUUAUCUUGCCGCUCAGAAAGUGAAUCCACUUUAGUAAACAGCUGCUGCAACGGAUGGGAAGGGCCCUCGGAAGGUGGAGGAUGUGAGCGAUGUGGAGCACUAAGAUCAGGAAGCAAGUGUGGGGGACGGACAUCGUUAAAGAAACGAUGAUCUGUAGGAGCAAGUUCUGUAACCUUUUUGUUUCUUUGAUCUUUAUGCCAUCUAUCGUUCCUCCAAUAAAAACCCAAAUUAGCGAUUGCUUCAUCGCCUAAUUCCCUCGAAUUCAAGGAGAUUGGCUCGGUGAUAGGAACUUGGAAAAACUCUAGAAUUCGGGUAAUAAUACUAGCAUAAGGAAGUGAUCUUUUGGCUAAACAGGGAGUGCUAAGCAUAUGAUGAAGGAUAAUAUAACCAAUAUUUAGCACCAUCUCCUCUAGAAUACAGUCCAAUAUGGCUACAUCUAAACGGCUCACUUCAUCCGCAUGACCAGACCUAGGAGUAAUAACAUGAUGAAGAACAUAAUGAAGAAUUCUAGUUUGAAGAGGUAAGGCUUGAGAUUUCAAAGGUGAUUGACAAAACGCAGAGGACAAAUCACGCCGUCGACAAAUUUUUCGAACAACAUUCUCAAGUGAAAACCAAGGAUCUUUUAUUUUGGUUCUAGCACUAUAUAGUUCCAAUCCCUCAUUUGGAGUUCCAAGGAUAGAAUUUAACAAAGCAACAUCAAAUUCAAUAUGAACUCCCCCAACAUUAGUAACAAUUCUAUUCGAAACUUCCGUAUCCAUAUUCGAAUAAAAAACCUUGACUAAUUUUUCAUAAUAAUGUUCAUUAACAAUCAAUACAUUCUUCCAUUCCAUAGCAAUAAGAAAAUCUUUAAGAGAUUUAUCACAAAUUUCUAAAUUCUCCAUAUUAUUGAGAUUGACAAAAUAAGGAGUAAUGACCGACCUUGGCUUGAAAUUGUCGAGAAAAUGUUUCCGAAGUAGGGGUCGUGGAAAAUGAGUCAAAAUAAACUCUGAAUUGUCGCCAUGACUAUUCUUACGCUUCUUAGCCACGUUUUUACCCUUGGACUUAUCACCACCCGCCAUUAUUGGAAGAAAAAUAAGCUUAAAAAUGCAAUUUCGGGUUUAAAAAAAUUUGAGUGAAAUGGAUUUGUUUGAGGCAAGAAAAUCAAUCCUAGAGAUGAAUGAAGCUAAUUUAUGAUGUAGAUUGAAUUAAAAAUGGGCUAAAGGAAGCUUGAAAAUGAAGAGAGAGAAACAGGUAGAGUGAGAUUUGAUUUUGGGUUUUAUGCGGAGAGUUAUGAAAUGUUGUUUGGAGAGUGAAAAUUGAAGGAGUAAUGGAUGAAUAAUGAUUUGAGUGAUUGAUUUUAACAAGAAAAUGAGUGAAAGAUGAAGAGAUUUGAGAAAGAAAAUGGAGGGGACUAUUCACGCAUGAGAGAGAAAAAGAAAUGAGUGAAGAACAAGUGAAGAAAAGAUGAUGGACAAGUGAUUAAUGAAGAUGAGAUGCAUGGGUUUUAGUUUGAAUGAUUGAUUUGGGCAUAAAAAUGGAUGAAAAAGGAAGAAAUUUGAAGUGAAAAAGGAUGGGUGGUUUACGGUUUUGGAUGAAAGAGAGAACAUGUGCAGAAAAAUAACAAGUGAAGAAGAAGAAGCAAAAAAAAAUACACCCAACCCGUGACCAAGCGGCUAGCCGCUUGCUCUCGGGUUUGGGACAGUCUCCAAGCGGCUAGCUGCUUGAUUGCUGUCCAUUUGCACAAUAGUUGCUUUCCGACUAGUUUCGAUCAAUUCCGUGACCAUUUUGUCAUCCCGAAACAUCUCAAGAGCCAAUUUAAUGCAUGAUUCAUGAUUUUAAACAUCCAAAAGAUGAUUAAUUCAAACUAAUUAUCCAUCCAACAAACAUAUAUUCAUGAAGCACAUAAGCAUUCAAAAAUUAAUAAAUCAAACACCUCAUAUAUCUAACAUGCUCAAACACUUCAUAAACAUUAACAAUCAUCAAGCAAACAAUUUUAAUAGAUUCAAUAACAUAAAUAGAGAUGUUAAUGCAAAAAUUUCAUCAUCCCAAGUUCAUGCCGAAUUUUUAAAAAUUAUUCUUCGCAAAGGGGUUUUGUAAAAAUAUCGGCAAGUUGUUUUUCCGUAGAGAUAAAUUCUAAUGCAAUAUCACCCUUUUGUACAUGAUCUCUCAAGAAAUGAUGCCUAAUCUCUAUAUGCUUGGUUCUAGAAUGUUGAAUGAGAUUCUUUGAAAGAUUUAUGGCGCUAGUAUUAUCACACUUGAUAGGAAUUUGUUCAAGAUUAAUACCAUAGUCUUUAAGUGUUUGUUUCAUCCAAAGUGCUUGUGCUCAACAACUACAUGCGGCAAUAUAUUUUGCCUCAGUAGUUGAGAGUGCAACCGAAUUUUGUUUCUUGCUAAACCAUGAAACAAGUGAAUGACCAAGAAAAUGACAAGUUCCACUAGUACUUUUCCUAUCGACCUUGUAACCGGCAAAAUCGGCAUCCGAAUAACAAGUUAAAUCUAUAUGAGUUCCUCUAAGAUACCAAAGGCCAAUAUCUUUGGUUCCACUCAAAUAACGAAAAAUUCUUUUAACAACAAGCAAAUGAGAUUCAUUAGGACAUGAUUGAAAUCAUGCACACAAACAUACGCUAAACAUGAUAUCGGGUCUACUUGCGGUUAAGUAAAGUAAAGAGCCGAUCAUACCUCAAUACUUUUUAAUAUCAACCUCUUUACCUUUUUCAUCUUUAUCAAGCUUGAUUGUUGGGCUCAUUGGAGUACUCUUGGUAUUUGAUUCAUCAAUGCCAAAUCUCUUGAGCAAGUCUUUGACAUACUUGGCUUGGUUGAUGAAGAUCCCCUCAUUGUUUUGUUUGAUUUGAAGUCCAAGGAAAUACUUCAAUUCUCCCAUCAUGCUCAUCUCAAAUUCCUUACUCAUAUAAGAGGAAAACUCUUUGCGCAAAGAUUCAUUAGUAGAACCAAAAAUAAUAUCAUCAACAUAAAUUUGAACAACAAGUAUAUCUUGAUUUUUAUUCUUAAUAAAAAGGGUAGUAUCCGCUUUUCCCAUCGAAAAACCGUUAUCCAACAAGAAAUUUUUAAGCCUAUCAUACCAUGCUCUAGGUGCUUGUUUUAAUCCAUACAAUGCUUUUGAUAACUUAUAAACAUGAUUUGAAAAUUUUUCAUUUUCAAAACCAGGGGGUUGUUUCACAUAAACUUCCUCCAUAAUAUAACCAUUUAGGAAAGCACUAUUGACAUCCAUUUGAAAUAAAAUAAAAGUUUUAUGACAUGCAAAUGCUAACAACAUCCUAAUGGAUUCUAAUCUAUCUACAUGUGCAAAGGUUUCAUCAAAAUCGAUUCCUUCUUCUUGGGUGUAUCCUUGAGCCACUAAUCUAGCUUUAUUUCUUACAACCACACCGGAUUCAUCCAUUUUAUUUCUAAAUACCCAUUUAGUGCCUAUAAUGGAUUGAUGUUCCGGUUUAGGAACCAAUUCCCACACUUUAUUUCUCUCAAAUUGAUUUAACUCCUCUUGCAUUGCCAUAAUCCAAGACUCAUCAUUUUCCGCAUCCGCAAAAGAUUUUGGUUCAAUUUGAGAAAUAAAUGCAGCAUGCUCACAUGUGUUUCUAAGUGAUGAUCUAGUUGUAAUACCUCUUGAAGGAUCACCUAAAAUUAAGUCCUUAGGAUGAGAGGAAACAUACCUCCACUCCUUGGGGAGUGUUUGAGAAAUACCUUCUUGUUGCUCCAUAUUUGUUUGUUCUUCUUGUCUAUCCUCUUGAUUUUCUUGUGGUGCAUUCUCUUAAUUUUCUUUUGAUGAUUCUUCUUGUAACUCUCCAUCUGCAUCAUCAUUAACAACUCCUUUCUCCGCAGAGGAGAGGUUAGAUUCAUCUAACAUAGCAUGCAUGGAUUCUUCCACAACUAAAGUUCUUUUGUUAUAAACUCUAUAAGCUUUGCUUGAGUUUGAAUACCCGAGAAAGAUACCAACAUCAAAUUUUGGAUCAAAUUUACCAAGCUUACUUUUGUGUUUAAAAUAAAACAUUUGCAUCCAAAAACUUUGAAAUAACCAAUGUUGGGGUUUCUAUCUUUCCAAAGCUCAUAGGGAGUUUUAUUGAGAUGAGGUCUAAUCAACACCCGAUUUAAAACAUAAUAAGCGGUGUUGACGGCUUCGGCCCAAAAAUAUUUUGGUAAUGCAUUUUCAUUUAGCAUGGUCCUAGCCAUUUCUUGAAUAAACCUAUUCUUUCUCUCAACAACUCCAUUUUGCUGUGGAGUCCUAGGUGAUGAAAAUUAAUGCUCAAUGCCAAAAUCAUUACAAAAAAUUUCAAAUGUAUGAUUUUCAAACUCUCCACCAUGAUCACUUCUAAUACAAGUAAUAGAAUAACCCUUUUCAUUUUGAACCUUUUUACAGAAAAUUCUAAAUGCAUCAAUGGCAUCAUCCUUAUUAGCUAAGAAAAAUACCCAUGUGUAUCUAGAAUAAUCAUCUACAAUUACAAAUGCAUAAAAUUUGCCACUUAAACUAGCAUAUCUAGAAGGUCCAAAUAAAUCUAUGUGAAGUAAUUGAAGAGGUUUUGAAGUAGAGAUAUGAUUCUUGUUUUUGAAAGAGGUUUUGAUUUGUUUUCCAAAUUGACAAGCUUCACAAAUUCUAUCCUUUUGAAAACCAAUUUUUGAAAGACCUUUAACUAAAUCAUUUUUCGAAAUUUUUGAAAUUAAAUCCAUGCUUGGAUGUCCUAGUCUUCUAUGCCAUAACCAACCAUCAUCAUGCAAUGCCGAAAAACAUUUAUCAUGAUUAGAUGCACACUCUAUAUCAAUCGUGUAAACAUUGCCACAUCUAUUUCCCAUAAACAAAAUUUUCCCAUUACAUGCAUUCUCAAUAACACAUCUUGAUUUAUCAAAAGCAACUUUAUAACAUUUGUCACAUAGUUGACUAAUGCUAAUCAAAUUGUGUUUCAAAUUUUCAACCAAACACACAUUUUCAAUUAGAGUUGAAGAAACUUUAUCAACAUUACCAAUUCCGAGAAUUUUUCUUUUUGAGUUAUCUCCAAAUGAUACAUCUCCACCAUUUUCGAUUUUGGUGAAACUUGAGAACCAUGCAUAGUUUCCGGUCAUAUGCCUAGAAUAUCCGCUAUCCAAGUACCAUUUAUUUUUCUUUUUCUUCAAGCCCUGCAAAGAAAAUCUUAUGUCUUAGGUACCCAAACCUUUUUGAGUCCUUGAGCGUUAGUAACGGUUCCUUUUGGAACCCAAAUACAUUUGACACCAUAAUAUGCAUUCCUUUUCACGGGACAUCUAUAUUUCAUGUGACCAUUUUGAUUACAAUAAUGACAAACAAUCUUAUGAUCACUUGUGGAGGUAGCUUUAACAAAAUAAUUCUUAUAAUACUUUUGCUUCAAGUUAGGCUUAUACCCAAGUCCUCCUUUACCAAAAACACGUUUUUGAGAGUUAAGCAUGUUAUCCAACAUCUUUUGCCCAUUUGUAAAUUUUAGAACAACAUUACUAAGUUCAAUAUUCUUUUUCUUGAGCAUUUCAUUUUGCUUUUUCAAAUCAUCUACGUGUGGCUCUAAAUGCUCAUGUGAAGUGCUAGGUUUUUCAUUUGAUAAUGCAACUCUAUUAUGCAAGGUUUUAUUCUCUAAUUCUAAUCCUUUAAUCUUCUCAUUCAAUGACUCAUUGCAUUUUUGCAUGGCAUCCUUUUCAUUUGUAAAUUCUAGCAAUUUCUUUUUAAGGCAUGCAUUCUUUUUACCAAUUUUCAUCAACUCAUCAUGCAUUUCUUUAAAAACAUCAUAUAAUUCAUCAUAGGUUGGAUCACUUACCUCAUUGAGAUCAUCACCAUCUCCUAUUGCCAUAAGUGCUAGGUUUGAUACUUUUUGCGACUCUUCUUCAUCACUUGAAUCUUCAUAGCUAUCAUCCCAAGUAGCAACCAUAGCUUUCUUCUUGAGUUUGUUGAGAAGUGGGCAUUCCGAUCUUAUAUGGUCGGGCUUUUUGCAUUCAUAGCAUAUGAUUACCUCUUUCUUCUCCUUUUGGUUUUUGAAGUUUCUAAAUUUUCUUCGGUCAUCGGUUUUCUUAAAAAAAUUUCUGAACCUCCUUGCUAGCAUAGCCAACUCCUUAUCAUCCGGCUCACUUUCCCCAUCACUCUCAUAUUUUGUGGCUUUGAGAGCAAUGUUUUUCUUCUUUUCCUCAUUUCCUCUUUCGGCUGCCAAAUCUUCCUCAUAAAAAAUAAGAGAACCAAUUAAAUCAUCAAUAGGUAAGAUAUUCAAAUAUUUAGCUUCCUCAAUGGCAGUCCUUUUUUGUCUCCAUUCUUUAGGUAACGACCUAAUGAUUUUCUUAACUUUCUCGCUAUUUGAAAAGGUCUUUCCUAGGGCUCCUAGAGUGUUUACUAUGUCCGUAAAUCUAGUAUACAUAGAAUACUCACUCUCAUUUUGUUCCAUUUGGAACAAUUCAUAUUGCCGAGUGUACCUAUUAAUUUUAGACUCUUUCACUUGAUUCGUGCCUUCAUAAACAACUUCAAGUUUGUGCCAAAUUUCAUUAGCACUUUCACAACUAGACACUCUAUGAAACUCUUUCUUAUCGAGUGCACAAAACAAGACAUUCAUGGCUUUGGAAUUUAGAAAAGCUUUUCUUUUUUCCAAUUCAUUCCAUUCCCGUGAAGGUUCUGGAAUGUCUUCCCCGAAUUCAUUUUUAGUCAAAGGCAUAAAUGGACCAUCACAUACAACUUCCUAAAUUUCAUAAUCUAGUGCUUGUAAAUAAAUUCUCAUCCUAGUUUUCCAAUACGGGUAGUCAUUUUCGUCAAAGAACGGUGGCCUAGUUGUGGAUUGUCCUUCUUUAAAGGUUGAAUCAUUUUGGGUUGCCAUAGAUCUUUUACUCUAGACGGUUAAUUCCUAAUAAGAGAACCAAGCUCUGAUACCAAAUGAAAUGCAAGUUACGCAACCCAAGAGGGGGGGUGAAUUGGGUUUUUAAAAAUUAUGCAAUACAAUUCGCACAACAAAUUAAUCUAACGCCUUAAUGGAAUAGAAAACAAUAAAUUCAAACAAGCAUAAAAAUAAAAGAGUAAGGGAAGAGAAAAAAAAACACGGAUUUUUACGUGGUUCGAUAAUCCCAGCCUACGUCCACGGCUCCAAGCCAACCAAGCUCAAGGAUUUCACUAUCCAAGCCUCCCAAGGCUUCAAGUUCUUACAAUUUGACUUCCAAGGUGUCAAUGAACCUUUACAAUCAAGAUAUUAUCUCCUCAAUCUCCUCACCCCAAGUGUUUCUCACACUUACACACUCACAAUUUGAUAAGAAAUAAAAAUUACAACAAAAACUCUCUUUAAGAGUAGAUAUGCAAAUAAUAGCUCAACAAUGAUUCAAUCUAUGAUAAUUUGCAUUUUGGAAGCUCAAUAUAUGUUGUAUGAUCUUAUAUUUGAUUGCAUUGGUUCUUAAAAUGAAGUUGGAGUUGAGAUUUUAUACUCAAAGCCCGAAAACUAAUCGUUAUAGAUAAAUUCCCGCGCCCAAGCGGUUAGCCGCUUGAUUUAUCCGGCUAGCCACUCAUGAACAGUGAUAUUACCAUUAUUUUUGAAUUUGCUACAGUAACCUUGUUCACUAAAAUUACACUUUGGCCCAAAACUUUCUAUAAUUAUACUACGGCUCAAAACGUCAUAAAACUUUGCAAAUAGGUCCAAUUUCAGAAUUUCCUAAUAAUACUUGUCUUUUCAAAACUUUUUGAAAUUAUGAUAUGGCCCCAAAGAUAUUAUUAUUUCACAACAAGGUCCUUUUCAAUAUAAUACCCAUAUUUUUCAAAGUUCUCAAAACCUUUCACUUUAGUCCAAAAUAUUCAUAAAUUAUAGUAUGGCCCAAAAAAUUUCAAAUGUUUGUAAAAAGGUCCAACUCUGAAAUUCAAUAAUAAUACUUAUUAAAAUCAAGGAUUUCAAAACUUUGCAUUUAAGUCCAAAUUACUCAAAACCACAAGGUACUUUAUCUUAUAAAAAUAAAACCUUUUAGUUUAUGAAAAGUAAUUAAUUAAAUUAAUCUUUUGAGAUUCUCAAAUGCUAAAUCAUGCAUCAAUUAAAUCAUACCGGCUUUACAAGAAUUUAUGGCACUAAUUUGUCCGUUGAGCUCUAAACUUUAUUCUUGAUUUCGCCAUAGUCUUGAGCUUGAUUUCACUUGAUUCACUUGCAUAAAUAUUACCCUUUAAAAACUAGUGAAAAUGUGAAAUACAAUAUCUAUUAAAUCACUUAAUACAUAUGUUUGUUAUCAUCAAAAUUAUAUUAUGUAUAGCCCUUUAGGCUAACACACAUCACCACUAGAAAUGUGCUAAGUGGCAGGACAACCAGGGUACUCCAUAGAUAAAGACACUAAAGUUCUACUUUUCUCAGACAUACAAUAAACACACACACUCCACAAAAUGGCUGAGGUCUCUUUCAACCUCCAGCCAUCAUCUUAGAGAGCUUGUAAGCUCUCACACUAAAACUAAUUCAAAUAGUUGACUUGAGUGUUGGAAUGUGGUCAUUGGCCACCCUCGACUUCACCUCUAACCUCUUUUUCGUUGUUUUGCAAGCUUAUUUUAUUCAUCUUAUAUAAUAUAAAAUCUCAUAUAACCUCUCAUUUAUAUAGUGGAUUGGUGAUUACUUUCUCCCGUGGAUGUAGGACAAAGGUCGAAUUGUGUAAACAUUGUGUAUUCAUUGUAUUUAUAUUUAUUUUAUUAUAUUUUCAAUUUGCAGCCAUAAUUGAGUUUCACGUAUGAGCAUACUUAACAUACCUUACUUACACUAAGUUUUCGAUAAGACACAUGAGCUAUCCCUCGAGUAUACUUGAGCUGCCUCAACUACCCUAAGUAUUCUGUGAGACACUUGGGUUACUCCUUAAAUCAAUUCCUAUAUGUUACUUUGGCUCACCAUCUAGGGUAUCUCAACUAAACCACCUACCCUAAACAUCAGAAAGCACACCUACGACUUAACUUAGCACAAGCUCUCCUCAAAUAUAAAUUUAUUUGUUUCAAUUAGAUUUGAACUGGAUUGGGUGAGAACUAUCCAAUUUGUCCAACUAAAGGGGUAAAAGUGAAAUUCAAAUAUGACAAUUGGUGCCCUCACGUAAGUGGGCAACAUGCCAUUAGAAAAAGAAUAAGUAUCUUUGUUUCUAAGUUAAAAGGAAUGGACCAAUAGAAGAAUAAUCAACUAAGCAUAACAAUGAGAGAAUGACAUGUUAACAUUCCUCAACUGUCUCUUAAAUAGUAGUAGGACCAUUGCACCAGCGUCCACCAUGGUGAAGAGCAAGGACCACAUGAGGGAUAAAGGGAUUACUUAUCCACUAUGGUUAUUUGGUCACCAUCAAGUAAAUAAAAUGAAAAGACAAAAACAAUCCCACUUGUGGAGGGCAGACCAGUGAAAAUUCAACUUUAAACAUAAGGAAAAUGAGGUCUUUUUCUAGAUCUGAUUUCUUAAGAGGCUGCUUUAUCUUCUUCCUCUAUUUUUAGGGUUUCUUCUAUAUUUUUACACCUCCAUAGAAUAUUAACCAAAUUACCUCUCAAAGCAAUUUUUUACUUAUUCUUCCCUUAGAGAAUUCUCUAAUCUCUAUAAAACUCACAUCUCCCCCAUGUUAUUAUUAACUAUAAAAAGCCUUUAAUAACAUUUUUUUGAUAUUAUAAAGCAAAUCAUGUAAUACUUCAUUUAAAUAGUAGAUUAAAGAUGAGUUACUUAUGUGGAUAUAGGCCAAAUGGCUGAUUGACGUAAAAUCUUGAGUGUUUUUUUUUUUUUAAAUUCUUUAUGUGUAUUUUCUACUUAUUGUGAUGGUUUUGAUACCUAGAUUGUAUACUAUUUAUGAGCUCAUGUAAUUUAUACCACCAGCUAUAUUAAGCUCCCUAGAUAUGCUCUCUAAAGUUUUCUUUAGACUACAAUGCGAAGAUCAAGCUCUAGUCGUCUACCAAUCUCCUUUCACCAUUAUUCUAUAAGCAAAAGUCAAGAGAUAUCCUGAUGAUUUGCUCAUCUAUCUCAGAGAAUGCCACAAGUUUAGUUUUGCUCGGAUGCAAAGACAAUAAAUUUCAAUAUCCUAUUUACUAUCCCGGUAAAGCUAUAACGGAUGCAAAAAAAAAGUCUCACUCAGCUAUUAAAGCUCAAGUCAUUUUUGAAUUCCUACUAAACCUGGGGGGAUUAGAGCAAGGAGAUGUUGAAGGGGAACCUGAGUAGAGAUUAAAGAGUAGCUCCUAUGGAAGCAUAACUCAGUUGCCAACAAGUUUCUGCAUGUGGAUAGGAAUACAGUCGAACAUCUUUAUAUCGCAUUGUGUAAAGAAAACACAACAAAUAGCUUACUCUAAUAGUUUCUCCCUUAUCUCUCUUAUUACUUACAUAUGUUUGUAAAUUAGUGUGAAGAUCUUGUGGGUUAUAUCGGGUUAUGUCUUUUAUGUUUUGUUAUAUUAUGGUUAUAACUUUUUAUAAUAAUUUCAGCAUUAUUAGGUUCACUAUUCAUGCUUCACAUUCUCUUCCGAUAGUGUUAUGUCCAAGGAUUAUAAGUUUUUCUUGUUUAAAUCUUUGUUAUGCUUUUGGGCUCCUAAGUCCUAACUUUUAUAUUAUUUCCUACUUCUUGUUUUGUUAAGGAUUAGUUAUGUGUUUCUAUUAAUUAGUUCGUUAAUUAGUCUUCUAUUUUCUAUGUGUAAGUUGUUUAGUGAUUGACACUAAAAAGUGUACAUUUAAUAAGGAUAAAAUUAUUAGUUUUUCCCUUAUUGUGUCGAUUAAUGUGCUCAUUAUUUCUACAUUAUUUUAAUACUCACCAAAUAUAUUUUUAUGUUAAAUUAAUUCGCAAUAUGUUAAUUUUCAUCUUGUAAAUAUUUUUCAGGAAUAAAGAUGGAAUUGGAAUUGAAAGCGGGAACAAAAAAUGAUAGCUGGAGCAAUUUGAAAUUCAUCAAUCGAGGAGAUGUUAUUGAAAAUUAAAAAAAUAAUAAUAUAAAAAAAUAAACAAAGAAAAAAAAAAUAGAUUGACAAUCAUGUUGGUGAUCAGGCCUCCUGACCAUCACACAUUUCAAUUAACAUAUAUAUAAUAUAAAAAUAAAAUAAUAAUAAAAGAAAAGAAAAGAAUAUGCAUCCCUUGCCUAUAAAAGGCAAGGGGAUGUAAGGGAGCGAAGUACCAAAGCCGAGAGAGAAAGUUGUAGCCAAGAGGGAACUGAAAAAUUUCUAUCUUUCUUUAUUUUCUUUUCUUAUUUCCUUCUGUAUCAAUUUUCCUUAUAACAUAUUUCAAAAGUUUAUCAAAUAAAAAGAGUGUUUUGUUUUCUUUCAAUAUGAGUGGCUAAUUUUACUAAGUUGAGGUGAAAUGUGAAGCUCAAUGUUUCAAACUAUUAAAUUUAUUAUUUUCUCAAAUGAGUUUUUAAGUUUUUUUUAUUCUUUUCUAGUUAUUUUUAUGUCAUAUUAAUUUAUAGAUUCUCUUGAAUCUGUGUGGUAUUUUGAUAUAAUAUCAACACAAUAAUACAGUUGUGGCAGAUUAUGUACUUUAUUCCAUAUUUAUCCACACACAUAGUUAGUUAAGAAUUAAAUAAUAUAAUAAUUAACUGGUAAAAAUGAGGUAAAAUAUAAAAAUGAGAGAGUAAUAAAAUUAUAGUUGAAUACUGAGAGUAGAUCUCAUAACCUUAGCAUAUUAUAAAUUGAUUCCAAAUAAUUUUUUUUUGCUCAAUUAAUUUUCUUUGGUUUAAAUUCACUACUAGAUUUUAAAUUCCCUGUUGUUCAACCCUAGACUUAUCGGGUUAUAUUAUAACUAGACACUCUUAUACUUGAGAGUAAUAUACUUUUGAGUAGUGUCAAAUUUUUAGCGCCGUUGCCGGAGAAUUUCUUAAAUUUAGUGUCGUUUAUUUUAUUUUAUUUUGUCAAUUAUUGUUUACGUUUUGUAUUUUCCCUUACAUCAUUUCUUUGUUUGGUUCAAAUAAUUCAUUUCGUAAAAUUUCAGUCAGCUCCUUUCUCUCUUUUAUAAUCAUAGAAUUGUCAUAGAAUUUGUGAGAAACUUCAUUUAAGCCCAAUAACUUUUGCAAAUCAGUCCUCAAACUGAAUUUUUUUCUUUAAAUUUCUACAAUUUACUUUUCGUAUUUAUUUUAAAUGGUCGGUUCAACCGCUUGAUUGUUAUUUAAAUUUUGUUAAUUUAUUUAAUUUUAUUUAUAUGGUCAGUUUUACCACCUAACAUUUUAAUUUCAGUUGAUUUAUUCUUGUACAUUAAUUUAUUUUAUUUUAUAUUUUUUUAUCUGGCUAAUUCUAAAAUACCGCCUAAUAUUUUGUUAAUUAUUCCUUUAAUUACUUUUUUUUAUGGCUGGUUUCACCGCCUAAUUUAUUUUUGUGAAAUUAUCCACCGACCACCUUUUUUUGGGGUUUUUUCAAAAAUACACAAUUCUUUUUUUUUUUUUUUGGGCUGAAUUCCACUUAAAGUUAUAUUAUUUUGCACCUAUCCACUUCCUUCUUCAAACCGUUAAGAGAACUAGCGGAAUAUUAUAUAAAUGACUUUUUUACCCUCAAAUGUAAAAGAUAAAUUAUUCUCCGACCACAUUUAUUUUUCCCAUUUCUUCAAAAAUACACAAUUUUUAAUUUUUUUUUGCUGAACUCCACUUGAAGUUAUAUUGUUUUGCACCUGUCCACCACUGUGUCGUGAAAUGAUAAUUUUACCCUUAUAAUAUCAGCAAAGUUUUAACGGUGUUAUAACGAGAGUGGACCAAUGAAAAAAAUGUUAACUUCAGGUGGAGCGCUGCAAAAAAAAAAAAAAAAGAUUUGUGUAUUUUUUAAAAACGGUAAAAAAACAAGUGGUCGGUGGAUAAAUUUCCUUUAUUAUUUUAUUUAUUUUCAGUUUAUUUAUUUUUAUUUCGCAUUUUUGCUUAUUUAAUUUCCAGUUUACUUUUUUUUUCUGCAAUUUUCGUUUAGCGUUUUAUGCAUCAUUAGUUUAGCACGCAUCAUUAGCAUUGCAUGCGUCGUUGGUCUCGUACAAAUAGUGGUAGAUUAAUUAGGAGAUCACCUUCACCACCCUUAGAUAUGGCUGACAUAGGAGCUGGAAAAUAUAAUCAGACUUAACGUUUUUCCUUUUUCACUAAAGGAUAAAGCUAAAACUUGGCUACAAAAUCUUAGGUCAGAAUCUAUCAGAACUUGGGAUGAAAUACAAGUACAAUUUUUGAAAAAAUUCUUCCCACCCCACAUUUACUUUGACCAUGCAUGAAAAAAAGGAAAGCUUCCUGCUCAACCUUAACCAAACCCCAAGAGUCAACAACAUCCUCAAAUGGGAAAUUCAGGAAACCAAAACAUAAGUCAAGUUAAAUCGGUUAUAGUCGUUCGUGGUGGUAAAGUUGUCAAAAAACAUAUCCAGGACCCUCGUGAAACUAGUAAAGAUUCAAUUUUAGAGAAUAUGGAAAAGUUUGUCAAACCUUUAAAACAUUAAGAAAUAACCAACUCUCCUCCUGUACCCCCAUUUCCUCAAGCACUAAUCAAGCCAAAGAAAUCAAACUACAAUAUAGAAAUUUAUGAAAUUUUUAAACAAGUAAAGGUCAACAUUCCUUUGCUGGGUGCCAUUAAACAAAUACCUUCUUAUGCUAAAUUUCUGAAAGAUCUAUGCAUGGUGAAAAGGAAACAUAAGGUGUAAAAGAAAGCUUUUUUAACAGAACAGGUAAGUUCCAUUCUCUCAACCAAUAGUGCUUUGAAAUACAAGGAUCCUGGUUGUCUAACUAUUUCUUGCAUUAUUAGGGAUAAUAAAAUUGGACAUGCUUUACUUGAUCUUGGUGCUAGUGUUAAUUUGCUUCCUUACUCAGUGUACCAACAAUUCAAUCUCGGUGAGUUAAAACCAACUUCUACCACUCUUUUACUUACUGAUAGAUCGAUUAAGGUUCCAAAAAGAAUAAUUGAAGAUGUAUUAGUCCUAGUCAAUAAAUUCAUAUACCCUGUGGAUUUUAUUGUUUUGGAAACAGAACCAAUUGUUAAUGAAUGCAAACAAAUUCCUGUUAUAUUGGGUCGACUAUUUUUAGCUACAUCUAAUGCUUUGAUUAAUUGCAAGAAUGGAUUAAUGAAAUUUUCUUUCGGCAACAUGACAUUGGAACUCAAUGUGUUCAAUAUGUGUAAACAACCUCACCACCAGAAAGAUGAUGAUAAUGAGAAUGAGGAGAUUGAUCUCAUCGAGCCAAUCGUUGAGGAACACAUUCAGGAUGAGAAUUCUAUAAAAUCUAUAGAAAUUUGUUUUGCUGGUUCUUUUGAGUCAAGUAAGGAAUUAGACUGUGAUAUUGCUAACACAUACCCUACACUUGAUUCUAUGCAGGUACCUACAGGUGAUUAUGAGCAAUCGAACUUUGAAGAUACGACACAACCUGAAGAAUUAAAUGAAAAGGAAGCACCAAAGCAUAAAUUAAAACCCUUAUCGGAAGAAUUAAAGUAUGCCUAUCUUGGAAAGCAACAGACAUAUCCGGUAGUAAUUUCUUCCCAACUCAUGCGUGAUAAAAAAUGUAAGUUGUUGUCUGUACUAAAAAAGCAUAAAAUUGCAUUUGGUUGGACCUUAAAAGACAUAAAAGACAUUAAUCCUUUAAUCUGCUCACACCGAAUACAAUAAGAGGAAAAUGCCAAAACAACCCGUCAACCACAAAGAAGACUAAACCCUUAUAUGAAAGAAGUGGUAAAGAAUGAGGUCCUUAAACUACUAGAUGUAGGAAUUAUCUAUCUUAUCUCUGAUAGUAAAUGGGUAAGUCCAACACCAGUAGUACUAAACAAAUCUGGAAUAACCGUUGUAAAAAAUGAAAAAAGGUGAGCCAAUCCCAACACGAAUUCCAUCUAGUUGGUGCAUGUGCAUUGAUUACAAAAAAUUAAAUGAUGCCACUAGAAAAGAUAAUUUUUCCCUUCUAUUUCUAGACCAAAUUCUCGAAAGAGUAGCUGGACAUCCCUACUACUGCUUUCUUGAUGGCUAGUCUGGCUAUUAUCAAACUCUAUAGCCUUAGAAGACCAGGAAAACCACAUUCACAUGCCCAUUUGGAACAUUUACAUUUAAGAGAAUGCCUUUUGGACUUUGUAAUGCUCCUGCAACAUUUCAAAGGUUCAUGCUAGGCAGUUUUGGUGACAUGGUUGAAAAUUGUCUAGAGGUUUUUAUGGAUGAUUUAACUGUAUUUGGUAAUUCUUUUGAUACAUGUCUUGAUAAUUUAGAAAGUGUUUUGAAAAGGUGCAAAGAAAAAGGAUUAGUUUUAAAUUGGGAAAAAUGUCAUUUUAUGACCACUUCUGGAAUUGUCUUGGGCCAUGUUGUGUCUUCAAAAGAAAUUGAAGUUGACAAAGUCAAAGUUGAAGUCAUUUCAAAAUUACCCUCACCAAAGACAAUUAGAGAAGUCCAUUCCUUUUUACGACAUACAUGAUUUUAUAGGAGGUUUAUAAAAGACUUUAGUGUCAUAUUUAGACCACUUUGUAACCUCCUAAUAAAAGACACACCUUUUGAAUGGAUUAAAGAUUGUCAACAAGCUUUUGAAAAAAUAAUUAAUCUUUUGACAUCAGCCCCAAUAAUGCAACCCCCUGAUUGGUCUUUGCCUUUUGAGCUAAUAUGUGAUGCUAGUGAUUAUGCCGUUGGUGUUGUUCAAGGACAAAGAAAGGAAGGUAAACCCUUUGUCAUCUAUUAUGCAAGUAGAACUUUGAAUAGUGCUCAAAUGAAUUACACUACAACUGAGAAAGAACUACUUGCUGUAAUAUUUGCAUUGGAUAAAUUCCAUUCGUAUUUAAUUGGUUCAUUUACUAUUGUUUAUUCUGAUCAUACUGCUGUGAGAUAUUUAAUGUCAAAACAGGAUGCCAAAUCAAGGUUGAUACGAUGGAUUUUGCUACUUCAAGAAUUUAACUUGACAAUCAAGGAUAAAAAGGGCGCCGAAAAUGUUGUUGCAAAUCAUCUUUCAAGACUUACAAAUGAGUUUUUAAUUGAAACAACACCCAUCAAUGAUUCUUUUCCUGAUGAAUUUUUAUUUUCUAUAAACAAAAUGCUUUGGUAUGCUAAUAUUGUUAAUUAUCUUGCAAUAGGUGAAAUGCCAUGUGAUUGGAGUUCCCAAGAGAAGAAGAAAUUCUUAACAGAAGUGAAAAGUUUUUACUGGGAUGAUCCAUACUUGUUCAGCUACUGCUCAGCUCAAAUUUUUUGAAGAUGCAUACCAGACGACGAGGUAAGUAGGGUCAUUUAAUUUUGUCAUUUUGAAGCAUGCGGUGACCAUUUUUCUUCAAAAAAGAUAGCUGCAAAAAUAUUAGAGUGUGGAUUUUAUUGACCUACAUUAUUUAAAGAUUCACAUGUAUUCUGCAAAGUGUAUAAGAAUUAUCAAAUGAUAGGGUCUAUUUCAAAGUGAAACAUGAUGCCUUUAAACCCCAUUCUUGUCAUUGAAAUAUUUGAUUGUUGGGGAAUUGAUUUUAUGGGCUCUUUUCCAUCAUCAUUUGGAUUUGUAUACAUUUUAGUUGCUGUUGAUUAUGUUUCAAAAUGGAUCGAAGCGAUUCCUUGUCGGCACAAUGAUCACAAGAUUAUGAUAUGCUUUUCAAAAGAAAAUCUUUUGAGCAGAUUUGGAAUACCUCGCGCCAUUACCAAUGAUGGAGUUAAGCAUUUUUGUAAUAGGCUAUUUGAGUCCUUAAUGAAGAAAUAUGGAAUUACACAUAAAGUUGCUACCCCUUAUCACCCUCAAACAAGUGGUCAAAUUUAAUUAGCAAAUAGGGAGAUAAAAUAAAUUUUAAAAAAGACAGUUAAUCCAAACCGUAAAGAUUGCUCUCUUCGACUAACUGAUGCACUUUGGACAUAUCGUACUGCUUUUAAAACAUCUUUAGGAAUGUCACCCUAUCAGCUUGUUUAUGAAAAAUCUUGCCACUUACCGGUUGAACUUGAACAUAAAUCAUUUUGGGUCAUUAAAGCUUUUAAUUCAAAUCUUGGUGGUGAUGAUGGUAAUGUGCGUAAAUUGCAAUUGAAUGAACUUGAGGAAUUAAGGAAUGAUGCAUAUGAGAAUUCCAGAAUUAUUAAGGCAAGAACCAAAUUUUUUCAUGACACAAGAAUUUUUCGGAAAACAUUUGAAAUUGGUAAAAAAGUAUUGCUUUAUAAUUCUCGUCUUCAUUUGUUUGCAGAGAAGUUAAAGUCAAAGUGGAAUGGUUCAUUUGUUGUAAAAAAACGUAUAUCCAUAUGAAGUCGCAGAAAUUGAGAAUCCAAAGGAUGGUGUCACAUUUAAAGUUAAUGGUCAAAGAUUGAAACCAUAUUUGAAAUACCAACCACGUGAAGCAGACACUGAAAUCAAUUUGAGUGACCUACCAAAUCUUGAUUAAGCCUGUUGAUUAGUAUUAAAAAUUGUUGAAUUAUCAAGCGAUAAUAUGUUAUUUUAUGCUUAUGUUAUAAUUUAUAUUUUUGUUUAUGUAAUAUAUUAGGAAUUAUUAAUUAUGUUUUAAAUAUAUUUAAUUUUGUGUAUUUUUAUGUGUUUAUUAGGAAAAAUAUUAAAUUCACGUACUUCGAGGCUCCAAACAGAUAAACGGAGGUAAAAUUUAGAUUUCGGAGGUCCGAAAACCUUAAGAUCAGUCAAGAUCGGCUUAAAAUUGGGCUUGUAUAAAAAAAAGUUGACUUUUCCUGUUGACCGAGCACUGAUUGGAUGAUGAAAUGAGCUUACAAUAGAUAUGAGUGUAUGGGAUAGCUGGCAAUCUUGACCAAAUCUCAACCGUUCAUGAUUCAAUGACCAUGAUUGUGCCACGUGGCAAUGGUUGGUGAAGCAAGUUGGAGGAUCCGAAUCUUUGUAUUCGGGUCGACCCGAUCCACCCAUUAACCCGCCAAAUCUCAACCGUUCUUUGGGUAAAUCGGACGAGUCAAAUGAUGCCAUGUGUGAUGUUGACUUUUGAAGUUUGACCAGCCAUUGGAUCUUGAUCUAAGGGUUGUGAGGAGCACAUGCAUGAAGCCUAUGAUGGACCGCAAAGCACUGGAUUAUGAAUUUAUUUUUCUAUAAAUAGGGCCUCAUUUUUAUGUUUUAAUCAUCUCUCUACAACUCUCUUCUUCUCAAAUUCUCUCCAUCUCCUUGUAAUCUUGAUUUCCAAGUGUGUUUUUAAUAUUUUGUAUAAUUAUUUUCAUUAAUAAAAUUAGUUUUAUUUCCAAUUUUAGUUGUUUUUAUUUCUUUUAAUUAUAAGUAAUGCAAUUUUACUACUUCUUUUUAUUUUAAUUAUGCUUAACUAAAUAAUAUUAGUUAGGGGAAGGUGAAACUCUUAGGAAAUAAAUAUGAUUUAAUCAAAUUCUAUUUUUAAUUUUAUAAAUUAAAUUAUUUUCUAUUUAAUUUUAUACAUGUUUUAUAUUUUGAAAUUUUGAUUUAUUGUAGACAAACAAAUGAAUUUGGCACAAUAAAUUCUUAAGAUCUUAAUAUAAGGCAUGGUGAAAUGGUAUUUUGACUUAUUGUAGACAAAUUAAAUUUUGGCACAAUAAAUACUUAAUCCAUCAUAAAAUUAAAGGGAAAAUAAUAAUAAUUUGUAUAAUUAAUCUUUUGGGUAAUAAAUCUAAAAAAAAUUGGCAAAAAGAAUUUAUUAAGUUUUAUUUACUUCUAAGAGUGGAUCCACAACCCUAACUAGUUCAAUUUCAUAGUUUCAUUUAAAUUAAGUUGUUUAUAUUCAAGUUUUAAUUUCAAUUUUUAGAUAAAAUAAAACAAACAAAUUAAAUCUUUUCUCUGUGGAUCGACCUCGGACUCACCGAGUUAUAAUACAACAAGACACUCUUAUACUUGGGAGUUAAAUAUUACUUUUAAGUUGUGUCAAGUUUUUGGCGCCGUUGCCGGGGAAAAGUUUUUUUUAUUUGGUUUGUUUUUCCGUUUUUAUUUUUCUCUUAUAUGUAAACUUUCGUUUGCCCCCUUUUCCUUUUCUUAAAUUCUCUUUUGUCCCUAUAUCUUUUAUAAUUUGCGUUUCAUCCCAACAAUUCCUGUUUCUAGCCCAAUCUUCUGGUAAUUACAUUCUGACCCCAACAUCUUUCAGUCGUUUCACUUUCAUCCCAAAAGGCUCAAUUCUAAACUUCUAAAAAUUACAGUUUGACCAUAAAAUUAAAAAUAAUUUGUAAUAAAAUCCCUAGACGAAAUUCCUCAAAAUAAUCAAGACUUGGACAUACUUUGGACAUAUUUUGGACAUACUUUGGACAUAUUUUGGACAUACUUUGGACAUAUUUUGGACCAAACUAACUUUAACUACUAACUCUAAUUAUUAACUCUUAACUUACUAACUGCUAACUCCUAACUUUUUUUUUAAUUUCAGUUAUUUAAUUUUCUGCAUUUAUUUUUGCUUCAUUGGUGGGUUUAACCACCAAACUAACUACUAACUCUUAACUUUAAUUUUCAGUUAUUUAAUUUUCAGUAUUUAUUUAAUUUUUUAUUUUUUAAUUGGUGGGUUCAACCACCAUUUUUUUUUCUAUUAUUAUUUUGCAUUUAUUUUACUUAAUUGGUGGGUUCAACCACCAAAAUUGUUAUUUAAUUUUCUUUUGUAUACUUAUAUUAUUUACUUAUUUAUUUUUUAUUUUAUUUUGUUAUCAAUUUGUGUAAAUAUUAUCUUUAUAACAUAACCCUUGCAUGAGACGUUGGUCUCGAUCUUCAAGUGGCAGGUUAAUUCGUAGAUCUCAAUCUCCACCACCAAUCAUGGAUGAGAAUGAAGGCGAAAACGUUUUGGGCGAACUUAAUCCUCAAAUUGAUCAGGGAGACAACCAAUCUCAACAUGGGCAUGAUCAGAAUCAACCAAGGACUCUGAGAGACUACAUGAAUCCAACCAGAACCGGAGCACCGUCGUGUAUAAUAUUUCCUCCAGAAGCAUCUCGAUUCAACUUUAAACCAGGUAUUAUCCAGCUUUUACCAACAUUUCAUGGUUUAGAAUCUGAGAAUCCAUACUUGCAUCUAAGAGAUUUUGAGGAAGUUUGUAAUACAUACACGGACCAAAAUUGUAGCAUGAACAUAAUUAGAUUAAAGCUUUUUCCUUUUUCAUUAAAAGAUAAAGCUAAAACUUGGCUACAAAACCUUAGAUCUGGAUCAGUAAGAACUUGGAAUAACAUGCAAGAACAGUUUUUGAAAAAAUUCUUUCCACCUCAUAGAACAAAUUCUUUUAAAAGGCAAAUCACUUCUUUCACUCAAAAAAAUGGAGAAACAUUAUACCAAUGUUGGGAUAGGUUUAAAGAGUUGCUUAACAUAUGUCCACAUCAUGGUUUUGAAACUUGGCGAUUGGUCACUUACUUCUACGAGGGCUUAAUACCCCAAAGUAGACAGGUUGUUGAAAUGAUGUAUAAUGGUGAAUUUAGGGAUAAAAAUCCUGAAGAUGCACUAGAUUACCUUGACCAAUUAGCUGAAAAUGCACAACAUUGGGAUACUGUUGGAACUUUUGAAUUAACAAAUAAGCAACAAUCAUCCCCAUCUAGUGGAGGAAUCCAUAACCUUAGGGAAGAUCAUGAUUUACAAGCAAAAUUUGCAUCCCUAGUUAGGAAAGUUGAAGCUUUGGAGCAUAAAAAGAGUGAUCAAGUAAAAUCUGUUCAAGAAAUUGCAUGUAAUAUAUGUAAUUCGAAUGAUCAUUUCACUCAAGAGUGUCCCACUUUGCCUGCACUUAAAGAAUGUCUAAAUGAUCAAGCUAAUGUCAUUAACACUUUCAAUAAGCCAAACCCAUAUUCACAGACUUAUAAUCCUGGUUGGAGAAAUCAUCCGAAUUUCAGUUGGAGGAAUAAUAAUAAUGCACAAUCUUCACAAGCACCACCUCCACAAAAUUUUCAAAAUCCUCAGCCUUAUGCACCAUAUGUUCCACCACCCUGGAAAAAUCUGGAAGACACAAUGCAUUCAUUCAUCAGAAAGCAAGAUGUUAUUAACAAUCAAAAUGCACAAACUUUUUCUGAUUUGAAAGAUACUGUUGCUAAAAUUGCUUCUGCACUUACCAUUCAAGAAAAAGGAAAAUUUCCAGCUCAACCACAACCAAAUCCUAAAAUUCAACAAAAUCCAUCCACAGACCAAGUCAAGUCAGUUAUAACUCUUCGUAGUGGUAAGGUUGUUGAUAGACCUAUGCCUGAACCUUAUGAAAAUGAUGAAAAUUCAAAGGGUAAGGAAGGACUAAAUGAACUUACACCUAGUGAAGAAAUAACUAGUGUUCCACCUGAACCACCAUUUCCGCAUGCAUUGAAUAAACCAAAGAAAUCAAACCACUCUUCUAAAAUUUAUGAAAUCUUUAAGCAAGUGAAAGUUAACAUUCCUCUAUUAGAUGCAAUCAAGCAGGUUCCUUCAUAUGCCAAAUUUUUAAAGGACUUGUGCACUGUUAAGAGGAAAUUGAAGGUAAGAAAUAGUACUUUCAUGGCCGAACAGGUAAGUACAAUUCUGUCUACUAAUAAUAAGUUGAAAUAUAAAGAUCCUGGUUGUCCUACCAUUUCUUGUAUUAUUGGUAACCACAGAAUUGAGCAUGCUUUAUUAGAUCUUGGUGCUAGUGUUAAUUUGCUUCCAUAUUCAGUUUAUCUUCAACUUAAUCUUGGUGAGUUAAAAUCAACUUCAACUACACUUUUGCUUGCCGAUAGAUCAGUUAAAGUACCAAAAGGAAUAGGGGAAGAUGUUUUAGUACAAGUUGAUAAAUUUAUUUAUCCUGUGGAUUUUAUUGUCAUGGAAACUGAACCUGUUGUGAAUAAUUACAAACCAAUUCCUGUAAUUUUAGGUCGACCAUUUUUAGCAACUGCUAAUGCUUUGAUUAAUUGUAGGAAUGGUUUAAUGAAUUUAUCUUUUGGGAAUAUGACUUUGGAAUUGAAUGUUUUCAACAUGUGCAGGCAACCUAAUGAAGAAAAUGAGAAUGAAGAUGAUACUGAUGAACAAAAGGAAUUAUUUGAAUCUUGUAUCAAGGAAAAUAUUCAAAAAGGGGAUUUUUCUGAACUUUCUAAUGUUUGUUUAGUUAAUUCAAUUGAGUCAAAUAAGCAACUUGAACUUGAUAUUUCUAAUAUAAAUUCGUUGCUUGAUUCUGUGCAGACUUCACAAAAUUAUAAUGACGAGCCAAAAUUUGAGGAGCUUGGAAGUAUUGUGUUAACAGAGGAGAAGAAUAAAUAUCUUUUCUUAUUUUUAAGUUUAUCUAACAGCCAGUACAAUAGGGUUAAUUUAUAGGACUACACAUUCCUAAUUUAACUUCCUAAUUUCUGGAAUUAUACAAAUUAGUAAUAACUGUACAAAUCAGACAAAUUAGACAACUAAUCUAAUCUUUCCAUAUUUUCUACACCCCCCCUCAAGUUGGUGCAUAGAUAUUAAUCAUGCCCAACUUGUCAAUGAAAGAUUCAAACUUUGGCCUGAAAUGUCCCUUGGUAAGAACAUCUGCUGUUUGUUGCUCUGAAGGAAUGAACGGCAUACAUAUAACUCCAUUCUCCAGCUUUUCUUUAAUAAAAUGCCUAUCAAUCUCAAUGUGCUUUGUACGAUCAUGCUGAACAGGAUUAUUUGCAAUGCUUAUCAGGUCUUGUGUGAGAUAAAUAAAUGAGUUUCCCUACAAGACGUUGAUAUCUACCUUUAUCAACUGGAACUCCAUCGGAAACCUCUCCUAACUUCUGAUUAGGAUCCACGGGCGUAUCACUUGGUCUGCAACCACUCAUUCCUGUCUCCUCUAGCAAGUCCAGAACAUACUUUCUUUGUGACACAGAAAUUCCCAUUCUAGAUCUUGCAACUUCCAUACCCAGGAAAUAGCGUAAGGGACCCAAAUCCUUAAUUUCAAAUUCCAAUGCCAGGUGCUUCUUUAGCCUACUCAUCUCAUCAUCAUCGCUUCCAGUAAGUAUUAUGUCGUCUACGUAUACAAUCAGGACAGCCAUCUUUCCACCAUCUGUGUGUUUCACGAACAUUGUAUGAUCAGAUUGUCCUUGACUAUAUCCUUCUUUUCUAACAAACCUGGUAAAUCUCUCGAACCAAGCACGAGGAGACUGCUUCAGUCCAUAAAGGGAUUUCUUCAAUUUACACACCUUUCCUCCAAACUUGUCUUCAAAACCAGGGGGCGCACCCAUAUAUACUUCCUCUUCCAAUUCUCCAUUGAGAAACGCAUUUUUAACAUCCAAUUGAAACAAUGGCCACUCCAAAUUAACAGCUACAGAGAGUAGUAUUCGAAUGGUAUUUAGUUUGGCUACGGGAGCAAAUGUCUCUUGAUAAUCAACUCCGUAGGUCUGUGUGAAUCCUUUUACUACUAACCUUGCUUUAUAGCGUUCCAAGGAUCCAUCUGAGUUGUAUUUCACAGUGAAAAUCCACUUGCAACCAACAAUCAAUUUUCCUUCAGGCAAAUAAACCAUCUCCCACGUUCUGUUUUUUUCUAGAGCCUCCAUUUCUUCACGAACAGCCUUCUUCCAUUCAGGAACCUUCAGCGCUUCCUGUAUAGACUUAGGUAUAUCCACACUUGACAAUUGUGAGACAAAAGUAUGAUAAGAUGAUGACAGGUUCUUAUAAGACACAAGAUUGGAAAGGGGAUGUUGAGUACAUGAUCUAAUUCCUUUCCUAAGAGCAAUGGGAAGAUCUAGAGGGUUAGAAUGUACUUGUGGGAUAGAUAAAGACUCAUACUCUAUAAAUUUAGAGAUUGUACCUGGAUUUUCAGAAUCAAUGUUUUUCGGAUCUGGAAUUGGAUCAGAUUCAUGGCGUUGAGGAAGUAUCGCUGCAUCUUUCUUACUUUGAAUCCGUUUCUCCCUAGUGUAAGUUUUCCCGAACAAUCUCUCAUCAUUGAAGCAUGUCUCGUCUAUUAUCGUAGUGUCAGUUUUAUGUUCAGGCACUAAGGUAAUCCUCAUAUCCUCCUUAUUCAAGGUAUUAGGAUUAAAAAUUUCAGUUUCAAUAUUUGCCUCACCAUUAGUAUUCAUGUCAAGCUCAAACACCGAGUCUUCAUUUCCUUUCCCCCCCUGAAGAGGAGGGUUAAAAAAACUUUGAGACUCAAAGAAGGUAACAUCCAUUGUGACAAAAUAUUUUUGUUUGUUAGGAUCAAAACAUUUAUACCCUUUUUGAGUAGGAGAAUAGCCCAGAAAAACACAUUUUACAGCCCUUGGAUCUAGUUUAUCCCUAUUAUGAUUGUGUAUAUGUACAAAGGCAACACAUCCAAAGACCUUUAAAGGUAAAUCUGAAGUCAAACGUGUCAUUGGAAAGAAUUUUUUAAAAACUGUCAAUGGUGGCUGAAAGUUCAAAACUCUUGAUGGCAUCCUAUUAAUAAGAUAUGUAGCAGUAAAAAUUGCUUCCCCCCAUAAGUAUUUAGGAACUUUAGUGGUGAACAUUAAAGACCUAGCUACUUCUAGGAGGUGCUUAUUUUUCCGUUCUGCUAUUCCGUUUUGUUGAGGAGUGUCAUUACAAGAGCUGUGAUGAACAAUUCAUUUUUCUAAGAAAAAUGACCCCAAUAUUUGAUUAAAGUAUUCCUUCCCAUUAUCACUUCGAAACACUUGAAUUUUUGUUUGAAAUUGUGUUUCAACCAUAUUAUAAAAGUUUUUAAAAACAUGUUCUGCUUCAGAUUUUUCUUUGAGUAAAUAGACCCAACUUAGGCGUGUAUGGUCAUCAAUAAAUGUUAUAAACCAUCUUUUUCCAGAAUUGGUGAAUGUCCUAGAGGGACCCCACACAUCACUAUGAAUAAGGGUAAAAGGCUUGGAUGCUUUAUAUGGUUGAAUAGGAAAAGAUGCACGAUGGUGUUUAGCUAACUGACAAAUAUCGCAUUGAAAAGACAAUAAAAGUUUAUUACGAAAUAAGGUUGGAAACAAAUGUUUUAAAUAUAAAAAGCUAGGAUGGCCUAACCUACGGUGCCAUAGCAUUAUUUUAUCAUCAGUAGAACUAAAGCAUGCUCCGAGAUUCGAAAUUUUCUGUUGCUGACACAUAGAGUUCCCAUCAUCAAAGUAAUAGAGACCGCCAUACUCUCUAGCAUUGCCAAUCAUCCUCCCCGUAUCCAGUUCCUGAAAUUCACAACAAUUUGGAAGAAAUUUAGCACAACACUUUAAAUCACGAGUGAUUUUACUUACAGACAAAAGAUUACAAGAGAGAUUUGGAACAUGAAGGACAUCAUGAAGAACGAGAGUAUUAGAGAUAACAAUUGACCCUUUCCUAGCAAUUGCCGAGAGGGAGCCAUCAGCAAUCUUAAUUUUUUGAUUGCCGGCACAAGGACUAUAGAAAGAAAAUAAUUUAGAGCAUCCAGUCAUAUGAUCGGUGGCACCUGAAUCUAGUAUCCAUGGACAAAGAGGAAUAGUGGACACAUUAAAGACAACAGAUUGAUAAGUACCUUUUUGGGCUAAGGAACAAGAAGAAGAUACUGGAUUAGUCACUUGUGUGGACUGAAAAAGUUUAUACAGUUGUUCUAACUGUUCCUUACUGAAUGAAGGUGUCGUAGCUGUAGUUGCAGUGUUUCCAUUCUCCUCAGUGGCUGAGUGGAAGGCCUUUGAGUCACGGUUUGACUGACUAAAAUUUCGUGGCUUCCAAUUAGGAGGUUUUCCGUGUAAAUCCCAGCAAGUCUCCCUAGUGUGACGUGGUUUGUGGCAGUGAUCACACCACACUUUUUCUCCUUUCUUGUUCUGCCGUGCCUGGUAUGGGGAAUUAUGGUGAUUAGUCCCUGUCAUUAGGGCUGAAACUUCUGGAACAGAUGCAGUUUUUUCUCCUAACAUCACUUUGCGUCGACCUUCCUCUCGUCGUACUUCUGAAAAUACUUCCUGGAUUGAUGGCAAAGGAAUUCUGCCAAGAAUCCGGCCUCUCACUUCAUCAAGGCUCUUAUUCAAACCUGCCAAAAAUUCAUAAACACGAUCAUCUUCAAUUCGUUUUAAAUAACGAACACUAUCUGUCAUACAGGCCCAAUCAUCUUCAUAGCAGAGAUCAAGCUCCUGCCAUAAGGCCUUCAUCUCGUUGUAAUACUCAGAAACAGCACGAUCACCUUGCCUAGUCUGCCAUAGUCUUGUUUUCAAUUCAAAAUUUUGUGAUGAAUUUUUUAGAUCAGAAUACGUUUCUCGAACUACAUCCCAUACAUCCUUUGCGGUGGGAAGAAACAAAUACGUCCUCCCAAUAGAAACCUCCAUGGAAUUGAUCAACCAGGACAUAACUAGGGAAUUUUCCGAUUUCCAAGUCUUCCAUGUUGGAUCAGUUUUUUCCGGCUCCUUCGUCUCACCGGUGAUGUAGCCAAGUCUACCCUUGCCAUCGACCACCAACUUAAUGGAUUGCGCCCAUUCUAGAUAGUUCUUACCGUUCAAUUUGUGACCGGUUAAUUGCAUGGGAAAACUCUCACUUCCGUUCAAGUUUCCAGAUCCCGACGGAAGAAACUCCCCUGCACCAAUUCCAGUAGAUGUAGCAGUGGAAUUGGUAUCACCAGUUACUGUAACCCCAGGCAUGGUGUUUUGCGCCAUUAUAACAAGACAAUGAACAGAUCCGUAUGGGAGUCAAGCCAGGCUUAAUUCUGCCAUAGCUCUGAUACCAUGUUAACAGAGGAGAAGAAUAAAUAUCUUUUCUUAUUUUUAAGUACAUCUAACAGCCGGUACAAUAGGGUUAAUUUAUAGGACUACACAUUCCUAAUUUAACUUCCUAAUUUCUGGAAUUAUACAAAUUAGUAAUAACUGUACAAAUUAGACAAAUUAGACAACUAAUCUAAUCUUUCCAUAUUUUCUACAUAUUGAAAAGACAGAACAACAAGAAGCACCUAAAAUGGAAUUGAAACAUUUGCCUGAAAGAUUGAAGUAUGCUUUUCUUGGAGAAGAACAAACUUAUCCUGUUGUGAUUUCUUCUACUUUAACAAGCGACCAGAAGGUAAGUUACUUACUAUUCUUAAAAAGCAUAAAAAUGCAAUAGGAUGGACUUUAAAUGAUAUUAAAGGCAUUAAUCCCUUAAUCUGCACGCAUAGAAUUAAUUUGGAAGAAAAUGCUAAAACAUGUCAACAACCUCAAAGAAUAUUAAACCCACACAUGAAAGAGGUAGUCAAAACAGAAGUCCUUAAAUUGCUUGAUUUGAGAAUUAUCUACCCUAUUUCUGAUAGUAAGUGGGUAAGUCCUACACAAGUAGUGCCUAAAAAAUCUGGAAUCACUAUUGUUAAAAAUGAAAAAGGUGAAUUAAUUCCAACACGAAUUACAUCUAGUUGGCGCAUGUGCAUUGAUUAUAGAAAAUUAAAUGAAGCCACUAGAAAAGAUCAUUUUCCAUUACCAUUCCUUGACCAAAUCUUAGAAAGAGUAGCAGGACAUCCUUACUACUGUUUUUUAGAUGGAUAUUCAGGUUAUUAUCAAAUUCCUAUAGCACUUGAGGACUAAGAAAAGACCACAUUCACAUGUCCUUUUGGAACAUUUGCAUUUAAAAGAAUGCCAUUCGGGCUUUGUAAUGCUCCUGCAACAUUUCAAAGAUGUAUGUUAAGCAUUUUUUGUGAUAUGGUUGAACAUUGUUUAGAGGUCUUUAUGGAUGAUUUGACUGUGUUUGGGAAUUCUUUUGAUGAUUGCCUUGAUAAUUUGGAGAAAGUUUUAAAAAGAUGUAUUGAAAAAGAACUCGUGUUGAAUUGGGAAAAAUGUCACUACAUGGUUACUUCUGGAAUUGUUUUGGGUCAUGUUGUUUCUAUUAAAGGAAUUGAAGUUGACAAAGCAAAAAUCGAAGUCAUAUCUAAAUUGCCACAACCAAAAACAGUUAGAGAUGUGCGAUCCUUUUUAGGACAUUCAGGAUUUUAUAGGAGGUUUAUAAAAAACUUUAGUGCCAUAUCUAAACCACUUUGUAACCUCUUAUUAAAAGAUGCACCGUUUGAAUGGAAUGAUGAUUGCCAAAAAUCUUUUGAAAAAAUAAUUUGUCUUUUAACAUCUGCACCUAUUAUGCAAUCUCCUGAUUGGUCUUUGCCAUUUGAAUUAAUGUGUGAUGCAAGUGAUUUUGCUGUUGGUGCUGUUUUAGGACAAAGAAGGGAUGGUAAGCCUUUUGUGAUUUAUUAUGCGAGUAAGACUUUGGAUAGUGCUCAAAUGAAUUAUUCUACAACUGAAAAAGAAUUACUUGCUGUGGUAUUUGCAUUAAACAAAUUUCGUUCAUAUUUGCUUGGCUCUAAAUCUGUUGUGUUUACUGACCACGCUGCUGUGAGAUAUUUGAUGAGUAAACAGGAUGCCAAACCGAGACUAAUUCGUUGGAUUUUGUUACUACAAGAAUUUAACCUUACCAUCAAAGAUAAAAAGGGUGCUGAAAAUGUUGUUGCUGAUCAUCUAUCAAGACUCACAUCCGAAUUCUGCAAUGAUAUAACACCCAUAAAUGAUUCUUUCCCUGAAGAAUUUUUAUUUUCUGUUACUUCAAUGCCAUGGUAUGCUAACAUUGUUAAUUUCCUUGUUACAAGUAAAAUGCCUUUGCAAUGGAAUGCUCAAGAGAAAAAGAUAUUUUUUUGUUGAAGUAAAGAAAUUUUAUUGGGAUGACCCUUAUUUGUUCAAAUAUUGCCCAGAUCAAAUUUUUCGGCGAUGUAUUCCUGAUAAUGAGGUAAGUAGUGUCAUUAAUUUUUGUCAUUCUGAAGCAUGUGUUGGUCACUUUUCUUCGAGAAAAACUACUGCUAAAAUUUUACAAUGUGGAUUUUAUUGGCCUACCAUGUUCAAAGACACAUAUGAAUUUUGCAAAAGUUGUGAAAAAUGUCAAAAAUUGGGAUCAAUUACAAAAAGAAACAUGAUGCCCUUAAAUCCCAUACUUGAAAUUGAAAUAUUUGACUGCUGGGGAAUUGAUUUCAUGGGUCCAUUUCCAUCAUCUUUUGGAUUUGCGUAUAUAUUAGUUGCAGUUGAUUAUGUCUUAAAAUGGAUUGAAGCAACUUCUUGUCGAAAUAAUGAUAGUAAAACUGUGGUUAAAUUUUUAAGAGAAAACAUUUUAAGUCGAUUUGGAAUCCCUCGAGCCAUUAUCAGUGAUGGAGGUAAGCAUUUUUGUAAUAAGUCAUUUGAGUCUUUAAUGAAGAAAUAUGGAAUUACACAUAAAAUUGCUACCCCUUAUCAUCCUCAAACAAAUGGUCAAGUUGAAUUAGCAAAUAGGGAGAUAAAACAAAUUUCUGAAAAAACGGUUAACCCAAACCGAAAAGAUUGGUCUCUUAGACUUAAUGAUGCACUUUGGGCCUACCGUACUGCAUUUAAAACGUCAUUAGGAAUGUCACCCUAUCGGUUAGUUUAUGGUAAACCUUGUCAUUUACCUGUUGAACUUGAACAUAAAUCACUUUGGGCUAUUAAAGCUUUUAAUUCAAAUUUGGAUGAUGCUGGUAAUGUGCGAAAAUUGCAAUUGAAUGAACUUGAGGAAUUAAGGAAUGAUGCAUAUGAAAAUUCAAGAAUUAUUAAGGCAAGAACAAAAGCAUUUCAUGAUAAAAGAAUUUUUUGAAAAACAUUUGAGAUUGGUCAAAAAGUGUUGCUUUAUAAUUCUCGUCUUCAUUUAUUUCCAGGAAAGUUAAAGUCAAAAUGGAGUGGCCCAUUUGUUGUAAAAAAUGUAUAUUCAUAUGGGGCCAUAGAAAUUGAGAAUCCAAAGAAUGGUGUCACAUUUAAAGUUAAUGGUCAAAGAUUAAAACCAUAUCUGGAACAUCACCUACGUGACGAGGACACCGAAAUUAAUUUGGGUGACCCAUCAGUUCUUGAUUAAGUCUUUAAUGAUUUAUUUAUUUUAUUUUAUUUUUUUUGUUUUACUAUUAUUUUGCCGUUUCAUUGUUUGAUUUUUCUAGAUUGAUGCAUUGUACAUAUUUUUUUACAUUAUUUUUCUUGUGUAAGCGUGUUUGUUUGACAGUUGUACAUUCUCUCAUCAAUUUUCAUUUUACAUCAUGAGCACCUCAAUGAGAAAAUUCCUGUUCGCACAUCUUAAAAGAUUUCUGCAUGUGAAAUUUCACUUAAGAGGCCUGAUACAAAGCUGUAAAUCACAUCCACUUUGGGAUCUGCAACCACCAGAAUUCGUGUCCUUUGUUGAGGAUCUAGAGGGACAACUCAGAAUGGUAGAGAGUGGCAUAUAUGAAUUUCAAUUGGAACUUGAGGUUAAUUCAAUGAGAGGACGAAUGUAAGUUCAUUUUCCUUUUAUAUUGUGUGCUUCUUUUUGCUCGCUUUCACGCUUGAUUUGAUUUUGCAGAUUUGAUUUUGGUGUGUUUUGAUUUAUUUUCCCGUAUAAAUGGCGGAUAACGGUACUCCGUGACUUCUUAAGUCGGUAUCUUCAGUUUCCCACAAUAACUGAAACCCCAAAAUCAAACAUGGAAGAAAUACAACAUAAACUGCAUAAGCAUUUUCCCUCUCUCCCUCAGAAUGCCCUCAGGAAAAUUUACAAAGCUCGUUGUGAACGACUGCGUUUGUUAAUGAUCAAUGGCAUUCCUUCUGACAUUCGUUGGUUAAUUGAAGCAAAGGUCCGAUUAGCAGGUGAGUUUUCUGAUCCAUUUGUUUCUUACAUGCCUGGUUUUGGUAAAAGUACGUUUGCUAAGAAAAUGAGAGCUAAACGACUUGGCUCAAAAUGUCAUAACUGUGUAAGACUUGGUUGUAAACGACUGGAUUGUAAAUCUUUAGGAAUGGUUUCUGAUACUCGUGAAGAUAAAAUUAAAUUCGUUAAAGAUGGCAUGAGUAAAGAAUCGUUGGAUGAUAUCUUACGAUCUCUUGAGACGCAUCGAAGCGGAUUUGUGCAACGAGAGAUUUAUAAUUUGUUGAUACUAUUCCAAAAACAAAGUGCACAGUUUAGUCUUGGGAAUCUGACUCAAAAAGACCUUGUUUGCCAGUUUAUAAGAAAACUGGAUGGGAAGCCAAUCCUCGACCCAUAGAGGGCGUUUAAGUCGUUACUAGACGUAAAACCAGAGGAAGAUGUGAGCCACAAUCACAACUACUAGUAAAUAUCCUUUCACUUCACUGUUAUUUUACUUUACUGUUAUUUUAUCAUUUGCAUUAUUGCAUUUAGCGGUGUGAUUUUGUAUUUAAUAAAUAUUUGUUUUCUUUUACUGUUUGCUUUUUCUAAUCAUUAUUUUCUUUUUACUGUAUGUUUUUGAAUUAUUGAGCCACGAGCUUUACUCGUCAUUUGACAAAUAUGCCAACCCAUUUACAGCUGUUUCUCAUUAUUUAUGUCACCAAGAUCUUUAAAUAUGAACUCGUUUUUCAAACACUCACAACUUGUUUUUGAAAAAUUAGUCCAAUGGCAGCAUCUUCGAGUAAACAAUUCAAAAAUAUUUGUGUGCUUUCUGGGUAUCACUAUGGAAAGUACAAAGAGUUUGUUCAGGCAGCAGUGGAUCUUGGUCGUGUCAUAGCAGAGAGGAAACUGCAUCUUGUAUAUGGAGGAGGUGAACGAGGGUUAUCAAGACUUGUCUCAGAAGCUGUUUUUACCAGAGGAAGUCAAGUACUCGGCAUUAUCCCAAAACCCAUGAAACCGCUAGUGUGCUUGUCUGGCCCACCAAUUGGAGAAGAAUUAGUGGUAUCAAGUAUGCAAGAGAGACUAUCUGAAAUGAUGAAUCAUGCUGAUGCUUUUAUUUUUUUGCCAGGAGAUCUUGCAACUUUUGAGGCACUAAUUACAUUUGCAUCUUGGGCCCACCUGAACAUUCAUAAAAAACCCAUCGGUUUGUUAAAUGUUAAUAACUUUUAUGACGGCUUGCUAACUUUUAUUAACCAUGCAAUAAAGAAUCAUUUUGUUCCACAUUCUGUAAAAAAACUCUUUAUCUCUGCUUCUACUACUAAUGAGUUACUUGAUCUCUUACAAGCUUAUACACCAGAGCCAGAUCCAAAGACUUUUGCACUAAAUUGGUCGACUAAUGAUGAUAGCGGUAACAGUAGCAGUAAUAAGAAGCGCGAUUUAGAUUUAACUCUCCGUUUGUAAAUAUUUUCUGUUGUAGUGUUCAUGUGCUGUCUUCUAAACUCUUUCUCUUUCCUUUUAAAACAUUGAGAACAAUGUCUUUUUCAGGUUGGAGGGAGGGAAUAGUUGAUAAUUGUGGAAUGUCUUAGUCCUGGUUAUGUGUUUACAAAAAAAAAAAAACAAAAAAUUUUUUUUUUUCUUUUUCUGUAAAGACUAACUUAGGACAAAUUUGAGUCGAAGAUGGCAGGAUAUAGAGAAUGUAGUCUCUCUAGAAACGCAUCUUCUUAAUCUUAAGGGUGUUGUUAAAAAAAAAAAAAUGACUUUUUCUUCAUUUUUGUUAUCUUCUUUUAAGCUUCUGCAUCAAGUUCAGGUAAGAUCUCCUCUUCUUCUUCUUUUAUUAUUCUAUUUUAUUUUUUAUUUCUUUUUUCUUUUUCUUUUUGCAUAUCUGUAAAAUUAUAAAAUGUUAAGAUAAUGUUUAGAUUAGGUUGUGGGGUGGGGAUAAUUGACGUAUGUUUUAAAUAUGUGUGUUGUUUUUCUCUUUUCUCUUUUCUUUUCUUUGUUAAAAAACACAAAAAACAAAAAAAAAAUUAGUUUUUUUUGUCUAGGAUGGCCGUGUAAAGAGUCACGACUUUUGAGACGCAUCCUAAUAGUCUUGUUGUAUUAUAUUUUGAUUUUGAGAUUCAUAGUAAGUUGUUUUUGUUCCCUUUUCUUUGAAUUACUCAAAUUUGUGAACUCUCCACUUGGUUAUUAAGUUAUUUAAUUGUUUACUAAUUUAACAGGUAUUAUUGAAUCAUUCUUCACACACACAUUAUGACACAUACUAGUGGGUUGUAAGUUAAAAUUUUACAGCAUUUAGUUCUUUUGAUUUAUUAGGAAAAGUAUCUAAGGUAGUAGAAAGUGUAUAUUUCAAAAAAAAAAUCAAAAAAAAAAUAUUAAUUUUGUUAUAUCUAGAAAUCCGAGUAAUUAAGUCCGCAGGGGUGUUUCAACACCUAGUGACCUAAGGUCAACUGGUCUGGGAGUCACUGGCCUAAAGCUCGCUACAUGGGUAAUAGAUAUAUUGUUUGUUUAUUAGAAACCCGAGUAAUUAAGUCCGUAGGGGUGUUUCAACACCUAGUGCCCUAAGGUCAACUGGUCUGGGAGUCACUGACCUAAAGCUCGCUACACGGGUUAGAAAUAUAAUAUAAAAAAAAAGUGUGAAUAAUCUAUUGCCUAAAGAUAUAAUUUCUAAUGAAUUUUGGAACGAAAAUGUUGUUCUUUUAAUGAAGCCCCAUAAGUAUUGUGUUAAUUACUGGAGCACAAAAGAAGGUUUGAUGAUAUUCUGGAUAAUGAGUGAACAUCAAUGUGGUAAAGAACUUUGGGAGAGUUCAUUUAUUUGGUAAUUUAGAGGAUAGAUGAACAACUAUUAACUUGCAUGUGAAUUUUAUAAAUCUUAAUUUAAUAUAACGCUUUAAUUGCUAGAGGGCUAGCAAUAAGCUGGUUGGGGGGUGUGAUUAGUAUUAAAAAUUGUUAAAUUAUCAAGCGAUAAUAUGUUAUUUUAUGCUUAUGUUAUAAUUUAUAUUUUUGUUUAUGUAAUAUAUUAGGAAUUAUUAAUUAUGUUUUAAAUAUAUUUAAUUUUGUGUAUUUUUAUGUGUUUAUUAGGAAAAUAUUAAAUUCACGUACUUCGAGGCUCCAAACAGAUAAACGGAGGUCAAAUUUGGAUUCCGGAGGUCCGAAAACCUUAAGAUCAGUCAAGAUCGGCUUAAAAUUGGGCUUGUAUAAAAAAAAAGUUGACUUUUCCUGUUGACCGAGCACUGAUUGGAUGAUGCAAUGAGCUUACAAUAGAUAUGAGUGCAUGGGAUAGCUGGCAAUCUUGACCAAAUCUCAACCGUUCAUGAUUCAAUGACCAUGAUUGUGCCACGUGGCAAUGGUUGGUGAAGCAACUUGGAGGAUCCGAAUAUUUGUAUUCGGGUCGACCCGAUCCACCCAUUAACCCGCCAAAUCUCAACCGUUCUUUGGGUAAAUCGGAUGAGUCAAAUGAUGCCAUGUGUGAUGUUGACUUUUGAAGUUUGACCAGCCAUUGGAUCUUGAUCUAAGGGUUGUGAGGAGCUCAUGCAUGAAGCCUAUGAUGGACCGCAAAGCACUGGAUUAUGAAUUUAUUUUUCUAUAAAUAGGGCCUCAUUUUUAUGUUUUAAUCAUCUCUCUACAACUCUCUUCUUCUCAAAUUCUCUCCAUCUCCUUGUAAUCUUGAUUUCCAAGUGUGCUUUUAAUAUUUUGUAUAAUUAUUUUCAUUAAUAAAAUUAGUUUUAUUUCCAAUUUUAGUUGUUUUUAUUUCUUUUAAUUAUAAGUAAUGCAAUUUUACUACUUCUUUUUAUUUUAAUUAUGCUUAACUAAAUAAUAUUAGUUAGGGGAAGGUGAAACUCUUAGGAAAUAAAUAUGAUUUAAUCAAAUUCUAUUUUUAAUUUUAUAAAUUAAAUUAUUUUCUAUUUAAUUUUUUACAUGUUUUAUAUUUUGAAAUUUUGAUUUAUUGUAGACAAACAAAUGAAUUUGGCACAAUAAAUUCUUAAGAUCUUAAUAUAAGGCAUGGUGAAAUGGUAUUUUGACUUAUUGUAGACAAAUUAAAUUUUGGCACAAUAAAUACUUAAUCCAUCAUAAAAUUAAAGGGAAAAUAAUAAUAAUUUGUAUAAUUAAUCUUUUGGGUAAUAAAUCUAAAAAAAAUUGGCAAAAAGAAUUUAUUAAUUUUUAUUUACUUCUAAGAGUGGAUCCAUAACCCUAACUAGUUCAAUUUCAUAGUUUCAUUUAAAUUAAGUUGUUUAUAUUCAAGUUUUAAUUUCAAUUUUUAGAUAAAAUAAAACAAACAAAUUAAAUCUUUUCUCUGUGGAUCGACCUCGGACUCACCGAGUUAUAAUACAACAAGACACUCUUAUACUUGCGAGUUAAAUAUUACUUUUAAGUUGUGUCACCUGUUUGUUUUAACGUUUUGUGAACUUGUUUUACUAUUACUUCAUCAUUUGAAUUGUUUGAAUUUUUUUUCUUUUCCAUAUGUCUUGAAUGGAGUGCAUUACAUUGUUUUUAAUUGUGUUGUUUGACAAUUGUGUUUUAGCUCACCAAAUGUUUCAUACUUGUCACGAGUACCUCCAUGAGAAGUAUCAUUUUCAAACAUCUUAGAGAACUUUUACAUGUAAAAUUUCACCUGAGGAAAUUGCUCCGACUUUGUAAAUCACAUCCUAUUUGGGAUCUACAACUAUCAGAGUUAGUAUCACACGUUAAAAAUCUAGAAAGACAACUUAAAGAAAUAGAGGAUGGUAUUUAUGAUCUGCAAUGAGAACUAGAGGUAAAUUCAAUAAAAGGACGAAGGUGAGUUAUAUUCCUUGUGUGUUUUAUUUUGUUGUUCUUUUUCACUUUUGAUUUGAUUUUGCAAUUUGAUUCAUUUUGUUUUGAUUCACUCUCCCGUAUAAAUGGCUGAUAACAAUACUCUAUGACUUUUUAAGUCGGUAUUCUCAAUGUCCCACAAUAACUGAACCCUCAAAGUCAAGCAUAGAAGAAACACAACAUAAAUUGCAUCAACGUUUUCCUUCUUUGCCUCAAAAUGCUCUUAAGAAGAUUUACAAAGUUCCUUGUAAAUGACUGCGUUUGUUAAUGAUGAAUGAGAUUCUUGCUGACAUUCGCUGGUUAAUUAGAGCAAAGGUCUGACUGGCAGGUGAGUUUUUUUGAUCCAUUUGUUUCCUACAUGCCUAGUUUUGGUAAAAGUACAUUUGCUAAGAAAAAAAGAGCUAAGCGACUUGGCUCUAAAUGUCCUCACUGUGUAAGACUUGCUUGCAAUAAACCACGUUGUAAAACUUUAGGAAUGGUUUCUGUAAAUCGUGAAGAUAAAAUCAAAUUCGUUAAGGAUGGUAUGAGUAAAGAAUCGUUGGAUGAUAUCUUACGAUCUCUUGAGAUGCAUCCGAGCGGAUAUGUUUAACGUGAAAUUCAUAAUUUAUGGAAGCUGUUCCAAAAGCAAAGUGCACAAUUUAGUCUUGGGAAUCUGACUCUAAAAGACCAUGUUUGCCAGUUUAUAAGAAAACUAGAUGGGAAGCCUAUCCUCGACCCAUAUAGGGUGUUCAAGCCGUUACUGGACGUAAAACCAGAGGAAGAUAUGAGCCACAAUCACAACUACUAAUAAAUAUCCUUUUAUUUUACUGUUAUUUUAUCUUUUGCAUUAUUAUUAUUUUUGUUUUUCUUGUGUGUGAUUUUAUAUCUAAUCAUUGUUUGCUUUUUCUUUUCAUUGUUUGCUUUUGAUUUAUUGAGCCAAAAGCUUCACGCGUCAUUUGACAAGCACACCACCUCAUUUACAGAUGUGUAUCAUUAUGUCCAUCACCAAGAUCUUUAAAUAGGAGCACAUUUUCAAGCAUUCCCAAAUUAUUUAUUUUUUAGAAUUGUUCUAAUGGCAGCAACUUCAAGUAAACAACUUGAGAACAUUUGUGUGCUUUCUGGAUUUCGCUAUGGAAAGUAUAAGGAGUUCGUUCAGGCAGCCAUAGAUCUUGGUUGUCCUAUAGCAGAGAGACAACUACAUCUUGUAUAUGGAGGAGGUGACCGAGGAUUAUCAAAGCUUGUCUCUGAAGCUGCUUUCGUUCGAGGAAGCCAAGUGCUAGACAUUAUUCCAAGAGCCUUAAAACCUUUAGGAUAUCUACCAGACCCACUAACUGGAGAAGAGUUAGUUGUCUUAGGUAUGCAAGAAAGAAUAUCUGAAAUGUUAAAUCAUGCUGACGCUUUCAUUUUCUUGCUAGGAGAUCUUGCAACUUUAGAGGCGCUAAUUACAUUUGCUUCUUGGGCCCAUUUGAAUAUCCAUAAAAAACUCAUCGGUUUGUUAAAUGUUAAUAAUUUUGAUGAUGGCUUAAUAACAUUAUUAAUUAUGCAAUUAAAAUUUAUUUCAUUCCACCGUCAGCGAAAAAACUGUUUAUUUGUGCUCUUACUGCUACGAGUUACUUGAUAUUUUGCAAGCUUACAAACCAGAACCAGAUCUCAUGACGUUAGCGUUGGAUUGAGCAACUGAUGAUGAUGACAGUAAACCUCGUAAAAAGUGUAAAUUAUAUUUAACUCUCCGUUUGUAAAUAUUUCCAACAGUGGCCAGGUGAUGUCUUCUAAACUCUACUUAUUUCUUUAGACAUUAAGGACAAUGUCCCCUUCAGGUUGGGGGGAAGGAAUAGUUGACAGUUAUGGAAAGUCUUUUGUGGAAUGUCUCAGUUAGGGGUGAGCAAAAUCGGGUUCGGGUCGGGUUCGGGUCAACCCGAUCGGGUUUCAGGUUGUUCGGGUUAAACAAGAACUAAUCCGAACAUAACCCGAAUUACUGUAUUCGGGUCGGGUCAGUAAUUCGGGUUAUGUUCGGGUUGGAUCGGGUUGGAUUUAAAACGGGUUGGAUUGAGUUCGGGUCAAUUCGGGUCAAAUUCGGUUAAUACAAUUUUGAGCUCUUUUUUUUCCUAUUAUUGUAGUUUUUAUGAAAGUUUUAAGACCUUUUUUUUAAUUGUAGUCAUUUUUACUAAUUUUCAACUAAAAAAAGAAAAGAAAAUGUUAUUAAAUCAAAUGAAUAAAGUUAAAAUGCUAUAAUAAUCAUUAAUUCAAAAAUCAAAACACAUAAAUAUUAUUAACAUAAUCCAUAAACAAAAAUUAGUAAUUUCAAUUCAAGUUGUUCAUGCUCCAUAAAAAUAAAGUAAGAAAUUCAUGAUUAAUUAAUUAAUUUAUAAUAUCCAAUUGUCCAUUCCCCAUAGUAAUAUGAUAUUAUUUUUCUAUCUAUAUCUUAUUUCUUAUUAUAAAUUAAAUCCUUUAAUUUCAAGUCCAAGUUACUUGUACUUAACAACUUAACGGAUGAUUAACAUACAAUAAAAUAUUAAUUGGAUUUAUUAAUUUUUUUUAGGGUUGAAAGCUUGAAGCUACUGCAUAAGUACACAUAAUUACAUAACACAUUAUAAUUAUAAAUAUAUAUACAACAUAAUACUUAAUUAAUUAAUUUUAAUAUUUAAUCUACCUAAUGUGCUAAUUUAUUCAUAAAAAAUCAAUUAUUAACUGUUUUUAACAAUUAUUAAUAAUUAUCAAUUAAUAUUAUUUCAAUUAUUAACUAUUAUUAACAAUUAUCAAUUAAUAUUAUUUCAAUUAUUAAUUAUUAUUAACAAUUAUUAACAAUUAACAAUUAACAAUUAUCAAUUAACAAAACCCACCAAUCAACAAUUCCUUUUUAUAUAUGAAAAAAAAUAAUUUUUGAUGAGCUCAAUAAUUAACAAAAUUUCCAUUACUAAUAUUUAUAAAUACAUAAUUAGUUAAUUACAACAAUUAAAUAAUAAACAAUUAUUGAAUUACAUAAUAAACUAUUUAGCAUAUAUAAUUAAUUAAUUAUAUAGUGUAUAUAACUAUAUAUACCAUGAAACGAAACGAGUCAAGGACUUAGGAAACGGGUCAAAAAGUUGAAGGCUUGAAGCUUGAAAGUGGAAGCUGGAAGGUGGAAACCGGAAGCUUCAAAAUCGGGUUCGGGUGGAGAGGAUUCGGCCUUCAAGCAGCAGAUUGGUGGCCACGGCUCACGGCUGGAUGGACGGGACUUCACUUGGCAGCAGAUCGCUGCUUCGCUUGGGAGUUGGCAGCAGUAGAUCGCGGAGAUGCGGACGGCUCACGACUCACGGCUGGUCGCGACUUCACUUGGCAGCAACAGAUCGUGAUUUCUUCAGCAGUUGGCAGCAACAGAUCGCGUCUUGUGGUGGCUGAUUGGUGGUUGCAGACUUGCGGGUUGCGGCUGCCUUGUUCUGUUCUUAAGUUGUUUGUGUUUGUUUAGUUGUUUGAACUUGUGAGUUGUGGCUGAUAGCGUGUGUGUGUGUGUGUGUGUUAGGUUUGCGAGUGAAUUGUUGAGACUUGAGACUUGAGUGACUAUGCAGCGUGUGUGUGUGCUGUGCAGCUCGUGUGUGUUCUGUUCUGUCAUUCUGUGUGUGUGCUAUGCAAGUAUGCAGCUUGUGACUUGUGUAGUUGUGUAGUUGUAUGUGCAGCAGCGUAUGUGUGUGUGGCUGUGUGCUGUGCAGCUCGUGUGUGUUCUGUUCUGUCAUUCUGUGUGUGUGCUAUGCAAGUAUGCAGCUUGUGACUUGUGUAGUUGUGUAGUUGUAUGUGCAGCAGCGUAUGUGUGUGUGGCUGUGUGCUGUGCAGCUUGUGACAAGUUGUGUGUGUGUGUGUGUGUUGUGCAGCAGCCGAGAGUGUGUGGCUGUGUGCAGUGUUACUGUUAGCCUUUUCCUUUAUAAAUUCAUAUCGAGCUAGAGCUACCCACUGAAGGUAACAACUUUAGAAAUUCUCCAUUUUACCACAUGUUUAAUUACGAGUUCCCGCAGCAUGAUAAGGGAUUAAAGGUUUCCUGAAUCCCUUUUUUUUUGUGGGGUUUCUUUUUUUCCCCUCGCUCCCAGUACAUGGAACACAUAAUUAAACAUAGAAAUAAGUUUAUUAUAUAUAAAUUAUGAUAACAAGAUGGUAGGCUUACACUUCUGAGGAUUUUGAACAGAGUAAACAGAUUCCAUUUGUCUGCAAGAGAAUCGCGACAUGAAUAUAAGUAGUGUUAGCUUAAGGUUUUUUUUUUUUUUUUUUAGAACCCGAUCGGGUAUUCGGAUCGUGUCGAGUUUGACCCGAACCGAUCACAACCCGAUCGGGUUUGUAAAUUUCAAACCGGUCGGGUUUCGAUCCCGACCCGAUCCGACCCGAACCCGAAAUUUAUCGGUUCGGGUCGGGUCGGAUCGGGUAAAAUGCCCACCCCUAGUCUCAGUCUUGGUGGUGUUUUUACUAAUUUUUAUUGUAAAGACUAACUUUGGAUAAAAUUUGAGUCGAAGAUGGCAGAAUAUAGAAUGUAGUAUCUCUAGAAACGUAUCUUUUUAAUUUUAGAAUUUUAUUUUUAAAAAAAAAAAUUGUUUUCUAACUUCUUUUUUUCUUUCUUUUUAUCUUUUUCUCUUAAUCAUCUCCUUUAAGUUUCUGCAAUCAGUCCCAUUUUUUAGUGUGUUCUUUAACUUUAAAAAAAAAGAGUUUUAUUUUUCGGUGUGAUCUUUUAACAUUGGAUAACAUGAUGAUUUUCAAAUUUUGGUAUUUGUAUUAUUUUUUACCUUGAGUUAUGUUACACUAUGUUUUCCCCUUUGCAUGUUGAAACGUAAAUUGAGAAAUUUGAUGAGUGAAAUUGAUUAAGCCAUUUGGAGGAAUGUACAUGUUCUAAAAAGUUCAAGCUAGUUUUUGAGUCUAUUAUCCUUGGAGAGUAACUUUGUUUGCAUAUAUAGCUUCACAAUUUAUUGUACAAGAUCUCUAUAUUUUCUUUAAAAAAAAAAAGGAGUUUGUGCAACCGCAUCUGAAAGUCCAUUGAAUUAGUGGAUAUGAAAGAUUAUUUAGAGUUUUAAAAGAUGACAGAAGACCAUCUUUGAUCUGUUUGAGCCUUUCUAGCCAACCCUAUUAUAAAGUAUCCAUAGUUAAUCUCUUUGAGCCUAUAUAAAGUAUCCAUAGGGAUGAUUAUGUAUUCUUAAUAAUGGUGCUAUGAAAAAAAGAGAGGAUAUGUCUAGAUAAAUAAAUAAAUAAAAUGAAAAAAAACAAAAACGAAAACAAAAAAAAAGAAAAACAAAUUCAAGCACUUUGUAAUAUUAAAAAAAGUCUUCUAUUUUUCAAACAUAUAUAUUUUUUCCUAUUACCUUUUUUUGUUCGCCAUGACCAUAGCAUACGUUACGUUCUAAUUAAAGUGCUUCUUAAUUUUAGAGAAUUAUAGUCUGAAGUAAAAGUUGGUAAUAUGAACCAAAAGUGUGGUGAUGCUUUAAAAUAUAAAUAAAUUUUGCUAGUAAUUUCUUGGACUUGAGAUCAUUUUAUUCUAAGCUGUGGGCAUUAUUUCUUCAUCUUGGUGAGAGCGUGUGACAUUGUUUUUAUACUUGAUCAUUUUAUUCUAAGAGUGAUAGUUUUUACUUAACUGUUAAUCGUAAGGUUUUACGGUUUGAUGUAUCAUUCUUAAAAAUGGCUUGAUUAAUGUAGCUCUGAUAAUUGAUAAUUUUACAUGAUUUUACUUAACUGUUUUGUGCAUGUGUGAUUUUCUUUAGGCUGAAGAUAAUGCUUAUACUUUUAUUUGAUUGUUGUCAUUAAUCUGAUGAAAGAAGUAACCACAAUUUAAAAAAAAAAAGAUUUCAAUUUGGUUUUGAAAUUUUGCUAACUUUUAAUCGCUUAAAUUGCUAAGGCCUAGCAAUAAGCUAGUUGGAGUUGUGAUUGACACUAAAAAAUGUAGAUUUAAUAAGGAUAAAAUUAUUAGUUUUUCACUUAUUGUGUUGAUUAAUGUUCUCAUUAUUUCUAAAUUAUUUUAAUACUCCCCAAAUAUAUUUUUAUGUUAAAUUAAUUCGCAAUAUGUUAAUUUUCAUCUUGUAAAUAUUUUUCAGGAAUAAAGAUGGAAUUGGAAUUGAAAGCGGAAAGCUGGAGCAAUUUGAAAUUCAUCAAUCGAGGAGAUGCUAUUAAAAAUUAAAAAAAUAAUAUAAAAAAAGAAGAAAAAAAGAGAUUGGCAAUCAUGUUGGUGAUGGUCAGGAGGCCAUCACGCCUUAUGACCAUCACACAUUUCAAUUAACAUAUAUAUAAUAUAAAAAUAAAAUAUUUAGUUGAGAAUUAAAUAAUAUAAUAAUUAACUGGUAAAAGUGAGGUCAAAUAUAAAAAUGAGAGAGUAAUAAAAUUAUAGUUGAAUAUUGAGAGUGGAUCUCGUAACCUUAGCAUAUUUUAAAUUGAUUCCAAAUAAUUUCUUUUUUCGCGUAAUUAAUUUUCUUUGUUUUAAAUUGACUACUAAAUUUUAAAUUUCUUGUAGUUCAAUCCCGGACUCACCGGGUUAUAUUAUAACUAGGUACUCUUAUACUUGAGAGUAAUAUAAUUUUGAGUCGUGUCAAGCUUUUGGCACUGUUGCUAGAGAAAUUCUUAAAUUUAGUGUAUUUUAUUUUUUUUAUUUUGUCAAUUAUUGUUUACGUUUUGUAUUUUCCCUUACGUCAUUUCUUUGUUUGGUUCUAAUAAUUCAUUUCAUAAAAUUUCAGUCAGCUCCCUUCUCUCUCUCAUAAUCAUAGAAUUGUCAUAAAACUUGUGAGAAACUUCAUUUAAGCCCAGAAACUUUUGCAAAUCAGUCCUCAAACCAAAUUUUUUUCUUUAAAUUUUUUAAAUUUACUUUCGCAUUUAUUUUAAAUGGUCAGUUCAACCGCUUGAUUGUUAUUUAAAUUUUGUUAAUUUAUUUAUUUUUGUUUAUAUGGUCGGUUCUACCACCUAACAUUUUAAUUUCAGUUUUUUUAUUCUUGUACAUUAAUUUAUUUACUUUUAUGUUUUGUUAUAUGGCUGGUUCUAAAAUACCGCCUAAUAUUUUGUUAAUUGUUUCCUUUAAUUACUUUGUUUUUAUGGCUGGUUUCAUUACCUAAUUUAUUUAUUUAUUUAUUUUUAGUUUGUUUAUUUUUAUUUCGCAUUUUUGCUUAUUUAAUUUCUAGUUUACUUUUAUUUCUGCAAUUUUCAUUUAGCAUUUUAUGCAUCAUUAAUUUAGCACACAUCAUUAGCAUUGCAUGUGUCGUUGGUCUCGUACAAAUAGUGGCAGAUUAAUUAGGAGAUCACCUUCGCCACCCUUAGAUAUGGCGGACAUAGGAACUGGAAAAUUUUCAGAGCACGAAGAUAACCAAACCUUGCAAAAUCUUCAUGAACAACCUAGGACCCUUAGAGACUUUAUGCAUCCUACUAGAACAAGGUCAUCAUCAUGCAUAAUUUUUCCUCCUGAUGCAUCAGUUUUUAAUUUCAAACUUGAUAUCAUUCAACUUCUUCCUACUUUUUAUGGUUUUGAGUCUAAAAAUCCAUAUUUGCAUUUAAGGGAAUUUGAGGAAGUCUGUAACACAUGUACUGAUCAAAAUUGUAGCAUGAAUAUAAUCAGGCUUAAGUUUUUUCUUUUCUCACUAAAGGAUAAAACUAAAGCUUGGCUACAAAAUCUUAAGUCAGAAUCUAUCAGAACUUGGGAUCAAAUGCAAGCACAAAUAUAUCAGAACUUGGGGAUGAAAUGCAAGCACAAUCUUUGAAAAAAUACUUCCCACCCCACAAAAAAAAUUCUUUCAAAAAACAAAGCACCACCUUCACUCAAAAACUAGGAGAAACCCUCUACCAAUGUUGGUAUAGGCUUAAAGAACUACUUAACAUUUGCCCACACAUCACGGUUUUGAAACAUGGAGAUUAAUGUCUUAUUUCUACAAGGGAUUAACAUCCCAAGGUAGACAAGUCGUUGAAAUGAUGUGUAAUGAUAAGUUUAAGGACAAAAAUCUUGAAGAUACAUUAGAUUAUCUUGACUAUAUAGUAGGGAAUGCACAACAGUGGGAUACAAUUGGGUCUUAUGAGUCAUCAAGUAAACCCCAAUCGUCUCCAUCUGGUGGAGGCAUACAUAACCUUAGGGAAGACCAUGAUUUCAAGCCAAAUUUGCAUCCUUAGCUAGAAAAUUUGAAGUAUUAGAGUCGAAAAAGAAUGAUCAUGUAAAGUCUGUUCAAAAUAUUUCAUAUUAUGUUUGCGAUUUUACUAAUCAUUCUACGCAGGACUGUCCAACCUUACCAGCUUUGAGAGAAAGUUUGCACAAACAAGUAAAUGUUGUUGACAAUUUCAAAAGGCCAAAUCCCAAUCCAUACUCCCAAACUUACAACUCUGGUUGGAGAAACCACCUAAAUUUCAGUUGGAGAAAUGACAACCAUGCACAACCUUCACAAUCAGUUACCCACCAUAUGUCCCACCACUAACAAAAACUCUGGAAGACACAUUGCAUUUGUUUAUUGAAAAAUAAGAGUCGAUCAAUAACCAAACGAUGCAAACCUUAACCAAUUUGACAGAAACUAUCUCCAAACUCACAUCUGCUCUGAUCGUACAUGAAAAAGGAAAGUUUCAUGCUCAACCUGAACCAAACCCCAAGAGUCAACAACAUCCUCAAAUGGGAAAUUCAGGAAACCAAAACAUGACUCAAGUCAAAUUAGUUAUAACCCUUCGUAGUGGUAAAGUUGUCGAAAAACAUAUCCAAGACCCUCGUGAAACUAGUAAAGAUUCAAUUUUAGAGAAUAGAGAAGAGUUUUCGAACCUUUUAACCAUGAAGAAAUAACCAACUCUCCUCCUGUACCCCCAUUUCCUCAAGCACUAAUCAAACGAAAGAAAUCAAACCACAAUCUAGAAAUUUAUGAAGUUUUUAAACAAGUAAAUGUCAACAUUCCUUUGUUGGAUGCCAUUAAACAAAUACCUUCUUAUGCUAAAUUUCUGAAAGAUAUGUGCACGGUGAAAAUGAAAUAUAAAGUGCAAAAGAAAGCUUUUUUAACAGAACAUGUAAGUUCCAUUCUCUCAACCAAUAGUGCUUUGAAAUACAAGGAUCCUAAUUGUCCAACUAUUUCUUGCAUUAUUGGGGAUCAUAAAAUUGGACAUGUUUUACUUGAUCUUGGUGCUAGUGUUAAUUUGCUUCCUUCCUCAGUAUACCAACAACUAAAUCUCGGUGAGUUAAAACCAACUUCUACCACUCUUUUACUUGUUGAUAGAUCGAUUAAGGUUCCAAAAUGAAUAAUUGAAGAUGUAUUAGUCCAAGUCGAUAAAUUCAUAUACCUUGUGGAUUUUAUUAUUUUGGAAACGGAACCAAUUGUUAAUGAAUGCAAACAAAUUCCUGUUAUAUUGGGUCGACCAUAUUUAGCUACUGCUAAUUCUUUGAUUAAUUGUACGAAUGGAUUAAUGAAAUUAUCUUUCGGCAACACGACAUUAGAACUCAAUGUGUUCAAUAUGUAUAAACAACCUCACCACCAAGAAGAUGAUGAUAAUGAGAAUGAGAAGAUUGAUCUCAUCGAGCCAAUCAUUGAGGAACACAUUCAAGAUGAGAAUUCUAUAAAAUCUGUGGAAAUUUGUUAUGCUUUUGGGCUCCUAAGUCCUAACUUUUAUAUUAUUUCCUACUUCUUGUUUUGUUAAGGAAUAAUUAUAUGUUUCUAUUAAUUAGUUCGUUAAUUAGUCUUCUAUUUUCUGUGUGUAAGUUGUUUAGGAAUAGGAUUAGUUACAAAUCUAUAUAAGGAAUCUUUUAUUAGUUCACUAGAAUAACAAUUAUUGCCUUUAAACUCCCGCUUCUCCUCUCCCUUCUCAUACUGUUCUUCUCUCUGCUCUUACUUGGAUCCAUUCUUUUACUUUCUAAAAAUUUCUUUUUUGUUAGUAGUAGCCUAUCAAUGUUUUAUUUCAUUUUUUCCUCUCAAAAGGCAGCCUAUCAAUGUUAUUGAACCGUAACAUUGAUUUCAUGCUAAAUUCAACAAUACAUUUCUCAUAACAACACAAAUUAAUUUUCAAGCCUCUUCGUAUCAAUCAAACUAAUUAAUUGGGAUAUUUCAAAUUUCUCGAUUCGGUGUUUGGGGGAUAUACUUCGACAAGGCUAGCCAUGACGAGCAGAUAUCAGGUACCCGAAUUCCGCGAACAGGUAUAUUCUGCAGAAGCCUGGUAGCAGGUGAAUACGAACAGGAAUACUCUGUUCGUUCACGAAUGUACCCUCCACGGGGCCACAGCAGGAGCCGGCCUCCUACUAGGAGCAUAAGCCCGUUCCUGCUAGAGGUUGAGGUGGGGAGACCCGGUCAAUGACGGUUGGUGAGACAUGCACUCCUGCCCGAGAAUCAAGGCACGAAGUCCAUCCAGCCACGACUACGAUAAUGGAGCAUCCACUUCCGAGAGUUGGGGAAGUGAUGGACGUGGAUCUUGGGAAGGCCCGAAUUCAAGGGAAGCCUAUAAAAAGGUAACCAACGAAGGUAGAAGGGUUAGACUUUUAGAUUACAACUGGGAAAAAAGAGCUUUUUAUUAAGAAAUCGUAAAAGAGCCAUAAGAUUAAUGGUCGUUUUUCCCAGAAAGGUAAAGCCUAUAUUUCUGACUUGAGCGUCGGAGGGUUUACGCCGGGAAAACACCCGGCGUGCUCUGACCUAUCUCUGUGUAUGCAGGAGUUUGCGGAGAAGAAGUCUUACGAGGAGAGAUCCUGGUCGUUGACGAGUUAGUUGAGGAGAGAUCCUGGUCAUGGACGAGCAGAAAACCAGAAUCUUGCAUUAACAUUUUGGCGCCGUCUGUGGGGAGCUGAGCAAAAAGCUUCUGUUAUUAGAGAGAAAAAGAGGAAAGGAAGUGAGGGAACAAUGGAUGUACGAGGAGGCAGUGCGCAAGGAGGUGACCCGAGGCUUAACGAGUCCGUGACGUUGAGAGAGAUAGCCAACGAAGCACAGGAAAAAGCAAUGUAUGAGCGAAUGGAACAGAUAGAGAAACAGAUGGAGACCCUGACAACCAUCCUACACGAGCUGAGAAGUGAACGAAGGGGAGUUCAAGAGGAGGGGGUAAGAAGUGGCGGAGUGACACCAGGGCACGAUAAUAUGAUGAGAGGUCGGACCACCAGAAGAUUUGGUGGUGAGGGGGGUAACUCAUCUCUACGGGGAGAAAGCCAUAGAAGAGAAGAUCAAUCCCCGGGAAGGCAGAUCUUAGAUAACGAUGACGGGGUGGCAAAUGCAAAGGAAAGAGAACUUCGGCAACACCUGUAUGAUGUUGAACAUGAGCGAGAUCAGGUUACAGCACAUGACAUUGGUCGUGCUGUACAGUUGGAAGAAGAAGUGCGCAGAUUAGCGCAUAUAAUAGAUGACAUGUAAGGACAGAGCAGAGCACCAGGUUGGAGGAUAAUGCUGGACGGAGAAUCCCCGCUCUCGGCAGAAAUCAUGACGGCAGUCAUUCCGAGGGAUUUUCACCUCCCAGACCUCAGAUACUCGGGGAGAAUCGAUCCGUUGGUGCACAUAGAGCGCUUUAACGACAUAACUGGGGUGCAAGGAUUAUCCUAAGCUCAAAGAUGCAGGGUGUUCCCGCUGUCUCUAGAGGGACGAGCACGUGAGUGGUACCAGAAGCUUCCUCGAGGGAGCGUUAAAUUCUUCAAGCAUAUGUGGCAGGAAUUUGCAAAGCAGUUUUGUGGGGCAAUGGCACCUGAAGAUGAUAUGAUGAAGCUGACGAGCAUGAAGCAGAGAGAGGAGGAAACCCUUCGGGAAUUCAUCAAAAGGUUCCAUCGUGCUGUCCUCGAUUUGGGAGCUUUCAACCAUCCUCAAACAUUAAGGGGAUUGAAAGAAGGGGUAAAGAUAGGACGGCUGUGGUACAAUUUGAGGAAUCCUGUUAUUCAAACGUAUUCAACUGCUUACGAGCAGGCCAAGAGGGACAUAGAGAUUGAGGAGGAAAAGGCAGCAUGGAUUAAGACAGAUCAGCUGGAAGGGUUGAGGAGGAAAGGGAAGAGAGCUCUACUAGGAAAUGGGCCAAUUAAGAGGAAGGACCAUCAUGCCUCGGGCACUGGUGCAGGGGGCCGGGUCACCUCUUACCAGCCUCAUCAGAGGCCACCCUAAUAUCAGCGCAGCAGGGCGCAACCUCCUCGUUCACCAGCCAGAGAUUCAUGGAGAAGGCAUGACCCGACAUAUGGUCAUCCUCAUCCACACCCACACGGUGGUAGAGGAAGCAGACCAGAAGCACCGCUACCCCCUCCAGUUCAGAACGGUAGCAACAGAGAAAGGACAGUACACAUGAUCAACCAGAGCCAAGACUAUGGGCGGUAUACUUCCUUGAAGAUGCCUCUGGACGAGGUGUAUGAGGCCAUAAAGGAACGAGGAUUACUGUACCUCCCUACUCCAAUAACAAAGCUACCCAGCAAGAGAGAUGGGGGAUGCUAUUGCAAGUUCCAUGGCACCCACGAGUUCGUAGAGGGGACCUUCUCGAUGGUGGCCUCGUCAUGUGAAGGAGAGCAGAGUGACAGGGACUUGAGCCACGAGCAGCUUAUGGUAAGAGUAAUUGCUGGGGGCCUAACAUUGGCGGGAGAUUCCAACAGGUCGAGGAAGAACUACUCUAAGUAUGCCAUGACUAGUAAAGAAGUGUUCUUCAACACCCCAGCAGCCAAGUGAGCAAGAAUUAGGCACGUUCCGAUCAUGUGGACAGAUGAGGAUGAAGAAGAGAUUCUAUAUCCACAUGAGGAUGCCUUAGUCAUUAAAGUCGCCGCUGCUAGCAAGAAGUUUGAUCGUACUCUGGUAGACACGGGAAGCUCGGUCGAUGUUUUGUUCAAGUCAACUCUGGAGGAGAUGGGAAUAGCAGACCUGAGGUUAGAACAUACCAAUACCUCCUUGAAGGAAUUUGGAGGAGGAAAGCUGGUUCCUCUUAGCGUGGUCGAACUGCCCAUCACAAUUGGCAGUGUUGUGCAAAUUUUAAUGUACUCGCAAGCGCACGAAUCUAUUGUAGUAUAGAUCAAUGGUGACGAGUGUCGAUCCCACGAGGAGGUGGAUUUUAAUUAUGUGUAGAAUUAAUUUUGUAAAUGGGUGGUUGGAUUUAUGGUGGAAGUGAUUUGAAUUAUCCUAAAAUUGGAAUUGAAAUGGCGAGAAUAAAUUCUAAAAUUGGAAUUGCAAUGGCGAGAAUAAAUUGAAGAGAAAUGUAUUGAAAUGACGUACUUGGGUAUCUGGAUCCGUAUCAACAUGCAUCAUGGGCUAAAUAUUCCUUAUUAAUGCCAAUUAAAUCAUGAGGGGGGAAUUCACACCUCAUGAACCACACUCUAAUCAAUAUGGUGCCAAGGGCUUAUCGUGCCAAAUAAUAAUAACCUUGUACUAGAGAGCCGGUGAAACCAAGGCGGUACUAGACAAGAUUAGUAUUAUUUGUCGACGAGAAGUCAAAACAUCCACAAAAUUUAGAGGGGAAGAGAAAGUAAAUUUACCAAAUAAAGCUCAUGACACAUGUUGAGACUUCACCUUCAACCCAAGCUUGAAAGAAAAUUAGCCACUCAUAAUUGAACUAAGGGCAAAAUGGGAAUUUAUUAAAAUACGUAGAAAAUACAAGAUGAAGAGGGAAUUACAGAAAAUGAAUCCCAAAAAUGGAUUCAGAGCUAUAAAAUUAGGGGGGAAAGGCCCCCUUUUUAUAGAUACAUGGAGUAAAUCAUGGCCAUCGGAUUAAAAACAGUUUGGACGCUCAGGAUUGCGCCACGUCAUCAGUCAACAGUCCACGGUUUGACCACGCGGAUGAACAGUAACACGGUUUGACCCGGAUGAACAGUAACACGGUUUGGUUGAAAAUAAUCCUGUGUGAUGCAUGCACCGUACGCGAGAUUUUUCGUCCACUGAUAUGCUGCCACGUCACCAUCAACAGUACAUAAGAAUUUUAGUCUAAUAGGAUUGUGACACCUCAUCAGUCAAUGCCACAUCAUCGGUCAAUGCCAUGUCAUCGAUCCGUCUAUGUGAACAGUGUCGUGAACAGUACCGUACACGUGAAUAGUAUCGUACAUGUGAAUAGUGCCAUUUUCCCUUUUAUGCUCCUCCUAAGGUUUUCGACCGUCCUGAGUUCAAAAAUGAUGUCUGUUUUGCCGUCUGAUCUCUCCUUUAUUGUGAAAUGACUAUAAUGCCCCUAAAAUACAUAAAAUACUUAAUUAAAAUAACACACACGUAAUUACAUUACAAGAAGGUUAAAUACAUAAAAGUAAGAGUUGUUAGUAAGACUUGAAAUGUAAAAUGAUGGUUUUCUCCUUUAUAAAUAUGCAUUUUCUAACACUCAACAGGCAGCUCCCCGACAGAAAAGACUAUGAUACUGGAUUUUGUGGUGGUCGAUGAAGAGGGUCCUUACUAGAUGAUUCUAGGCCGCCCCUUUCUGAGGAUGAGCAAAGCGGUACUUUCCAACCAUUAUCUAGCUCUCAAGUAUCGGGUGAACGGGGUGGUUGGAGUGGUACGAGGAGACUAGAGAAUUGCCCGAAGCUGUUACUCCACAGCAGCAAGGGAAGCAAUGCAGAUUACAUCCCUUGAUACUCGGGUAGGGGCCAAGAAUGGCAGACAGGAGCCCGUAGAGGAGCUAGAGAUAGUAAGCUUGGAGCAAGAUGAUCAAGGAAAAACAAUCUGAAUCAGGUCGAGGCUUAAAGAAGAGCAGAAGCGGGAGCUGGUGCAUUGCUUACGAGCUCAUGCAGAUGUGUUUGCUUGGACACAUGAAGACAUACCGGGAAUCGACCCUGAGGUCGCAUGCCAUAGGUUGGCAAUAAGGAAGGGUGCUCGGGCAGUAAGGCAGAAAAGGAGGUGUUUAAAUCAGGAGAGGUAUGAGGCUAUAAAUGACGAGGUGGAGAAGCUCUUGAAGGCAGGGUUCAUUCGGGAAGUUAACUACCCUGAGUGGAUAUCGAAUGUGGUGUUAGUGAAAAAGGCUAAUGGAAAAUGGAGGAUGUGUGUAGAUUUCACAGACCUCAAUAAGGCGUGCACGAAAGAUAGCUUUCCCUUACCCAAGAUCGACCAGCUGGUUGACUCAACAACUGGACAUGGCCUGCUUAGGUUCAUGGAUGCAUUUUCGGGAUACAACCAAAUCCCAAUGUUCGAGCAGGAUGAGGAGAGCAAGGUAUUUAUCACUAACCAGGGUUUGUUCUGUUACAGGGUAAUGUCGUUUGGUCUUAAAAAUGCGGGUGCCACGUACCAGAGGUUGGUGAACAAAAUCUUUAAGCUAUUGAUUGGGAGAACAAUGGAGGUGUAUGUGGACGACAUGAUAACCAAAUCAAAAAUCCCGAAGGAACAUGUUGAGCACAUCGAGGAGACAUUUGGACUUUUGAGGAAGUACAAAAUGAAGCUCAACCCGGAGAAGUGUGCCUUUAGGGUCGAGUCGGGCAAAUUUCUUGGAUUCAUGGUGAGUCAUCGGGGGAUCGAGGCGAAUCUCGAGAAGAUCCAGGCAAUCAUGCAGAUGAGAUCCCCUCGUAACCUGAAGGAGAUACAGAGCCUUACGGGGAGAUUGGCGGCAUUAAGUCGGUUCAUAUCCAAGGCGACAGAUAAGUGCCAGGCAUUCUUUCAAGUGAUAAGGAGAGGAAAGAAAACAGAGUGGACCCCUGACUACGAAGAAGCUUUCCAGAAUUUGAAGCAAUAUUUGCAGCAAGCACCUUUGUUGUCCACUGUUGUGCAAAUUUUAAUGUACUCGCAAGCGCACGAAUCUAUUGUAGUAUAAAUCAAUGGUGACGAGUGUCGAUCCCACGAGGAGGUAGAUUUUAAUUGUGUAGAGAAUUAAUUUUGCAAAUGGUUGAUUGGAUCUGUGGUGAAAAUGAUUUGGAAUAUGCUAAAACUUAAAUUAAAAUUGUGAGAAUAAAUUCUGAAAUUGGAAUUGAAAUGGCGAGAAUAAAUUGAAGAGAAUUCUAUUGAAAUGACGUACUUGGGUAUCUGGAUCCGUAUCAACAUGCAUCAUGGGCUAAAUAUUCCUUAUUAAUACCAAUUAAAUCAUGAGGGGGGAAUCCACACCUCAUGAACCACGCUCUAAUCAAUAUGGUGCUAAGGGCUUAUCGUGCCAAAUAAUAAUAACCUUAUACUAGAGAGCCGGUGUAACCAAGGCGGUAUCUAGACAAGAUCAGUAUUAUUUAUCGACGAUAAGUCAAAUCAUCCACAAAAACUAGAGGGGAAAAGAAAAUAAAUUUACCAAAUAAAGCCCAUGACACAUGUUGAGACUUCACCUUCAACCCAAGCUUGAAAAGAAAUUAGCUACUCAUAAUUGAACUAGGGGCAAAAUGGGAAUUUAUUAAAAUACAAAGAAAAUACAAGAUGGAGAAGGAAUUGCAGAAAAUAGAUCCCAAAAAUGGAUUCAGAGCUAUCAAAUUAGGGGGGGGAGGCCCCCUUUUUAUAGAUACAUGGAGUAAAUCAUGGCCAUCGGAUUAAAAACAGUUUGGACGCUCAGGAUUGCGCCACGGCAUCAGUCAACAGUCCACGGUUUGACCACGCGGAUGAACAGUAACAUGGUUUGACCCGGAUGAACAGUAACGCGGUUUGGUUGAAAAUAAUCCUGUGUGAUACAUGCACCGUACGCGAGAUUUUUCGUCCACUGAUAUGCUGCCACGUCACCAUCAACAGUAUAUAAGAAUUUUAGUCCAACAGGAUCGUGACACCUCAUCAGUCAAUGCCACAUCAUCGGUCAAUGCCACGUCAUCGAUCCGUCUAUGUGAACAGUGUCGUGAACAGUAAUGUAGACAGUACCGUAUACGUGAAUAGUACCGUACAUGUGAAUAGUGCCAUUUUUCCUUUUAUGCUCCUCCUAAGGUUUUCGACCGUCCUGAGUUCAAAAGUGAUGUCCGUUAUGCCGUCUGAUCUCUCCUUUAUUGUGAAAUGACUAUAAUGCCCCUAAAAUACAUAAAAUACUUAAUUAAAAUAACACACACGUAAUUACAUCACAAGAAGGUUAAAUACAUAAAAGUAAGGGUUGUUAGUAAGACUUGAAAUGUAAAAUGACAGUUUUCUCCUUUAUAAAUAUGUAUUUUCUAACACUCAACAUCCACGCCGCGGGACAGGGACGUGCUAUUCCUAUAUAUGGCGGUAUCGGAUCAUGCCACGAGUUCUGUUCUAGUGAGAGAGGAAGAAGGGGUUCAAUACCCGAUAUAUUACACGAGCAAGGCCCUGCUAAAUGCCGAGACCAGAUACCCGCCGUUAGAGAAAUGGGCACUUGCUCUUGUGGUUGCUGCUCAGAAGCUGAGGCUAUACUUUCAAGCAUUCCCCGUCUCAGUUAUAACAAACCAACGGUUACGACUGACACUACACAAGCCGGAUGCUUCUGGUCGGCUAGUUAAAUGGGCCAUAGAGUUGAGCGAGUUCGACAUAAGUUAUAAACCCCGAGGAGUAAUAAAAGCCCAGGCAAUGGCCGAUUUUGUGGCAGAAUUCGCAGAGCCCGAAGUUUGUUUCGACCAGCUGAAUGCUGCUACAGUUAACAACGAAGAUCGGGUAUGGCAGGUGUCGGUGGAUGGAUCCUCAGGGGAGUAGGGGUCUGGAGCAGGGAUUGUCUUGGAAGGCCUAUAAGGGGAGGAAAUCUCUUAUGCUGUAAAGUUGGAGUUCACAGCCACAAAUAACCAGGCAGAAUAUGAAGCUUUAAUAGCCGGCUUGGAAUUGGCUAAGGUAGUGAAAGCGGAUAGGGUGAAAAUCCGAAUUGAUUCCCAACUGGUUGCAAAUCAUGUCAGUGAAAUAUUUCAACCGAGAGAUGGGAAGAUGGAACAGUACUUGAAGAAAGUCAAGCAGAUGAUUAGGAAGUUUGAGGCGGUUGAGGUGAUACGAAUCCCAAGGGAGGAGAAUAGUCGAACAGAUAUUCUGGCCAGGAUGGCAGCUGUAGCAGAUCCGAAAAUGCCGAAAUCGAUCCCUCUGGAAGUGAAGUCCAGCCCUAGCAUCGAGCAGAAGUUGGAGGUGAUGCGGAUAGAACAGAUAUGCUCGUGGAUGGACCCGAUAAUCUCGUACAUCAGAGACGGGGUAUUACCACCAGAUAAGCUACGAGCUCGGAAGAUCAGAGCCCAGGCAUCGAGGUACACAAUGAUUGAUGGGGUGCUAUACCGGCGGGGAUAUACUCUACCGUUCCUUCGGUGCUUGGAUGAGGACGACGCAGAUUACGUAUUGAGAGAAGUACAUGAAGGAGUUUGCGGAAACCAUUCUGGCGCGAGGUCCCUUACCUACAAGGCUCUAAAGCAGGGAUAUUUCUGGCCGACGAUGCACCAGGAUGCGCAGGAGAAAACCAGGAGCUGCUUGAGUUGCCAGAGUUUUGCAAAUUUCUCUACCCAACCACCAGAGAAGCUCACUUUUAUGGCCUUGCCAUGGCCAUUUGCUCAAUGGGGAAUUGAUUUGAUUGGGCCGUUGCCAAAGGGACAAGGGGCAGCAACACAUGCAAUAGUAGCGAUAGACUACUUCACGAAAUGGAUAGAGGUAGAAGCCCUCAGCAGGAUCACAAAGAAAAAGACGACUGACUUCGUAUGGAGAAACCUGGUUUGUCGGUACGAGAUCCUUUGUGCCCUGAUAACAGACAAUGGUAGGCAGUUUAACAACCAUAACUUAAAGGAUUUCUGCCAAAACCUCGGGAUAAAGCUGAAGUAUUGCUCGCUCGCUCACCCUCAAUCUAACGGGCAAGUAGAAGCAGCCAACAAGAUAAUAAAGAGGCUUCUGAAAACUAGGCUUGGAGCAAAGAAGGGUGCAUGGGUUGAUGAGCUACCAAGUGUAUUAUGGGCAUACAGGACAACCCACAAAACAGCAACCGGUGAGACUCUGUUCGCUUUGGCCUUCAGACAUGAAGCUGUUGUACCGGUCGAGAUAGGGGAGACCACACACCGGACAGAUCACUUCGAUGAGCAGGAAAACAACGACCAGAUGUGCUUGAAUCUGGAUCUGCUGACCGAGAAGAUGGAGCCAGCAUCGAAGCGAUCAGCAGUUUACCAGCAGAGAGUUGCUCGAUAUUACAACCAGAAGGUGUGUAUACGACAGUUCAAGGUUGGCGAUUGGGUACUAAGGAGGGUGAACCAGAACACGAAAGACUUGACACAAGGAGUACUUGGACCAAACUGGGAGGGGCCAUAUAGGGUCAAGCAGGUAGCUGGACCCGGAGCCUACAAGCUUAUUCGCGCGGAUGGCCACGAGGUGAAAUGCCCCUGGAACGCAGCGCGCCUCAAGAAAUAUUUCCAGUAAGACCCGAUCAUGCUUUAAAGUUAUUUCUAUUUGUUCUCAUUGUUAUGCAUUUUAUGAUAAAAUCAAUCUCAUGUAAGUUGAGUUCAACAAUUAAUGAAAUGUUGAUGAAUUUCAGUCACUUGUAAUGUUGUAAAAAUUUCUAAGGCAUGCAAAAGCUAAGUCUCAAAGCCUGUUUUAUGGCGAGACAAGAAGCCAAGCGUGCAAAGAUCUGCUCGACCAAGCGAAGGCGAGCAGACUCUCAAACGUUGUAAAAAUUUCUAAAGCAUGCAAAGGCUCACUAAGUCUCAAAGCCUGUUUAUGGCGAGACCAGAAGCCAAGCGUGCCAGGAUCUGCUCGACCAAGUGAAGACUAGCAGACUCUCAAACGUUGUAAAAAUUUCUAAGGCAUGCAAAAGCUAAGUCUCAAAGCCUAUUUUAUGGCGAGACAAGAAGCCAAGCGUGCCAGGAUCUGCUCGACCAAGCAAAGACGAGUAGACUCUCAAACGUUGUAAAACUUUCUAAGGCAUGCAAAGGCUCACUAAGUCUCAAAGCCUGUUUAUGGCGAGACCAGAAGCCAAGCGUGCCAGGAUCUGCUAGAUCAAGCGAAGGCGAGCAGACUCUCAAACGUUGUAAAAAUUUCUAAGGCAUGCAAAGGCUCACUAAGUCUCAAAGCCUGUUUAUGGCGAGACUAGAAGCCAAGCGUGCCAGGAUCUGCUCGACCAAGCAAAGGCGAGCAGACUCUCAAACGUUGUAAAAAUUUCUAAGGCAUGCAAAGGCUCAUUAAGUCUCAAAGCCUGUUUUAUGGCGAGACAAGAAGCCAAGCGUGCCAGGAUCUGCUCGACCAGGUGAAGGCGAGCAGACUCUCAAACGUUGUAAAAAUUUCUAAGGCAUGCAAAGGCUAAGUCUCAAAGCCUGUUUUAUGGCGAGACCAGAAGCCAAGCGUGCCAGGAUCUGCUCGACCAAGCGAAGACGAGCAGACUCUCAAACAUUGUAAAAAUUUCUAAGGCAUGCAAACGCUUACUAAGUCUCAAAGCCUAUUUAUGGCGAGACCAGAAGCCAAGCAUGUCAGGACCUGCUCGACCAACGGGAAGCAGAACUUUUCGGCACCUGCUCGACCACAAUAUAAGCGAACAAAAAAUAAAAUAAUUUUCCAAGAGCUCGAGGCAAAGAAACCAAAUAAGAACAUUCUUGUUAAUCUACCAAUAAUCAUGAAAAACUGAUAGUCUUAACAUACAAUGUUCUAAAAAAGCGACUACAACACAAGAUACAUUCAAGAGGACGGCGGGUCAGUAAGUUGGGCAGUCUCUAUUGGCUGGUCCACCUCAGGUGCAGGGGGGGUCUCACCAGUUGCACCCGGGGGGGUACUUGCCUCGGCAACAUCGGCAGGGAUUGCACGAGGAUGAGAGUUUCCCUACUCAGUUGCAUUUGGCUCCAACUCUUCGACAUCCGCUUUUGCUGCCUCCUCGUCCAUAUAUUGAGCAACACCAAUAGCAAGCUCAUCCAUCUUCAGAUCAGGAUGCUGCUUCCCUAAGACAGCCAUGAUGCAGCGAUAAGAACGCCGAAGCCCCUGGUUAUAUUGGUUAUCAGCUUCAUUCUCUAGGUUUUCAACCUGAACCUGGUGGGAAUCUUUAAGAGAUUCGGGCUGAGCCUCGUAAGUAGCCUUUUGUCUCUGCAGGUCUUCCUUGACCCUAGUCAGUGUUGUGCAAAUUUUAAUGUACUCGCAAGUGCACGAAUCUAUUGUAGUAUAGACUAAUGGUGACGAGUGUCGAUCCCACGAGGAGGUGGAUUUUUAAUUAUAUAUAGAAUUAAUUUUGUAAAUGGGUGGUUGGAAUUGUGGUGGAAGUGAUUUAAAAUAUGCUAAAAUUGGAGUUGCAAUGGCGAGAAUAAAUUGUAGAGAAAAUCGAUUAAAUUGACGUACUUGGGUAUCUGGAUCCGUAUCAACAUGCAUCAUGGGCUAAAUAAUCCAUAUUAAUGCCAAUUAAAUCAUGAGGGGGGAAUCCACACCUCAUGAACCACACUCUAAUCAAUAUGGUGCUAAGGGUUAUCGUGCCAAAUAAUAAUAACCUUAUACUAGAGAGCCGGUGUAACCAAGGCGGUAUCUAGACAAGAUCAGUAUUAUUUAUCGACGAUAAGUCAAAUCAUCCACAAAAACUAGAGGGGAACAGAAAAUAAAUUUACCAAAUAAAGUCCAUGACACAUGUUGAGACUUCACCUUCAACCCAAGCUUGAAAGGAAAUUAGCUACUCAUAAUUGAACUAGGGGCAAAAUGCGAAUUUAUUAAAAUACAAAGAAAAUACAAGAUGGAGAAGGAAUUACAGAAAAUGGAUCCCAAAAAUGGAUUCAGAGAUAUCAAAUUAGGGGGGAGAGGCCCCCUUUUUAUAGAUACAUGGAGUAAAUCAUGGCCAUCGGAUUAAAAACAGUUUGGACGCUCAGGAUUGCGCCACGUCAUCAGUCAACAGUUCACGGUUUGACCACGCGGAUGAACAGUAACAUGGUUUGACCCGGAUGAACAGUAACGCGGUUUGGUUGAAAAUAAUCUUGUGUGAUGCAUGCACCGUACGCGAGAUUUUUGGUCCAUUGAUAUGCUGCCACGUCACCAUCAACAGUACAUAAGAAUUUUAGUCCAACAGGAUCGUGACACCUCAUCAGUCAAUGCCACAUCAUCGGUCAAUGCCACGUCAUCGAUCCGUCUAUGUGAACAGUAUCGUGAACAGUAACGUAUACAGUACCGUACACGUGAAUAGUGCCAUUUUUCCUUUUAUGCCCCUCCUAAGGUUUUCGACCGUCCUGAGUUCAAAAGUGAUAUCCGUUUUGCCGUCUGAUCUCUCCUUUAUUGUGAAAUGACUAUAAUGCCCCUAAAAUACAUAAAAUACUUAAUUAAAAUAACAUACGCGUAAUUACAUCACAAGAAGGUUAAAUACAUAAAAGUAAAAGUUGUUAGUAAGACUUGAAAUGUAAAAUGAUGGUUUUCUCCUUUGUAAAUAUGCAUUUUCUAACACUCAACACACCCCCCAACCAGCUUAUUGCUAGUCCCUAGCAAAUAAACGAAAACAAAAUUCAAAUUCAAAAAAUAUAUAUUUUUUUAGAAACACUCGUGUUUAUUCAAUCAGAUUAAUGAUAGCAAUCAAAUAAAAGUAUAAGCAUUAUCUCCAGUCUAAAGCAACAUCACACCCACAUCAACCAUCCACAUGAAUUAGCCCAGUAGACUUUGUUAUAGCUACUUUCAAGAAUGACAUGUCAAACCCCAAAAUCUCACUAGAAGUAGUGACACUCUCAUAAAGAAAUUAAAACCCAAUAAACAUAGUCACUCCAAUGAAUGGUAAUUGAGAGAGAAAAUAAUAAAGAAAUGAUAUCACAUGCUCUCACCAAGAUGAAAUAAAUAUGCCCUCAGCUUAGAAAUAAUACGAUCUCAAGUUAAAUAAAAAAAAUGUUAGUCAACCCAAUUUAUUUAUUUAUUUUUUUAUAUGCACCACUACAUCUUUUUAGCCCAUAUAACUAGCUUCUACUUCAAACUAUAGUUCCCUAAAAUCAAGAAGGACUUUUAUUAGGACGUAACGUAGGCUAGGGAUAUGGCUAACAAAGAAAGGAAAUAAGGAAAACAAAGUGUAUGUUUGAGAAAAAUGCAAAAUUUUUUUUUUUUUUUUUUUGGAAGUUGCAAGGCGGAUUUCACCUAUUAUUGUUAUUUUUAUUCUUUUGAAACAACAACUUUUUUUUUUGUUUUUUUUUCUUUUUGCUUUUAUUUGGCAUAACUUCACUGAACAACAUAAUUAUUUACAUUUUCUCAAACAUAAAUAGGUGAUGGAACUUAAAAAACAUUGGGUAAUACUCCAAAUCGGAGUGGGUCAAGAUGAUAAGUUGACAAAGAAAAGGUUUUUGUUCUUUUUUUUUUUUUUAAAGGCUCAAAAGGGGUAACUAUGGAUAUUUAAUAAAAGGGAUGGCUAGAAAGGCUCAAACGGAUCAAAGAUGGCCUUUCCAUCGUCUUUUAGGGCUCUAAAUAAUUAUCCAUAUCUACUGGUUAGAUGGGCCUCCCAAUGUAGCAACACACAUUUUUUUUCUUUCUUUUUUUUUUAAUUUUACCAUUUUUUUUAAAGGGUUAACUCAAAAGAAAUCUAGAGAUCGUGUAUAAAAUAAUAAACUGCUAAGCUGUAUAGAGAAUGGGCAAAAGGGUUACUCUCCAAGAAAAUGAUAGGCUCAACAACUCACUUGGCACUUAUUUAUGACAUGUUCAUUCCUUCAAGCAACUCAUAUUUGUCUCCGACAUCAACAUGUAAAGUAGCAAACAUAGCGUAACAUCACUUAAGACCAAAGAUAAUACAAAUACUAAAAUUUGAAAUUAAUCAUGUCAUCCAAUGUUAAAACAAAUCAUAAAAAAAUUUUUUUUUUACACAACAUUCUACCCCCCAACCUAUUCUAAACAUGAAAGGAAAAUAUGCAUGCAGAAAUGUGAAAAUGAUGUAGAAAAUUAAUUUUUUUUUUUUAACUAAGAAGAUACGUUUCUAGAGGCAUUACACUCCAUAUUCAGCCAUCUUCGACUCAAAAAUUUGAAAAUAUAUAUUUAUAAAGGAGAAAGAGGAAGAAAACGAUUUUUUUUUUUUGUUUUUUUUUUUAAACGAUGAAGAUGCGUUUCUAGAGUAACUACACUCCAUAUUCAGCCAUCUUCAACACAAAACGUUAGCAAAAGUUAGUUUCUACAAUAAAAAAAAAAUAAGUAAAAACUUAACCAAGAUUCUACAAUUGUCGACUAUUCCCUCCCCCCAACCAGAACGAAACAUUGUCCUCAAUGUUUUAAAGGAAAGAAGUAGAGUUUAGAAGACAUCACUUGGGUGGUGCAACACAGAAGAAAAUAUUUACAGGCGGAGAGUUAAAUCUAAUUUGUACUUCUUACUGCGGCUACUGUUACCAUCAUUAUUUGGUCGCUCCAACACAAAGGCCCAGGGGUCUGGCUCCGGUUUAUAAGCUUGUAACAUAUCAAGUAGCUCAUUAGCAGUGUGAGCACAAAUAAAGAGUUUUUUCACAUUAGAAGGAAUGAAAUAGUUUUUUAUUGCAUGGUUAAGAAAUGCGAUAAAGCCAUCAUAAAAGUUAUUGACAUUUAACAAACCGAUGGGUUUCUGGUGAAUGUGUAGAUAGGCCCAAGAUGCUAGUGUGAUAAGUGCCUCUAGUGUUGCAAGAUCUCCUGGAAGGAAAAUAAAAGCAUCAUCAUAAUUAAGCAUUUCAGUUAUUCUUUCUUGCAUACCUGAGACGACUAACUCUUCUCCAGUUGAUGAGUCAGAUGAACUGCCCAAUGGUUUUAGGACUCUUGGGAUGAUGCCUAACACUUGACUUCCUCUGAUAAAAGCUGCUUCUGAGACCACUUUUUGAUAACCCUCGGUUACCUCCUCCAUACACCAAAUGUAAUUUUCUCGCUGCUAUGCUUCGACCAAGAUCUAUGGCUGCCUCAACGAACUCUUUAUGUUUGCCAUAUGUAAAUCCAGAAAGCACACAAAUGUUCUUGAAUUGUCUAUUGGGAGUAGCUACCAUUAGAAUAUUUCUCAAAAACAAUUUGUGAGUGUUUGACAAAAGAAAUCACAUUUAAGAGUCUUGGUGACAGUGGGUCACAGCUGUGUAUGAGGUAACAUGUCAGUGUCAAAUAACGCGUAAAGCACGUGGCUCGCGAGUCAAAAAGGAAACAGUAAAAAGGAAAAAGCAAACAGUAACAAAAUUAUUAAAGACAAUAAUGCAAACAAUAAAACAACAGUGAAAUGAAAUAAAAUAACAGUAAAGUAUAAGGAUAUUUACAUGUAGUUGCGACUGUGGCUCACAUCUUCCUCUGGUUUUACGUCCAGAAACGGCUUGAACACCCUCUAUGGGUCGAGGAUAGGCUUCCUAUCCAGUUUUCUUAUAAACUGGCAAACAGGGUCGUUUAUAGUCAGAUUCCCGAGACUACAUCGUGCAUGCUCUUUUUGGAAUAAUGGCCAUAACUGGAGAAUCGCUCCUUGCACAUAUCCACUGGGAUGCGUUUCAAGAGACAGAAGGAUAUCAUCCAAUGACUCCUUAUUCAAGCCAUCCCUAAUGAAUUGAAUCUUAUCUUCCCUGUUAUCAGACACCAUUCCUAAAGAACAUGGGUUUCUAUCGCAACUCAUUCUGGCACACUUAUGACAAGCAACAGAAAUUCUUCGAGCUCGUCGUUUUCUUGCAUAAUUUCCUUUACCACAACCAGGCAUGUAUGCAAUAAAUUUUGGAGGUAACGCACAUGCCAAUCGUACUUUCGCCUCGAUUAACCAACGGAUGUCAGCAGGUAUGUUAUUCCUCAUGAAUAAUCGCAUGCGUUCGGACCGAGCUUUAUAGAUCGUAAGGAGGGCAUUCUGAGGAAGUGAAGGGAAUCGCUUGUGAAGUUUCGCUAGAAUCUCGUUUCUAUCCAUACCUUCGCCUCAGAAUAUCAGUUAUUAUGGGAAACUGAAGUAACCGACUUGAUUGUCACGGAGUACCGUUAUCCGCCACUUCACCGGGGUAACAAACUAAAGCACACAAACAGAAAAACAAAUUAAAACACACAAAGAAAAUUAAAAUCGUCCUCUUAUUGAAUUUACCUCAACCUCAAACUGGAUGUCGUAAACACUUCUCUCAAUGUCUCUGAGUUGGCGUUCUAAACCCUCAACAUAGGCUACUAACUCUGGUGGUUGUAGAGCCCAAAUGCGAGGUGUUUUACAAAAUUGAAUCUGCCUUUUGAGAUGAGUUUUGACACGUUGAAGUGGUUUAAGAAUGUUCAGGAGGAACGGUCUAAGUAUGGUACUCAUGAUUAACAAUGAUAAGAAAAAAAAAACUUAAUGGUAAAACAAACACACUUAUGCAAAAAUAAUUUCAAUUAGCAAAAGAAUAAUAAAAAGAAAGAAAGAAAAAUCAAAUCAACAAAAAGAAAAAAUCAAUUCAAAUCUGGUGGGUCACUCAAAUUUAUUUCGGUGUCUUCUCCAUGUGGUUGGUAUUCUAGAUAUGGCUUUAAUCUUUGACCAUUAACUUUAAACGUGACACCGUUCGUUGGGUCCUUAAUUUCAAUUGCCCCAUGUGGAAAAACAGUAUGAACAAUAAAGGGACCAGACCAUCGAGAGCGUAACUUACCUGGGAAUAGGUGCAAACGAGAAUUGAAUAAAAGCACUUUCUGACCUGGAGUGAACGAUUUUCUCAUAAUGUGCUUGUCAUGAAAGACUUUCAUUCGUUGCUUGUAAAUCUUGGCAUUUUCGUAUGCAUCAUUGCGAAUUUCUUCAAGUUCUGCCAGUUGUAAUCUUCUUUCUGAGCUGGCUUGCUGCAUGUCAAAGUUGAAUUUCUUGAUGGCCCAAUAUGCACGAUGCUCGAGUUCCACAGGUAGGUGACAAGCUUUUCCAUACACUAGCCUGUAUGGUGACAUCCCAAUCGGGGUCUUGAAAGCCGUUCUAUAUGCCCAUAAUACAUCAUCAAGUCUUAAUGACCAAUCUUUUCUGUCUAGCCUCACCGUCUUUUCUAAUAUGUGCUUUAUUUCUCGAUUGGAGAUCUCAACUUGGCCACUGGUUUGCGGAUGAUACGGGGUCGCCACUUUGUGUAUGAUUGAAUACUUUGUCAAAAGAGUUUUGAAUGCUUUGUUACAAAAGUGGGCACCACCAUCACUGAUUAUCGCUCGAGGGAAUCCAAAGCGUGAAACAAUGUUGCUUUUCAAAAAUGCUAUCACCACCUUGUGAUCAUUGGUCCUACAUGAAAUUGCUUCUACCCAUUUCGAUACGUAGUCAACAGCAACCAAUAUGUAUUGAUGGCCAAAAGACGGGGGAAAGGGUCCCAUGAAGUCGAUACCCCAUACGUAAAAAAUUUCAACCACUAAAAUUGGAUUUAGUGGCAUCAUGUUCCUUCGUGUAAUGCUCCCCAUUCGUUGACACCUAUCACAUGAAGAACAGAAAGUGUAAGCAUCUCGAAAUAUAGUUGGCCAAUAGAAACCACAUUGUAAAACUUUAGUCGCUGUUUUCUUAGCACUGAAAUGGCCUCCACAAGCUUGUUCAUGGCAGAAUGAAAGGAUAUUCUGAAUUUCACUUUCUGGGACACAUCGUCUAACAAUUUGGUCUGCACAAUACUUGAACAAAUACGGGUCAUCCCAAAAGAAAUUCUUUAUUUCUGCAAAGAAUUUAGCCUUGUCUUGCUUGGUCCAAUGCUCUGGAAAUUUACCUGUAACAAGAUAAUUAACUAUAUCAGCAUACCAAGGUAAUAAUCCACAUUCAUCAAUUGUUCAUCUGGGAAUGACUCAUUUAAUGGUAAUGGCUCUGUAAUUGUGUCAAAAUGGAGACGAGAGAGGUGGUCCGCCACAACAUUUUCUGUGCCUUUCUUAUCUUUGAAUUCCAAGUCAAAUUCCUGCAAAAUUAAUACCCAACGAAUUAGUCUAGCUUUUGCAUCUUUCUUUGUGAGAAGAUAUUUAAGAGCAGCAUGAUCUGUGAAUAUAAUUAUUUUACAACCAAUGAGAUAAGAUCGAAAUUUUUCCAAUGCAAACACUACUGCUAGCAUUUCUUUUUCAGUAGUUGAAUAAUUCAACUGUGCAUCAUUCAAUGUCAUACUAGCAUAGUAAAUAACGUGGGGAAUUCGAUCAACUCUUUGUCCUAAUACUGCUCCUACUGCAUAAUCAGAUGCAUCACACAUUAGCUCAAAUGGUAAGCUCCAGUUUGGGGCCUGAAUGAUGGGUGAUGAUGUCAACAACUGUUUUAAUUUUUCAAACGCCAUAAGACAUGAAUCACUAAAGAUAAAAGGUACAUCCUUAGCAAGUAAAUUGCAUAAGGGUCUAGAAACUUUGCUAAAAUCUUUAAUGAAACGUCUAUAGAAACCAGCAUGCCCAAGGAAAGAUCUUACUUCUCUGACUGUUUUGGGUGGAGGAAGAUUAGAAAUGAGAUCCACCUUGGCUUUGUCAACCUCAAUACCUUUGCUUGAAAUGAUGUGACCGAGAACAAUACCUUGUUUUACCAUGAAAUGGCAUUUCUCCCAAUUCAAGACUAAGUUCUUCUCGGUACAUCUCUGCAGAACUAGCGUUAGAUGAUGUAAACAUUGAUCAAACGAGUCACCAAAGACAGAAAAAUCAUCCAUAAAGACUUCAAGGAAUCGUUCAACCAUAUCAGAAAAAAUGCUCAACAUGCAUCGUUGGAAUGUAGCAGGUGCAUUACAUAAUCCAAAUGGCAUUCUCCUAUAUGCAAAAGUGCCAAAAGGGCAAGUGAAAGUAGUUUUCUCCUGAUCUUUUGGUGCUAUGGGAAUCUGAUUAUAUUCUGAGUAACCAUCUAGAAAGCAAUAAAAUUCAUGGCCUGCUAAUCUAUCAAGCAUUUGAUCAAUAAAUGGUAAAGGAAAAUGGUCUUUACGUGUGACAGAAUUCAACUUUCUAUAAUCAAUGCAUACACGCCAUCCUGUAGUUACUCUAGUUGGUAUCAAUUCAUUAUCAGCAUUGGUAACUACUGUGACUCCUGACUUUUUGGGGACGACUUGUACAGGACUGACCCAUGAACUAUCAGAAAUUGGGUAAAUGAUACCUGCAUCUAAUAGCUUAAGGACUUCAGUUCUAACAACUUCUUUCAUGUUAGGAUUUAACCGACGUUGCAUCUCCCUAGUAGUUUUAGCAUUUUCAUCAAGGUGAAUGUAAUACAUGCAGUCUACUGGGUUUAUACCUUUAAUGUCUACUAUGGUCCAUCCUAAUGCUCCUUUGUGCUCUUUUAAAACAUCCAACAACUUACCUUUUUGUUCGUCAUUUAGGGAUGAUGAGAUGAUUACCGGCAAAGUACUUUCUUCUCCCAAAAAUGCAUAUUCCAAUGUGUUGGGCAAUGGUUUGAGCUCGAGUUUCGGUGGUGAUUCUGAUGAUGGGAUGAGUUUCUUCUCUGAUGGUGCUAGUUGUUUAACUCUUGACUUCCAUUUAUUAGUGUCCAUGUAUGGUGCUGAGUCAAGUAGGGCGUUGACCUCAUCAACCGAUCUGUCAAUAUCAAAAUCCAAAUCAAAGUGAGUUAAACAUGUUUGUAAAGGAUCAUCAUUAAGGUUUGAAAGAAAAGUAUUAUCAACUAUUGUUUCUAUUAAAUCCACAUCAACAAUUCCAUCAUCUGCACUGUGAGGUUGUUUGGCAAUGUUGAAAAUAUUUAGCUCCAUAGUCAUGUUGCCAAAGGACAACUGCAUAUUUCCGGUCCUGCAUUGAAUGUGAGCAUCCGCAGUUGCCAAGAAAGGUCGGCCUAGAAUAAUAGGGAUGUGCUUCCUUGAAUCAUGUAUUGGUUGAGUGUCAAUUACAAUGAAAUCAACAGGAAAAUAAAACUUGUCUACCUGGAUAAGCACGUCCUCCACAAUACCACGAGGUAUUUUUGUGGACCGAUCUGCAAGUUGUAACACCACUGAAGUUGGGUGUAAUUCUCCAAGUCCAAGUUUCACGAAUACAGAGUAAGGCAAAAAAUUUAAACUAACUCCUAAAUCCAACAAAGCAUUCUCAAUUGUGUGGUUCCCUAUACUACAUGAGAUAGUGGGGGAGCCUGGGUCUUUGCAUUUUAAAGGAAUUUUAUGUUGGAGUAUAGAACUAACAUUUUCUGUUAAAAAUGCCUUCUUUUGAACAUGCAUAUUUCUCUUUUUAGUACAAAGGUCUUUAAGAAACUUGGCAUAAGAUGGAAUUUGUUUUAUAGCAUCAAGCAAAGGGAUAUUGACACUUACCUGUUUGAAGAUUUCGAGAAUCUCACCUGUGGAUUUUCCCUUCUUUCCUUUCACUAACCUCUGAGGAAAUGGAGCUUUGGGAACAUAUUCUCGCGGGUUGGUUUCUUCUUUCUCCUCCGGUGGUGAGUCCUCAGCAUUUACAGGUACAAUUUGAUUUUCUUUUGUCACCGGCAUCUCCACUUUGUUGUCGACUUCUUUUCCUUUUCGUAAGGUCAUGACUGCUUUGACCUCUCCAUGCUGCUGUGGUGAACUGGUACUUGCUUCAUGUACUUCUUUAGGAUUAGGCACUGGUUGACUUGGAAAUUUUCCUUUCUCAACAGUUAUUGCCAAGGUCUGAACUGAAGAAGCAAGUUGUCCCACCAUCUUCUCGAGGCUUGAAACUGAUUGAGCUUGAGAAUUGAAGCCUGCUCUCAACUCAUUUCGUAGUCCAUCAAUGGUGUGGUUCUGUUGCUCAAUCGUGGAGUGAGUAAGAUUCUUGAGAUUCUGGAAUGAAUCCUCCCAUGGUCUGGGUUGAGAGUAGUUCUGGUUCUGAUUGUAUGGUCUGAAUGGUGGCUGAGAGGCUUGAUGAUUUUGAGGAAUUGGUGGAGUUGGAGCUGCUAGUCCAUUCUGUUGGAAUCCUUGAGACCAUGAAAAAUUGGGGUGGUCUCUCCAUCCAGGGUUAUAUGUGUUGGAGUAUGGGUUGUAAUUAGAUGGCUUUCUCAUUACACCUAUGGCAUUGGCUUGAUCUGAGUAUGAGUCAUGGUCAUGUGGUUAUGUUGAUUUAGCAGUCGACAACGAUGCUAUUUGUCGAGCAAGACCUUCAACCAUCUCCUUGACUUCUUUGACUCCCGAAGUUGACUCGCCAAUUUGAACCUCAUUUACUCCCUUAAUUCUUCUAGUAUUCCUGAGUGAUCGACUCCGUUGUUGGGAAUUGUCCGCUUGUCGCUGGAAAAACUCCCAAAUUUCUGAUGCACUUUUUGACAUUAGCUCUCCUCCACUUGUUGCCAUUAGCCAUUCUUGCACAUUCGGCAAUAAUCCCUCCAAAAAGUAUUAGCAUUGGUGCCAUUUCUCGUACCCAUGAUGUGGACACUUCAAGAGUAGCCCAUUGAAUCGCUCCCAUGUUUCGAAAAACUGCUCGUCUUCUCUCUGCGUAAACUCUGAAAUUUCCCUGCGAAUAGAAUUGGUUUUAUGCACUGGGAAAUAUUUAUUUAGAAAUUUUGUAACCAUUUGUUCCCAUGAUGCAAUGCUAUUAGCAGGCAAUGUAUUAAGCCAUGAACGAGCUCUAUCCUUUAAAGAAAAUGGGAAUAAUCUGAGUUUAACAUCAUCGUCUGAAAAAUUUUCAUAUUUAAAAGUUUGACAAAUGGCAUGAAAAUCAUUCAGAUGAUUAUAUGGGUCCUCAUUUUCUAGGCCAUAAAAUGUGGGGAGACAAUUUAGCACACUAGGUUUUAAUUCAAAACUCCUAGCAGCUACAUUUGGGUAUCUUAUACAUGAUGUGCUCAAAUUAGCUAAAGGACUAAAAUAGUCCUUGAAUGGCCUCUCCUGUGGUGCUUGUAAAUCCAUUCCAAAUUUAUUUUUAACGUGCUUGUGUGUGCGAAGUGUUUUCUCAAGUUCAAGGUCUAUAGGUUCAAGAUUAGGUAAUAAUGACCUACGACCAUGCAUGCAAAACAAAUAAAAUAAAAAUGGGAACAAAACAAAUAAAAAUAAAGAAGAGGGAGAAAUUACGAUACUAACCUUAUUGCGCUAUUACAACCUUUCUAUAAAAAUAUACAAAAACAAAUACGUGAAAUAAAUUAACUAAAAAUUAAAUUAAUAAAAUAAACAAAAAUUACAAAGAAAAAAUAAAUUGAAAAUUAAAUUACAGAAUUUUAAAGAAGAGAAAGAAAAGAAACAAAUAAAAGAAAUUAUUCACAAAAAUUAAUUCUAUGAAUUAAAAUUACUUACCUCCCCGGCAACGGCGCCAAAAAACUUAUUGUGCAAAUUUUAAUGUACUCGCAAGUGCACGAAUCUAUUGUAGUAUAGACUAAUGGUGACGAGUGUCGAUCCCACGAGGAGGUGGAUUUUUAAUUAUAUAUAGAAUUAAUUUUGUAAAUGGGUGGUUGGAAUUGUGGUGGAAGUGAUUUAAAAUAUGCUAAAAUUGGAGUUGCAAUGGCGAGAAUAAAUUGUAGAGAAAAUCGAUUAAAUUGACGUACUUGGGUAUCUGGAUCCGUAUCAACAUGCAUCAUGGGCUAAAUAAUCCGUAUUAAUGCCAAUUAAAUCAUGAGGGGGGAAUCCACACCUCAUGAACCACACUCUAAUCAAUAUGGUGCUAAGGGCUUAUCGUGCCAAAUAAUAAUAACCUUAUACUAGAGAGCCGGUGUAACCAAGGCGGUAUCUAGACAAGAUCAGUAUUAUUUAUCGACGAUAAGUCAAAUCAUCCACAAAAACUAGAGGGGAAAAGAAAAUAAAUUUACCAAAUAAAGCCCAUGACACAUGUUGAGACUUCACCUUCAACCCAAGCUUGAAAGGAAAUUAGCUACUCAUAAUUGAACUAGGGGCAAAAUGGGAAUUUAUUAAAAUACAAAGAAAAUACAAGAUGGAGAAGGAAUUACAGAAAAUGGAUCCCAAAAAUGGAUUCAGAGAUAUCAAAUUAGGGGGGAGGCCCCCUUUUUAUAGAUACAUGGAGUAAAUCAUGGCCAUCGGAUUAAAAACAGUUUGGAUGCUCAGGAUUGCGCCACGUCAUCAGUCAACAGUCCACGGUUUGACCACGUGGAUGAACAGUAACACGGUUUGACCCGGAUGAACAGUAACGCGGUUUGGUUGAAAAUAAUCCUGUGUGAUGCAUGCACCGUACGCGAGAUUUUUCGUCCAUUCAUAUGCUGCCACGUCACCAUCAACAGUACAUAAGAAUUUUAGUCCAACAGGAUCGUGACACCUCAUCAGUCAAUGCCACAUCAUCGGUCAAUGCCACAUCAUCGAUCCGUCUAUGUGAACAGUAUCGUGAACAGUAACUUAUACAGUACCGUACACGUGAAUAGUGCCAUUUUUCCUUUUAUGCCCCUCCUAAGGUUUUCGACCGUCCUGAGUUCAAAAGUGAUGUCCGUUUUGCCGUCUGAUCUCUCCUUUAUUAUGAAAUGACUAUAAUGCCCCUAAAAUACAUAAAAUACUUAAUUAAAAUAACAUACGCGUAAUUACAUCACAAGAAGGUUAAAUACAUAAAAGUAAAAGUUAUUAGUAAGACUUGAAAUGUAAAAUGAUGGUUUUCUCCUUUAUAAAUAUGCAUUUUCUAACACUCAACAGUCAACUCCUCCUCGAGAGUGAUUGCCUUUGCCUGCGCGAGAGACUCCUGCUCUAUCAACUUCAUAUUCUCAAGGUUGAGAUCUCCAGCUUUUUUCUCGGUAGCAUCAGCCUUUGUUUUGGCCGACUGAACCUCUUCUUUCAUCCUUCGGUCAUAGCGGUCGACCUUCGCCUUAUAAUAAGUGGCCAUGCAGCUGAGAUGAAAAGCACUAUACUGCAUGGCCCCCACCAGCUCGCCCAGAGUGCUGCCGUCAAAGUCUUCUAAGUCUUUUUUGCUAACAAGCCUAGAAAACUCACUAAUAUAUGGGACCAGAUGCUCUAGUCGAUUGUCGGGCAAAUGAGGUUUCGACCCUGCUGGUGGAGGAGGAGAAUUGGGAUCAGUGGCUAUCCCACUACUUUUGCCGACUUUGGUAGGAGGAGGUGGUAGAGUCCUCAAGGGGGGGACCUGCUCCGUGAUGUUCACCCGUUUCGCAGAGGGAGCGUCAUUAUUCUGCUUGUGCUUAGCAGUAUGAGCUCGAGGACGCUUCCGAUUCAAAACCCCGAUCACAGCAUCCUUCAUCUUAAGAUCAGUGUGCACCAGACGAGACUCGAAGAAGUUGUAAGUAGUUAGCAACUCUCGGCCCGAGCAGGAAUUGGCUAACACAGCCUCGACCUUCUUGAGCGGUUCAGGCUUGAGCUGGUAGUGCACACCCCAAGAACCUGCAGUACGAGCAGAUAUUGGGUUAGAGAUAAAUGAACAAAAUGAGAACAACUAGGGAUACAAGACAUCUAAAGCGAGCAGACAACCUGGGACCACGAAACGGGGUGGGACGCGAUAGUUCUUCCCGUCAAUCUGUGCAACUUGACCCCAGGGACCCCCAGCAAAAAAGAAUUUUUUCUUCCAAUUCCCACCACAACUAGUUGGAAGAUCAGUUAUGGGUUUCCUGGUCUUGGUACUUGACAUGAAGUAAUAUUAGCCAGCGUCUUUGGGGCUGCUCUUUAGCUGGUACAGGUGCUUUACCUCAUCAAUGGUGGGCUCGCUCUGGCAGCAUCUGUCCCACAGAAUGAACAGACCAGAAAGUACCCUCCACCCGUUGUGGUUAAGUUGACCAGGAGCUAGGUUUAACCCACUAAGCAUUCGGGCAAAAUAAGGUUGUAGGGGGCACCUCAUCCCAAACUUAAAACUCUCCAGAAAAAGAGUAACGUAUCCCCUGGGAGGCCGACUGAGAGUAUCUUUUUUUCCUGGGAUCCUAAGGGGUAUAUCAUCAAGAAUAUCAUACCUAGUCCGGAGGUCAACAAGGUCGUCUACUGUGGUCGUGCACGUGAUGAAGUCAAUAGCAUAAUGUUCCGAUAGAGCCCUACCUCAUACUUUGCUCUUCCUAUCUGGUUGUGAUGUUCCUGGUGAGGACAUUUCACCAGAAUCUUCUCCCGGGUCCUCACUCAAGGUAUCCUCUGAACCAGAAGAUCCCUCGCCGCCGCUAUUACUAGUUGAUGAGGUUAUUUGGGGAGACAUCCUCCUAGCACUAGUCCCAACACUAGAUCUAAUCGGUUUUAAGGGGAUCCCAGGGUCAAAGGCAGAAUCGGCGAGUAGACUAGGCAAGAAGUCUAACUCGUUGUCAUCAAUCUCAAUUAUUUUUUUCUUUGCCUUUGGACAUUUCCUAAACUAUUACCAGAACAAUAUCACCAAACACUACCCAAGCAAAACAGAGAGAAAAGAAAUUUUCUACAACUAGCCAAAACCGAAGAAAUAGAAAUAAUACCUACAGUUGUGGCCCAGCGGAAUAAAGACAAGGAAGGUAGCUUUUACGCCGAGGGAGAGAAAAUAUUCAGUCACCGGAGAGGUAGAAGAGGGCUAAGAGAUGAGUUUCUCUUUUGGGAUUUUGGUUUCCCUAAUAAGGAACGAAUUCUUGGGCUGUCAGCAUUUAACGGCACGAGUUCCAAGGGUUUCAUAACCAUCGGUUUGAAAUUCAAUUGGAGGGAUAGAUCUCUGCCACAUCACCUCACCCGCAAUUAAAUGCAGCACGACUCCCCAAAGCCUCUUUCUAUCCUGCACGAGCCAGAACUGUUGAAUUUCUACUACCGGUCCACUACGUUACCCAACACCAAAAACUAAGGGACCGGUGUUUGGGGGAUAUACUUCGACAAGGCCAGCCAUGACGAGUAGAUAUCGGGUAACCGGAUUCCGCAAACAGGUAUAUUCUGCAGAAGCCUGUUAGCAGGUGAAUACGAACAUGAAUACUCUACUCGUUCACGAAUGUACCCUCCAUGGGGCCACAGUAGGAGCCGGCCUCCUACUAGGAACAUAAGGCCGUUCCUGCUAGAGGUUGAGGUGGGGAGACCCGGUCAAUGACGGUUGGCGAGACGUGCACUCCUGCCCGAGAAUCAAGGCACAAAGUCCAUCCAGCCAUGACUACGAUAAUGGAGCAUCCACUUCCGAGAGUUGGGGAGGUGAUGGACAUGGAUCGUGGGAAGGCCCGAAUUCAAGGGAAGCCUAUAAAAAGGUAACCAACGAAGGUAGAAGGGUUAGACUUUUUUAGAUUACAACUGAGAAAAAAGAGCUUUCUAUUAAGAAAUCGUAAAAGAGCCAUAAGAUUAAUGGUCGUUUUUCCCAUAAAGGCAAAGCUUACAUUUCUGACUUGAGCGUUGGAGGGUUUACGCCGGGAAAACACUCGGCGUGCUCUGACCUGUCUCUGUGUACGCAGGAGUUUGCGGAGAAGAAGUCUUACGAGAAGAGAUCCUAGUCGUGGACGAGUUAGUUGAGGAGAGAUCCUGGUCGUGGACGAGCAGAAAACCAGAAUCUCGCAUCAACACUACUUAGAACAAUAGUUGCCCAUUCUCUAAAAUUAUCCAGCUUAACAAAUGCCCCACCAUGACAUUUUCUCAAACAAAUGUUUAACUAAAAAAUAAUCACUACCACUCUUUAGUAACAUAAUACAAAAAUUACUUUAUCAUUUUUUACUUUUGCUAUGUAAACAACAAUGAAGUCAUAAAUAAUCUCAUUUUCCCUUCUAAGUAUAAACUAUUACCAUUUACUAAAUGAAUAUUACGAUAGUAUAAACACCACCAACAUAGUUCUGCUAUGUCUAUGCAACAUAAAAUUAAUCAUAAUUAAUCUCUUUUGACUUGGUCAAAUUUCUCGAAUUAGACAAAUUAAUACUUACCCACCACCAGCCACUCGGCCUUUGGCCGAGUGGUGAGAGCUGCUGCUCUCCAACUUGGAGAACAGCAGUUCGAACCCCCACAAUGCAUUGUGGGGGUCUUCCUUCCUCAAGUAAAUUUGAGUGAAGGCAGUCUGCUUCCUUACCUAAGUGUGAGGAGUAGACAUCCCUCGAAUAUUUGAGAGGGUUAAAAAUCUGGGCAGCGCUCCAUUAGUAUUGAUGUAUGUUGGUCCCAAUUAUAGUCUGAUUUAUAAAUAUCAGUUAUAUUCUCAUGUAAUAUGAGUUGUAAUUUGAGCAAUAGUCUCAUGUAAUCAAAAAAAAAAAAAAAUACUUACCCACCACCCUUGCUUUUUCCUGACAAUUAUAAUCUCCAUCUUUCCAAACACCAUCAUGUACAAGAUUAGUAACUACAUCUCCAAUAUGGGAGUUUAAACAGUUUUUCACCCAUAUAAAUAACUUUUUAAGGGUGUCAAAAGCUAAGGAUGAUAAUUUUUACCACUUCCGCCCGUUUUUGACAUUCAGUUUCACACAUGGGCACUGAAAAUAGGCCCACCAUCCAAAUUCAAUUACCUAUGACCAGUCAGCAAUGGUCACACUUCCUUUUGUUACCUAACGCAAACUGAAAUGGUAGGUUCUCACUCAUUUCUUCAACCUUACACAUGCCAUGCAUAUGACAAUUAUCUUGUCAAAUCAUGGUUUGUUACUAACAGUAUUUUGUAGCAUAACAAGACCCUAUGGUAUUUUUCUAAUAUAUACUCUAUUUUUGUUGUCUUAAUUAAUUACCUCCUAUUCUCAAAUGAUGAUGAUGAUGAUGAUGAUGAUGAUGAUGAUGAUGAUGAUGAUGAUGAUGAUGAUGAUGAUGAUGAUGAUGAUGAUGAUAAUUACCUUCCAGUUAAACAAAUACUAUAUUAAUGAUCUAUUAUUUAACAAGAAUUCGGUAAACUUGGCACAAAUAGAAUAGGAAUUGAUUAAUUAAUCAAAAUUUUAAUUUCUGUUGAGUAUAUAUAUAAAUCGAAAUCCUUUCUUACAUUAAGGAGAAGGGCAUACUGGUGGCAAACUAGAUUAUGAUAAGAUUACACAACAAGGAUACGAGACGAAUUUUUUUUUAUUUAUGCUGACUAAUGUCGCAUCUUUGUUGGAACACUUCAACGCGAUUUCAAGUUUAGGACACUAAUAUCAAUUAAUAAAUGGUAAUAUUAGUGAAAAUUUAACUAAUAAAUGUAUUGAACACUAAAUUAAUUAUUCGUGUAGUAUCCAUAUUACAUUACAAAUUUAUUCAUAUCAUAUUUAUAUCAUGUUGACUUAUUUUUAAGAAUAAUAUUGAAAUAUUUGUUAUUUUUUAAAAUAUUUGAUAUUCUUUCAUUAAAUAUAUUAGGUACUAGUAUGAUUUAUAAAAGGGAUGUAUCCAUAUUUUGAUAUUUUAACACGAUUAAUAAAUGAGUCGUAUUCAUAUUUACUUAAAUUUGACACAACACCAAGAAAACACAACAAUACACGAUACUACUCCAUGAUUUAACAUCUUAGAGGAUAGUUUCACAUGCAUAUGGUUGCUUGAAUGUGUUGCAUGCCCUAUAUCUUGUUCUAGUUUAUUUAUUUUAUUUGUUUUUUUUAUUCUUUGAAUAAGUCUUGCUAGCUUUAAAUAAGUUAGAGUCCAAGCUAUUUAGUUAGCUAAUUUGUUGGUACGUUCCUAGAGUUUUGGAAAGAAGUUGAAUUCUUUAUUAUUUAAAUUAUGGAAUAAUACUUCAAAAAUUUAUUCUGAUUUGAAAGUAAAAACUACUUAUAGUUUUGGAGGUUCGGGCUCCCCAAAACGAACUUGAUAAAUUUUAUUAGGUACUUUCUUUCCCUAUUAUAGAAUAAGAACUAAGAAAGCUAAUACUAUCUUGUAUAUACCAAAUUGGUGUCAGUGCUCGCCUACGGAUCAACCAGUAGAAUAACUGGAGAAGGCCAUGGAAAAUAUUACUGGCCAAGGAGAUCUCUUACAACAAUUAAUACAAGCUCAGUGUAAGAGUAGAGUAGAGUUUUAACCAGAAAAUGAGUCAAUAGGGAACUCCAAUGCUCACAUGCAAAAUCAAAAUAAGGGAAAAGAAUCUACUGCCCUAAAAGGCACACCAAGUGUUUGAUAGAUUAUCAAUGAAAUCAUCAAAGUCAGUCUCUACGGUUAUAUUUGCCAAAAACUGUAAAAAUUGAUUUCCUUCAUUAUGAAGGAAAAUGAGACCCAACCAUAUGGCUAUGCAACGUGUUCUUUGGACAUCUUUUCAUUUGGAAGGAGAAGCUCAUCUGUGAUACCAAUUCCUAUGACAAGAGAUGUCAAUUGUCUCUUGGGAAUAUUUUAAGAAAGCACUAAAUUCGUGGUAUGGAACUAAUCAAUGCAUGGACUUCUUUAUCGAACUAACUCGAUCGCAGCAAACAGGUUAAAUACAAGAUUACCAAGAAAUGUUUGAGAAACUUUUGGCUAAGACAGGACUGAUGGAUCAAGCUAGACUAGUCAACUAUUUUGUUGGAGGUCUUCGGGAACCUAUUCGAACUGAUGUUAGAGCCAACAAGCCAAAUAAUCUGUCCUCUGCUCUAGACUAGCAAGGUUAUUUGAAGCCAAAGAUUUUACCCACCACAAGAAUAUACAACUUGUCCUUCUUACUACACUAACACCACGCAUCAAUAAUCUAGAACUCUUAUCAAAAGAAUGACCAUGAAAGAGUAAAAUAAAACCCGCGCAAGGGCUUGUGUUUCAAAUGCAAUGAGAAAUUUGUCCCAAGGCAUAUUUGUAAGGAGUUAUUUUUUAUACAAGCUAUGUUGGCAGAGAACAAUGAUGAUGUGGUUAAUAGAGGAAGAAGGAAUUAAAGAGGAACAAUAACUUAAGCAGCUAGAAGUCUCCUUUCACAGGAUAGUUGGAUUGUGAACACCUGGUACAAUGCGAGUUUUUGGUACUCUUACAUAUAAAGUUAUGAUAGUGCUUAUUGAUUUUGACAGUUUGCAUAAGUUUGUAACUAAGUAGAUGGCUAAGAGAGCAGGAUUUCAACCCAGCUCCUAUGGAUUUGUAGAUGUCAUGAUAGCAUCUGGUGUAAGUGUGGUAGUCCUAGGUAAGUGCACCUAAACUCAACUCAAAUUACAAGUUUAUCCAAUUCCAGUAGAUUUAUAUUUACUAUCAAUUGAGGGCUAUGAUGUUAUCCUAGGUACUAAGUGUUUAAGUUUGUUACACCUAUUGAGUGGGAUUUUUCUAAUUUGUUUAUAAAGUUAGAAAGAAGAUUAUCUUGCGAGGCUUAACAAGUGCAGAAAAUCAGGUCAUAAAUAGCCAUGAAUUUAAACAUACAGCCAAAAAGAAGGAAAUUUUUCUAGAAAUAAUUCCUCCUAUUCAACCAACCAUUCACACGCAGAUACAAUAGUUCCUAUAAAAAUAUAAAGAUGUGCUGAAAGAAACUAAGAGACUAUCUCUAUCCUGAUCGUGUAAUCACUAGAUUCCAGUACAAUUUGAAAAAAAAAAAGACCUAUCUCAGUUCAUUAUCUUCACUUACAGAUGUAGAGAUAAAGAAGAUGGUGGUUGAAAUGAUAAUUUCUAGAAUUAUUCACUGUAAUAAUAACUCUUACUCAUCUUCAGUCAUCUCAAUUAAGAAGAAUAAUGGUUCAUAGAGAAUGCGUGUUGACUAUAGAGCCUUAAAUCAAAUCACUGCAAAGAUGGUUCAUAGAGAAUGUGUGUUGACUAUAAAUCCUUAAAUCAAAUACUUGUGAAAGAUAAGUUUUCGAUUUUAGUAAUUUAUGAACUACUAAAUGAGUUGCAAGGUGCAUAAGUAUUCUCAAAGUUGGAUCUACAUUCUGGGUGCUAUCAGAUCCGUAUAAGAUUGAAGGAUGUAGAGAAUACUUCUUUUAGGUCCUAUAAUGGUAAACAAUAAAAUUUUCAAUGAUACCAUUCGGCCUCAACAAUGCUCCUUCUACCUUCCAGACUCUCAUGAAUGAGGUAUUCAGACCAUUAUUAGGAAAAUUUGUCUUAGUUUUCUUCGAUGACAUCUUAACUUUUAAUAAAUCGUGGUUUGAACAUAUGAAAUAUUUAGAAACUGUGUUUUUCAUUUUACAACUUCAUAAGCUAUAUGUGUAAAUUGGAGAAGUGUGCAUUUGGCCAAAAGGAAGUUAAGUAUCUAGGCUACCUGAUCACAAAUACAAGUGUUACCAUUGACCUUGAGAAAAUUAAAGCAAUGCUCAACUGGCCCCAACCUCAAACUCUAAAACCUCUUCACAGAUUCAUGGGAUUAACAGGGUAUUACCACAAAUUCAUCCAAAAAUAAGUAAAACAAUUGUCCUUCUUACCAUGUUGAAGAAAGACUCUUUUUAGUAGCGUGAUCUGGAUUUGGCAGCAUUUGCAAAAAUGAAAGAGGUGAUGAUAUAUGCCUCUAUACUACUCUUAUCAGAUUUCUCAAGAUUAUUCACCAUAAAUUGUGACAUUUCAGGAGCAAGAAUUAGUGCUAUGUUUAUGCAAGAUAGGCCUAUUGCUUUUUACAGCACCGUUUGCUUUCUAUAUAUAAAAAGGAGAUUUUGGCUCUAGAUUUUAGCUAUCCAAAAAUGGUGUCCUUACCUCUUGGGAAGACAAUUUGCGGUGCAAACUGAUCAUCAAAGCUUGAAGCAUUUAUGGACUAAAAGAAAUCACAACUCUUGCUCAAUAUAAGUGGCUUUAAAAGUUAAUGGGGUUUAAUUUUGCAAUGGAGUGCAAGAGUGGAAGAAAAAAAAUACUAUAGCCGUUGCUUUAUCAAAGAAGCAUAAAUAGAAUAAAGCUGGUGAAAUUUAUGCAAUAUCUCAACCAUUGCCUAAUUGGAUUAAAGCAAUAAUAGUAGAAGUGCAAUUGAACACCAUGUAGCAAAAUCUAGUGAAGUUAGUCAAAGACGGUGAGACGAUGGGUCUUUGGAAGCUACAACAUGACAUUUUAUUCUUCAAAGGUAAGAUUUACCUUGCAAUACAUUCCCCUUUUAUUCAUACUAUAAUGGAACAAUCUCAUGGUGGCACAGAUGAAUGAUUCAUUAAAACUUUACAGCGGAUUUGAUUUAACUUUUUUUUGACAGACAUGAGGCAAGGAAUAAAAAAAUUCAUUAAAAAUUGUGAUGUUUGCCAAUGACAUAAGGUGGAGUAACUUGCAAUAGCUGGCUUCUACAACCACUUCCCAUACUGGAAAAAAUAUGGGAGGAUAUAUCUAUGGACUUCAUCCACCACUUGCCACUUUCUAGUGGUAAAUCAACUAUUUUUGUCAUUUUGGACAUGUUAUCCAAAUAUGCACAUUUCGUUGCCAUCACACAUACUUACUUUACCAUUAGAGUGGCAAGAAUUUUCUUUGAUCAUGUCUUCAAGUUGCAUGAAAUGCCUUAUUCAAUUGUGUGAGACAGAGAUCCUAAUUUACAAGUAUGUUUUGGCAAGAAUUAUUUUGACUCAAUGGCACAACAUUCAACUUUAGUUCCAAAUAUCACCCUCAAAAUGAUGGAAAAAAUGAAGUGGUGAAUCGAACUCUAAAUAUAUAUCUCGGGUGUUUCACAAGUUCUCAACCUAAAGAAUGGACAAAGUGGCUUACUUGAGCUGAAUAUCAUUAAAACACAAGCUAGUACUCAAUGAUCAAAAGGUCGCCUUUUGAAGUAGUUUAUGGACGACCUCUUCCUACACUCUUUGUCUUAUGUUCCUAGAAUAACUAAGGUUGCAGCUAUAGAGGAAGAACUUAAAGAUACAGAUAGAAUUGUGAAGGAAGCCAAGAGCAAGAUCAGUGAAGCUCAAUAAAAAAAUGAAACAGAUUUACGAUUCUAAGCUUCGAUAAAAAGAGUUUUCAGUUGGUGAAAUGGUGUACUUAAAGCUACAGCCUCAUCAAUAACUAUUUUGGCUUUAAGAAGAAAUAUGAAGCUUUCGACCAGCUACUUUGGGCCUUUUAAGAUUCUGUAGAGAAUACAUGUUAUAUCCCGCGUUUCACUUCUUAAGAAGAGUAUUGGCAAAGAGGUGGUAUAGCCUCAAUUGCCCACUCUUGACAUCACCAAAGAAAGGAUGAUCCUAAACCCAUAAGUUGUUCUCGACCGCAGAGUUCAAAAGAAGAAGCACCAAAUAUUAAUUCAUUGGCUGGGCUUGUCACCUGCAGAGGCAACAUGGGAGGAACGUGACUUCAUCAAAAAUCAAUUCCCUGAUCGUAGCCUUGACGACAAGGCUAUAAAUUAAGGGAGGAAGAGUUCUUACAUGUUCUAUGUUUUGUUCUAGUUUAGUUAUUUUACUUGUUUUUUUAUUGGCACGUGCCUAGAAUUUUGGAAAGACAGUUGUAUUCCUCAUUGUUUAAGCUAUAGAAUUAUAAUUCACAGAGAUUUACUCCGAUUUGAAAGUAAAAACUAUUUAUGGUUUUGGAGGUUAAGGCUCCCUCAAACAAAACCUGAUAAAUUUUAUUAACAAAGUUCUUUCCUUGUUGGACAAUAGACAAAAUUAAGAAAGCUAAUACUAGCUCGUAUAUACUAGAAUGUUAUUAAAUAAUGCUGUCUGUAAAGGACUUUACUCCUACUAUUCAACGAAAGAUAUAAUCAUUAUAAAAAGACUCGAGAAGUGUUGAUGCAAAAUUUUUGCUCAAUGUACAGCGAUUGAUUUGUGUUUCGGGCUUUCUUCUAAAUCGAGUUCUGUGUCU
RNAcentral lists this long non-coding RNA (89438 nucleotides) under Citrus maxima (pomelo). RNAcentral's name for it is "long non-coding RNA (CMAX_LNC002416)". The stretch from base 77482 to 77585 matches the Rfam family "Plant small nucleolar RNA R71". The record is from RNAcentral. Lineage: Eukaryota; Viridiplantae; Streptophyta; Magnoliopsida; Sapindales; Rutaceae.